UUUUUUUUUUUUUUUUUUUUUUUUGUCAAACGGUAGAUUUUGUUAGAUUAGAUAUUAGAUUAGUCACCGACGGAGUUCGAACCUACGCUGUCAUGCAAGGACUUAACUCAUUUCCAUCACUGUGAUAAAUGACCACUUGCACUUAUGUCAGCUAUUCAGUAAAUGGUUAUAUAUGCCUCUACUUCUCUUGUAUCAAUGUGGGCCAUAUAUUAUCUUGCCAAAUACCCGAACUCGAAAAGCUUCGGGUAGGUGCAUAAGAUUCCAUAUUUAAAAAAAAAAUUAUAUUAAACAUAAAAGAUUAAAUGAGUCAUCCUCAUUAAGUUUUAUUAUCUUGAGGUUCUCGGUGGAUUUAUAUACCGAAGGAUAAUAUAGUUGUAAGUCAGAACAAGAAAGGAGAUCUGAUUACAUUUGAAGUAUUUUGAAAAUGAAAUACACAGACAAGGUAUUGUCUACAAAUUAAUGUUAACAUUUUAUAGUUUAAAUUGUUGCUUUCCUUUUUUUUUUUAAUCCACUGAGUCCGGUUUCAAAUCCUUUCCUCUUUUUUAUUUUUUAUUUUUUUAUUUUUUUAUUCUAGCUCAAAAUAGUAAUAUUGCUUGUAAUUAAAAAAUAAUAAUAAACAAAACAAAGCUAGUAUGUGUCUUGCCUAGCAUUCUUUUCCGGAAAGCUAACAUGGAAGCUGAGUAUAAAUGUACAACUAAUCCAUUGUUCAAGUGCAUGCAAUAGACGACUAAUUAGACCUUGUUUGUAAUCAAGUUAGUGGUAGUUUUAAAUUCCUGCAGUUUAAAAUACCCAAAGGUUGGACUGUGAUUCAUUGGAUCCGAUAUCUCCACACAAAUCCUGAGAAUUUUGAUGAUCCUAUGUGCUUUAAUCCAAAUAGAUGGAGUGUAAGACUAUAAAUAUUCUUGCAUGACUCAAUUAUAUAUGAACUAUUAAAAGAUAUAAAGAAGAAAAUAUAUUUUCACAAAUUUUCAGGAAUCAUCUAAGCCUGGAACUUACCAAGUUUUCUUAUGGUGGAUCUUAAAUUCUCAGGCGGGACGGGAACUUAUCAACCCUGAAAUCAUUUAUCUUUCACACCCAACCCAGCUGAUAAGGUUGAAAUCACGAUCAGCCAAAUUUAGAAAAAUGGAUUCCAUAUUUUGUUUAGCUUUGUAUUUUGGGUAGUAGAAGAAUGCCACAUGCAAACGUUGGGUAACUUUAUUGGAGUAUUAUUUGAACUAAUGUAAUGUUUUUCGUUCUCGACUGGCAAGUCUGGCAUAACAAGUGUUUGUCCAGCUUUUCUUUUUUCUUAUCUGGAUAUUAUCAAGCCUUUUUCCUUUGAAUUUUUUACUUUAAAAAAACUAGUCGAUCAUCUGAGUUCACUCUGUAUUCUAAUUAAGUACACUACAAUUUUUAAUUUCAAUUCUCGUUAUAUCUACGAAAACCCCAAACAAAGCCGAUUGUUUAUAAUAACGUAAAAGGAAUUGGCCUCAAACUGUUUAUAUAAGAUGAUCAUUAGAAAUUCGUACAUACUCAGAUUGGAUGGCCUCAAAAGGUUUUAUUGUCGAUCAAAAUCUCAGUAAUAAGAAAGACAACACAAAUUGUCCUGGCCAUCCAAGUGACGAGGAGAAAAUAAGGUUAAGGAAAAGAAACAAAAGAAUUGAUCAAUACAGCCAGCAAUAUAUAUAGGUUUAAUCGUUGCGUAGACAGAGGAAGAGGGUUUUUUUAAGGGAAAAAAAACAAUUUUUCUUCAAUUGUACGUAGUACUUAGUGGGACGAAAAAUCAAUAGCCGAGAUUGAAUAGUUGUGAAAAUAAAUUUAACGGCUAAAACACCCGUAACACUGAAUGUUAAUAACAUUGAAGUCAUGCACACCCGCGAAAAUGAGCAGUUUUUCUUCCAUUAUAUGUAUCACUAAGUAGUCCAUAAAAUCCACGAUUAAAUUUUACAUAUAGAAAUCUAAUGGAACUUUCAAACCGUUAAUUCUUUCAUAAAAUUCGUAGCCGAACCCAUUUGUACAAUUGGUGUGUACGGAUUAAUAGUGACACACCCCGUCCCGAAAGAGGGAGUGCUGGCCGUCACGUGAAAGUGACGUAACCAAGUGCACAGUGCGGAAGCUAAGAAAAUAAAUAGAAAUACGAAUAAAUAAAAACCGAAACACUAGCCAUUCUAGCUAAGAAAGGAUGCCAGUGCGAGUCUAGGUGUAUAAAUACACAACCAGAGCAAUAAGAACAUCUAGUUACAAUCAAUUAGGACAAUUACUAAGAUAUGACAUCCAAAGGUGAAUCCUACUUUUGUGAAUUCUGUCAGAACACUGUUGGAUUCCUCGUGGCCACCAAAGCACUGCUAUCUAGAACCUAGAGGGGCGAAAAACAAAAACACGUGAGUGGGCAAAAACAAAUCUUUUCAAAACUUUUUCUCCUUUUUAAAGGUUCUAACCCCUCGCCGUAAAACCUGUAUAAUUUCCCGGAAAAAUAGCAUAUACACAUAUAUACUCAUCUCAAAACAUAACUCAAAUCAUGCUAUCAAUAUGCCACUAAGUAUAUGUCAUGCUCAUAACCAUAAUAUGACAGAAAGGUAUUAACAGGUGAUGCAUCUCAAAUCAAAUCACAUAAGCCGGAUCCACCUCAGUGGCCUAUACGGCUGAAUAUAGCUCAUCAAUCAAUCUAGCCGAAGUCACCACAAGUGACCUGUACAGCUGAAUUCAUAGCUCAUCAAUCAAUCUAGCCGGAGUCACCACAAGUGACUUGUACGGCAUUACACUGCACACGAGUCGGAACCACUUAAAUGGUUUGUACGACAAGAUUGGGUGUAAUAUAGUUAUGCUCACUGCUAUGCUCUCAUGCUAGUUGUGCGAUAAAUCGCUAGUCACCUACGAGUCGGAACCACUUGUAGUGGUCUGUACGACAAGACUGUGCACCUAAAUUGGAUCCAAUAUGAGCAUAUGGUGCGGGAGGUGACAUAAUAUACAGGCAUGUGCCAGCUUUCUCUGGCUAAAUAACAAUCACCCUGGUGCAGGUUUAUGAGCUAUCGAUUCUCAAUCACAUCUCACAUAAUCAAUCAAACAUUUCCAUUACACCAUUCAACUCCUCAAAUAAGCAUAUUUCUCAUUCAUUUCAUCUCAUCUAUGGUAUGGCUACAUCUAACCUCUCGUUAGACUGCCUACGUACCCUAAACAGGGAUCAAGCUGUUCGUAGUUCACAAUAGUAUUUCAAAGCAUUCACAGUAGUUAAAUGUAUUACUCAAUUUAUAAACAUUUGUGAAAUUAUCAAUCACACACACACACACACACACACACACACACACACAUAUAUAUAUAUAUAUAUAUAUACACACGAUAGAAAGGAAAAUACCCACUCACCUGGAGUCCACGCUAUGAUUCUCUAGCACGCACAUCAAGGCGUCUCGAACGAUUGGUGCCUGUGACCAAUUAUCGAAUCACAUCUCAUAACUCUUAUCAAUAGAAUACGUAAUUCACAUAAAGCAUAUCCUCAAAGACAUUCUAAAAUAGUUUGAGACCCAUUGGUCACAAAUCAAACGUCGAUCAAGAUCGAUGGUAGGGUUUACAACCCUGUAUAAUUCGAUCCGGAAGAUCCGCAUAUCAGAUUUCCAAUCCGCAACCUCCAAAGAUCCACAAUAUGCUUCUAGAAUAACAUACUAAUAUUUCAUUACGAUCCAACGAUCGGAUCUCCGCCAAUUGCCAAAACCAAGUGGCAUCCAACAUUUUAUUUAAUGAACUUAAAAGCCCAAUUUGGGAAGAUACCUACGUCAGAUUCCCAAUCUGUAAGUUCCUAAAUUCUUCAAAUAUUAUGUACUACCACAUACCAAAGUUUGGUGACGAUCCAACGGUCGGAUCGUCAAUUCAUAUUUUGACCUAACCAUGCAUCGUAACGAAUUUAGGUUCGAAUGAUCAUCAUACGUCAUUCAUUCACCAAAACUGAAUUCAGAACAUGAAUUAUGGCCUAAAAAUAGCAUUGGCGGUUCACUGGCCACACGCCGCCAUGGGUGGCGGUUGGCCACCCCGAUUCGUUGGAAAAUCCAACUAUUUCCAAAAAUUAUCAAAAUUUAUAGAAAUGAAGAUCUCAACUAGUAGAGUAAACUUUAUACCUACAACCAAGUCCAAUUUGGUCUGGAAAGGCUCCAAUUUCUUCAAAACCGUGCCAAACCCUUGUUUUUGGGUGUCUUCGAUCCGUCUCCAAAACAGCUCCGCCGUUCCCAAACUUUUUUGGGCUUUGUUCUAGGCCUCAAGAGGAAGCUAGGAGUGGUAGUGAUUGGAAGAAAUUGCUUCAAAAACUGGAGGAUUUCGAACACAAACUCGCGGCACCCACGAGUGCGUUUUUCACCAAACCACCACCAAAUUUCAAGAUUUUUGGGGUGAAACAUGAAGAGGGAAGGUCUAGGUGUUGAUUGGGAGUGGUACCUUGAUCCAAUUUGUGAGAAAUCCAGUGAAAAUCGUCGAAAAAAUAGAGAUGGGUGCGCGGGUGCACAGGUUGGGGAAAACCCGUUUCUUCAUUUUUCCCCCGCUUCUCUCCCUUCUCCUUUCCCUCCUUUCUUGCUUUCUGAUUGGUCUAACCCCUCUCUCUUCUCUCCCCAUUCGGUUUCUACCUCUUUUUCCAGAUUGGGCAGCUUUGCCCAAUCCCUUAUUCCUCUAAUUUCCUUCUCUCCGAUGCCUUCCUCCUUCUUUUUCCCAUUCUCACAACAAUUAAUAGAAUAAUAAAGUUCAUAAAAUAUAGACAUAUAAAAAAUAUAUAUAACUAGAACUCAAAAUAAAAGUACUUCUCGAUUUAGAGUUCCGUAAAACUUUAAACGUAACUCUAAAUCCUCUUCUGCUUGCGCCUACGAGCCUGUGUCGAGUACUUCAUGAAUAUGCUAAAAGAAUUUCGUACGUCUCACUAUAUAUUGGUCAAUGAAAGCCAAAAACCCUUUACCUCUAGGGCAUUUUCGUAAAACCACGUUUUUAAAACUUAUUAAAUUGUAAAAUUAAGGACGGGUUGUCAUAAAUAGGGUUAGGGUUGAAGUGUUAAUACGUAAGCAACGUUGUAGAAUAAAAUAUAUAUAAUAUAUUUAAAAAGAUCUUAAGUACCAGCAAAAGCAUCUGGUUAAUCGUAACGACGCAUAUGAUUUUUGGUUUGACUACAAAAAUGCCGCAAUUUAGUGUCAACAGCUAAUUAAUAACUUUUGACGGAGCUCAACACAUAUGCAGUCAGCUAGGUUUACCUUUACCUUUUGUAUACAAGGCUGGUUACAAAUAGAUAGAGGUUGGUAGAUGGAAAGGGAUUUUACUUGAGGACACGGACUAAAGCUCAUCAACUAUGCUAAUUGAGCACAAUGAUAUUCUGUUUUGUAUUCAACAAUGUAAACAAAAUUAACUUUGUCCUUUGAAAAAAAAUAAGAAUAAAUAGAAGAGCAUUAUGCUAAGACGGGUAAGUGCAACUUCCUCUUUGGCACAUAAGGACAUCAACUAAAUUACCUCUUUAGCACAUAAGGGCACCAAGUAAAUUAAGUAUACAAAUAGCCCUAUUUGGCAUAUGGGAUAUUUAUUUUAUUGUGUUAUUCUCAUUUGAUAGGGAUAGGAGAUUAAACAUAAUAUAUGAGGGGUGUGACCGAGGCAGUGUUUUGUAUGUAGGUGUCAAGUGGGCUUUGUUCACCUUGUCCGCAAGCCAAAUCCUGGUCAUACGAAUAUUUAAACUAGGAUAUUUAGCCAAGAGGGGCUUUCGUAUGUGCUGCCUCUCAGAUUACGACAUUCGCCUACUGGCGCUAAAUUGCGGGCCGGUCAUAUGGGAUUUUUUUUUUUUUUUUGAGAACUUUAACGAAAAGCUUCUGGUACUGUUUACUUUAACGAAAAUCACAUUUUUACACUAAAAAGUCAAUCUUGAUACUAUUCAUUUUACCCUUUAUUUUGUCCUUAUCAUUAAAACUCAAAGUUUUCAAACCCUUUUCAUUAGUUUUCCUUUUUUUUUCUCUCGAUGUACUGGAAAUUCUCAUUACCAAGGCAGAGAUGCCAAAAAUACAAAUGAAAGUCCAUUGUGAGGCAAGCAAAAUAACAAGGAUAUAAACUAAGCAAUGUAAGGGGGUAAAAGAGAACCCAUCGUUGCUACCAAAGCUAAGACGUCACCCCUUACACUACCAAUACAUAAAUUUAAGGGGCGCAAGGUAACCCAUCAUUGUUUAGAACAUGAACAAGAGAAGAUAGGGGUUGAUCGACCCAAGUAAAGUCACACAUCUCCAAACAUCUUUGCGACGCCAGGUGGUCCACUGCCAUAUUGGCUAAUCUUGAGAUCCAAGACCAUCAACAAUCUUGAAAGGAUUCUCCUAGUUUCUUGCUCUUUACCAGAGCGGGAAAAGCCUCCCAACUGCCAUUUGUUAGUAUAUCCCUAAGGCAUGAAAUUGACUCUAACGAAUCGGAUUCAAUGAUAAUUGAGUUCAGACCCAAGGAAAUACCUAACUUGCACCCAUGAAGAAUGGCCAGUGCCUCAGUCGCCGUAACGCAUGAAGCAGAGAGACGAUACUUACGAGUUGCAAGAAAGCUACAAUUUUCGUCCCGUGCAACAACCUUAGCAAACCCCGCAUGCGAAGCAACCAACCAACUGGCAUCAACAUUAAUUUUGACAAAUUGGGAGCCCUAUGGAAACCAUUAGGCUGUCGCCAGGGUGACUUGGCUGCUUGACACCAAAUUCAGAGCGGGAACACGAGAAGCUUCCCUAAACGCACUGGCAUUGGUGGAAAUGGCUGCAAUCACCUGUCUUAGGUUAAUCGGUUGUUGUUGGAAAAGCAAGCAUCAUCUAGUUUUCCAGAUAUGCCAACAUGAAAACGCAACAUAAGACAGGAAUCGUCCCCGAUCACAUUUUGAGCCACUAUUAGAGUUGAUAAGAGUAAAAAGCUAGUUAGCCCAAGUUGUGAUUUCACAACGGUUAAUUUUGUACUUUAAAACUCCACCAAACCACACCGUCUCCACCCACGGGCACAUCAGAAAAGGUGUUCUACCGAUUCUACCUAGGACUUUCAAAAAGGGCAUAAUGGUGAUGGAGCGGAUUUCCACUUAAAGAGGGUUGUCAUUGUAACAAGCGUCUUAUGAAGCGUCUUCCACAUGAAGCAACGUUUUUUUUGGGGAGGGGUGUUUCUAGCUUCCACACAGCUUUCCUAAUAGGACCUGGGAUGGACGCGGAAGAGGAGGAUCCAUAAUGUAACAACCUGUCCUGGAAUUUACAGAACGGGAAGGCAAAUUCAUAAUUCCAUUAUGGGUAGGAUAUUUGAUUUUAAAUUUUGGUUUUUGAUUGGUCUUGUUUGGUGUGCCAGUGGGGCCCACCCUCACUUUUUGGUCCCCGACACUCUCUCUCUUUCCCCUCUUCUUCCUUCUCGUGUAACACUUACCCUUAGCUCUCUCUUUUCUAUUUUCACUCUCUCCUUCAAUGCACAUUCUCCUCCCCCGAGCACCACACACCCAGACACCCCAUUGAUGACUGGGUCACCACCACCGUGGCUCCCACACCGGUGACUUCACCACCCUCGAGAUCUCUCCAUCACGAACCUAGAACUCCCUCGGCUUUCCGGCGAUGGCCGUGAUCCUUGUAGGCGGUUCUCAGCCUUCUCCGACCACUAUGCUACUUUGGUGAGGUCGGUUCGAUUCCCUCAUCUUUUGAUCUUCAUUUUGGUAUAAUUUUAGAGUAAAAUGGUGGAAGAUCAAGGUCGAUCGGAGCUCGGGAAACUUCGACCUUCUUCUUCCUCGAAACCGGUCUGAGAACCCAGUCAACCGACCCAAACCUGGAUACCCAAGUCCUCUAGCCCAAAGCUUUGGGCCGGGCUAUCAAGCCCAAACUUAUUAUAACCUAGCCUUAAACCCAGACCCAAAACCCAUUGUGCCAGCCCAAACCCUUGGGUCGGGUUAUUAAGCCCUCUGAGCCUAAACCCAUGUUAGAACCUACAAGCCCAACCCAUUAAACUUGAAACCCAAAACCAGGCCUUUGGGCCACGAACCUUUUGGCCUAGAACCUGUGCCCAGGCCCAACUUAGAGAAACCCUUUGGCCCAGAACCAUAGAACCCAGGUCGCGCGUGAGUGGCGCGUGUUAAAGAUCGCUUGUGUCGGUGUGUGGAGCACAUAUGCCUCCGAUGAAAGUACUAUGCUCUACCGCUGUCCACAGCGGCACCGAUGACUUUUCCAGUGAAAUUUCCGACGACCCAUCUCGGUGAAUGCAGCGGCGCGUGGCCGUCGGGGCCGCCACCCCGUGGCGGCACGUGGGGUACUUGAGGUCCCCUCUUAUGUUUUUCGAUGUCUUGAAUUCGUUUAUGAUGUCUGUUUUCUGAAAUUCAAUCGUUAUGGUCGAAUUUUAUUAAUUUGACCAUUUAUGUGCUUAGGUACUAUUACUACGGUAUUUCCAUUCUUCUUAUUUCGCAGGGCUCUUCGACGAUAGAGUAUCUGUGAGUGAACCCCCUUCCAAAAUGCAUAAUUUUGCUAUUAGAAAUGCAUACAUGAAAAGCAUGAUUUAAUGGUUUUGUUUUAUGAGUAAAUUAACAUAAAAAAGCAAUAGGCCCAGACGAUAUACCAAUCGAAGUGUGGAAACUUUUGGGAGAGACAGGUAUAACAUGGCUCACUGACCUUUUCAAUAGGAUUUUGAAAACGAAGAAGAUGCCAAAUGAGUGGCGAACGAGCACUUUGGUGCCUAUCUACAAGAAUAAGGGUGACGUACAAAAUUGCAUGAACUAUAGGGGUAUUAAGCUAAUGAGUCAUACAAUGAAGCUCUGGGAGAGAGUCAUUGAGCAUAGAUUGAGGCAAGAGACACGGGUUUCGGACAACCAAUUCGGGUUCAUGCCAGGGCGCUCAACCAUGGAGGCAAUCUAUCUCUUACGAAGAUUGAUGGAAAGAUAUAGAGAUGGGAAAAAGGAUUUACACAUGGUCUUUAUAGAUUUGGAAAAAAGCGUAUGAUAGGGUCCCAAGAGACAUUCUUUGGAGGAUUUUUAGAGAAGAAAGGAGUACGAGUAGCAUAUAUCCAAGCUAUAAAGGAUAUGUAUGAAGGAGCAAAGACUGCCGUAAGAACUUAUGAAGGACAAACCGAAAGCUUUCCCAUAACUGUAGGAUUACAUCAAGGCUCAUCCUUAAGUCCUUACCUUUUUGCGUUGGUAAUGGAUGAGUUAACAGGACAUAUAUUCAAGAUGAUAUUCCUUGGUGUAUGCUUUUCGCAGACGAUAUAGUGUUGAUAGAUGAAACUCAGGAAGGGGUAAAUGCAAAGCUUAACCUUUGGAGAGAAGUGUUGGAAUCUAAAGGUCUUCGCCUAAGCCGAUCAAAGACAGAAUAUAUGGAGUGCAAGUUCAGUGCAAAUGGAGGCCAAAACGAGUUAGGGGUGAGGAUCGGAGAUCAAGAAAUACCAAAGAGCGACCGUUUUCGUUACCUAGGAUCUAUCUUGCAAAAGAACGGAGAAUUAGAUGGAGAUCUCAACCAUAGAAUACAAGCUGGAUGGAUGAAGUGGAAGAGUGCAUCCGGCGUGUUGUGUGACCGCCGUAUGCCACUGAAGCUCAAGGGAAAAUUUUAUAGGACGGAAAUAAGGCCGGCGAUGCUGUAUGGCACAGAAUGUUGGGCGGUGUUGAAACAUCAACACGUACACAAAAUGGGUGUAGCGGAGAUGAGGAUGCUUCGUUGGAUGUGUGGGCACACGAGAAAGGAUAAGAUUAGGAAUGAGGAUAUCCGGGGUAAAGUAGGAGUAGCCGAAAUUGAAGGAAAGAUGAGAGAAAAUCGGUUACGGUGGUUUGGACAUGUGCAAAGAAGGCCUACUGACGCUCCGAUUAGAAGAUGCGACUAUGGGACAGAGGUUCAGGGCCGAAGGGGUAGAGGAAGACCUAGGAAAACUUUGGAAGAGACUCUAAGAAAAGACUUAGAGUACUUGGAUCUAACGAAGGACAUGACACAGGAUCGAGCACAAUGGCGUUCUAAGAUUCAUAUAGCCGAUCCCACUCAGUGACUUGGAUUUUCCAAGUCUCCAACCGAGAAGUUUUCCUCACUCGGGAAAUUAAGGGAACACUACCCCAACCUACAUGCUCCACUCAGAAAGCUUCAACAUACAAGCUUCAACAUACAAGCUUUCAACAAAAGAAAAUUCAAAGAACUUAGCGAAGAAGGCUUUGGUGUAUUUAACACAAUAUACGUUGAAAUGAAGGAAAGCUUAUUUAUUGAUAUUCCCGAUAAGCUACAAAUAUGUACAUAUACAUGAGUCAAAAUAAACACACAAGAGGGAGCCUUCACAAAGGUUGCUUAGGAGAAGUCUCAGCAGUCGGUAGAGCCCCAGAAAGAGAAGGCACCGGAGGGGGAUCAUUUGGAGCCUCAGUACUGGACAGAACCCUAGAAGGAGGAGGCAUAAGAGGUUGAUCAUUUGGAGCUUCAUUACGCGGUACAGCCCCAGAAGACGAAGGCAAUAAAUGCCUUUGGAACAAACCCACAAAUCUCUGAUGAUCAAGUAAAACCUGACCAUCAGUUUCCUUCAUCUGGUCAAGCUUCCUCUUCAUGUUUGUAGCAUAGUCAUGUGCGAGCCGGUGCAACUGUUUAUUCUCAUGCUUGAGCCCUCUAAUCUCCUGUUUGAGACUCAUCACUUCAGCCGCCAAUGAUUCAACUUGGCGGGUUCGAGCAAAUAGGCGUUGGGCCAUAUUAGACACAGAACCUGCACACUGAACACUGAGAGCCAGCGAAUCCUUAACAGCUAACUCAUCAGACCGUUUGGAAAGUAGUCUGUUAUCUUUGGGAGUGAGAAGGUUCCUGGCCACCACCGCAGCGGUCAUAUCAUUCUUCAUCACGGAAUCCCCAACGGUAAGAGGACCAGUAGGGGAGACGAAGGAUGGGCGCCAUAUGUUGUCUGGAGAAGGCGGGGCUGCCUCUUCAACAAGGUUCAAGUCAAAACGACGGUCGGAGGGGCCAGACAUUUUCAAAGGUGUUGAAGAGAGAAGAGGUCGGACAAAUCAAGAUCUUAGAAGUGCAAGAAUGAAGCUUCUACUGGUGGAGAUUCAAGUGUGCUUUGGAACUUAAUGCCAGCCCCUAUAAAAAUCUGCACUCGACGGAGCUUCAGAAAUCGAAGAGGCGCCUGCUCAGAAAUCGAAGAGGCGUUUGCUUUCUCAAAAGUUGGGCUACUUAGAGAUCACGAGGGUUGAUCUCAGAAAUCGAAGAGGUGUUUGCUUUCUCAAAAGUUGGGCUGCUCAAAGACCACGAAGGCCGAUCUCAGAAAUCGAAGAGGCGCUCGCUUUCUCAAAAGCUGGGCUCCCCAGAGACCACGAGGGCCGAUCUCAGAAAUCGAAGAGGCACCUACUUUUCCAACCUUGUCAGCACCUGUCACACGCACACUCAGCUUUGCGGAAAUUAUGGGCAUUCUGUCAAAGACUUCUGGGGAAGUAGAAAACACAUGAAUCUUACUGUUCAAUCACCCAUUUCCCACACGCAACAAUAGCUCAUGGGUACCACAGAUAACUUUGCCAAAGUUCUCUGCCAAAGUUGAGCACGUGAAGCUUGCAGCUCCCACUACAUCGCUCUGACCAAGAAGGGUAAAAGAAUAGCAAAGAAACAGCACUAACAAAGUUUAGACCCAUAAAUUUUGAAGGUCUAGCUACCAUAUUAUUACCCACAAGGGUAAAGGAACAGUACCACUGCUGGAUAAUUGGAAAGUCCCUGUGUGUCAACCUCUGUGCUUCGUGGCAAGGUAGACUAGCAAACAUGCCCAACCUUUACUCACAUUCGAGAAAACACUCCCAAUAAGAUUGCUUGCUCCAAAAUCGAAGAUGCACCGUCCUCCGAAUCUAAAGAGCCAGACUCCCAACAUGACUAUUUUCUUAAAAAUCGAAGAGAGGGUAAAGGAACAGUACCAUUGCUGGAUAAUUGGAAAGUCCCUGUGUGUCAACCUCUGUGCUUCGUGGCAAGGUAGACUAGCAAACAUGCCCAACCUUUACUCACAUUCGAGAAAACACUCCCAACAAGAUUGCUUGCUCCAAAAUCAAAGAGGCACCGCUCUCCGAAUCUCGAGAGCCAGACUCCCAACAUGAUUACUUUCUCAAAAAUCGAAGAGACACUGCUCCCCGAAUCUCGAGAGCCAGACCCCCAGCAUGAUUGCUUUCUCAAAAAUCGAUGAGGCAUCGUUCUCCGAAUCAAUCGAAGAGGCGCUCGCUUUCUCAAAAGCUGGGCUGCUCAUAGACCACGAGGGCCGAUCUCAGAAAUCAAAGAGGCACCUAUUUUUCUAGCCUUGUCAGCACCUGUCACACACACACUCAGCUUUGCAGAAAUUAUGGGCAUUCUGUCGAAGACUUCUGGUGAAGUAGAAAGCACAUGAAUCUUACUGUUCAAUCACUCACUUCCCACACGCAACAAUAACUCAUGGGUACCACAGAUAACUUUGCCAAAGUUCUCUGCCAAAGUUGAGCACGUGAAGCUUGCAGCUCCCACUACAUCGCUCUGACCAAGAAAGGUAAAAGAAUAGAAAAGAAACAGCACUAACAAAGUUUAGACACAUAAAUUUUGAAGGUCUAGUUACCAUAUUAUUACCCACAAGGGUAAAGGAACAGUACCACUGCUGGAUAAUUGGAAAGUCCCUGUGUGUCAACCUCUGUGCUUCGUGGCAAGGUAGACUAGCAAACAUGCCCAACCUUUACUCACAUUCGAGAAAACACUCCCAACAAGAUUGCUUGCUCCAAAAUCGAAGAGGCACCGUCCUCUGAAUCUAAAGAGCCAGACUCCCAACAUGACUACUUUCUCAAAAUCGAAGAGAGGGUAAAGGAACAGUACCAUUGCUGGAUAAUUGGAAAGUCCCUGUGUGUCAACCUUUGUGCUUCGUGGCAAGGUAGACUAGCAAACAUGCCCAACCUUUACUCACAUUCGAGACAACACUCCCAACAAGAUUGCUUGCUCCAAAAUCGAAGAGGCACCGCCCUCCGAAUCUCGAGAGCCAGACUCCCAACAUGAUUACUUCCUCAAAAAUCGAAGAGACACUGCUCUCCGAAUCUCGAGAGUCAGACCCCCAGCAUGAUUGCUUUCUCAAAAAUCGAAGAGGCAUCGUUCUCCGAAUCUCGAGAGCCAUAUACCACAGACCACUUUUUCAAAGUGCUCUGACAGAGUUAAAACAUGUGAAACUGGCAGCUCCCACUAUUGUGCUAUGACCAAGCAGGGUAAAGGAAUAGCAUUACUACUUGUUGUUAGGGAGACUCCUAUAUAUGUCGACCUCCAUCCCCAACGGACAGGCAGACUUGCAAAAAUGCUCAACCCUUCAUCAUAUCUGAGAGGGCACUCCCAACGAAGCCUUUCGAAAUAUUCAGCUUUCUUUCCCCCCGAUAAUACCUCUGCAAACAAGCUAUUCUAGAGCAAGAAUAUCUCAUAUCAUCAGGGUUAAAAGCAAGAGUAUCCCAUAUCAUGCUUUUUCCCUGUCUUUUCUUUUGGCCUUGUUUUUACCUGCAAGACAAGGAGAAAGAGAGCAAUCAGUCAGCACUUGGAAUCAAGCUUCCAGCCAGGAACUGACUGCCUGGAACCCCUUACCUGAUUACUUACCUGGCAUUGCUCUCGAGUACUCAUCUUCAACAUCUUAUGUUUCCAGGGAAGAUUCCGCAUCUGCUUGAGGAACAGAUCGGGCAAGUGCGAAGGAUACAAGGAAGCAUGUGGAGCCAAGCGUAACAGCACACGUGCCGAUACAUCCAUUACUCUGUCAAAAGCAAAAGUAUCCCAUAUCAGCAGGGUGGAACGUACUCUAGAUUUGAUGGACUUGUUUUGACCCUCAAAUUCUUCAGUCGGCCUUAUACUCUGGAGGAAACCAAAAAACCCUCCAGCUCAGUUCAAGAAUAAGCCUGUGGAACGUUACUUCUUCAAAAGCAAAAGUAUCUCAUAUCAUCUCUUCUCAUUUUUCUUCUCUUUAUCCUUCAUGCUGCUGCAAGAUGGGGAGAAGGUGAACAAUCAGUCGGAGCUCUGAUUGCUUACCUUGUCUGUCACCUCUUUCAGCAGACCCCCUAGCUCGGCGACUUGGGGGACUCCUACUACAUGGUUUGUAUCGCGCUUGACCAAGCCUGAAACUACAAGUAAGCUUCAAGUGAAAUUGAUACAUUACCUUGUGCAUCUCCACCAGUUAAAGAUACCACCCCUGGAUGGAGGAAGAGUACUUCCAGAGAAGAUGCCACAUCUACCUAUGAGACAGAUAAGGCAAGUCAAGACGACACCACACUCCCGAUACUUAGAAGUUUCGUGAUUACGAGAUCAUUCUCCCACAAUAUUUCCUAAUGUCAUUUGUACUAAAUCAUUCACUUGUACUCACUAAAGGAGAGCUUGAACCUAUGUACUUGUGUAAACCCUUCACAAUUAAUGAGAACUCUUCUAUUCCGUGGACGUAGCCAAUCUGGGUGAACCACGUACAUCUUGUGUUUGCUUUCCUAUCUCUAUCCAUUUAUAUACUUAUCCACACUAAUGACCGGAGCAAUCUAGCGAAGAUCACAAAAAGCGACCGUUUUCGCUACCUAGGAUCUAUCUUGCAAGAGAACGGAGAAUUAGAUGGAGAUCUCAACCAUAGAAUACGAGCUGGAUGGAAAGAGUGCAUCCGGCGUGUUGUGUGACUGUCGUAGGCCACUGAAGCUCAAGGGAAAAUUUUAUAGGACGGCAAUAAGGCCAGCGAUGUUGUAUGGCACAGAAUGUUGGGUGGUGAAGCAUCAACACGUACACAAAAUGGGUGUAGCGGAGAUGAGGAUGCUUCGUGGGAUGUGUGGGCACAUGAGAAAGGAUAAGAUUGGGAAUGAGGAUAUCCGAGGUAAAGUAGGAGUAGCCGAAAUUGUAGGAAAGAUGAGAGAAAAUCGGCUCCGGUGAUUUGGACAUGUGCAAAGAAGGCCGUCUGACGCUCCGGUUCGAAGAUGUGACUACGGGACAGAGGUUCAGGGCCGAAGGGGUAGAGGAAGACCUAGGAAAACUUUGGAAGAGACUCUAAGAAAAGACUUAGAGUACUUGGAUCUAACGGAGGACAUGACACAAAAUCGAGCGCAAUGGCGUUCUAGGAUUCAUAUAGCCGACCCCACUUAGUGGGAAAAGGUUUUGUUGUUGUUGUUGUUGUUGUUUUAUGAGUAAAUUAUAUUUUACUUCUUAUGAGAUAUCAUGCUUUACUGAGAAUAUUUGGAAUAACAUGCUUUAUUGAUUUAAUGUUCUUUGUAGUAUAUAUGAUGGAUGACUAUAUACUAUGAAGAUGUUUUGAGAUAUGAUGUUUUAGUUACUACGCUCCGAUUUGAGAUAUAUAUAUAUAUAUUAGAAAUAUUAUUUUAAUAUUCUUAUGAACUUACUUAGUGGUUAUUCAUAUGACCUGCUUACGGGCGAAUGAUACUGUCUACGGGCGAAUGAAGAGUUCUAUAUUGGUUGGUGCCUACGGGCGGAAGAUACUUAUAUUGGCUUAUGCUGGGAGAUGUAUGAUAUGACUUCUACUGGGAGAUAUAUGAUAUGGCUUCGGCCGAGAGAUAUAUGAUAUGGCUUUGGUCGGGUGAUGUAGUGGCAUCGGUCGGAAGUUAUUUACAUUGGCUUCGGUUGGGUGAUGUAGGGUCCUACGAGUCAAAUGAAGAUACUUAUAUUUGGCUUCGAUGGGUGAUGUAGUGGCUUCGGUCAAUUAUGAUAACACUACUAAGCACAUUAUAUACGAUAUAUGUUUUAUGAAAGGUUUUAUGGCAUGCUAGGGUUUUCGGAAAAACCUAUUACUUAUUAUGCUAUAUUAGUUUUCUAAACCUGGGGGUUAGUACAUUGUGAAUAACUGUUUUUGUACUAUUUAUAUAUAAACUUGGUCCACUCAUAUUUGUUUUGCGCCCCUCAAGACUUAGAAUCGAGGCGUACAAUCCCAGCGUUAAGGUACUCCCGUAUCAGCAUCAAUAUCCCACUCCCCAUUUGUCUGGCAAAUUAGAGACACAACCCGAGUAUUCCGGCUUACCUAGCAGUGCCGCGUGGGAGAGGGCGCCCAGUAGGAAGGGAGGGAAACCACCUGUCAAUCUACACCCUCACCUCCUUACCAUUCAUGAUAUGCCAGUGCGACCCUUUAAGCAAUAAAUCUCUUUCGAAGAGUAGACUAGACCACGCUUAUGAUGCAAGGCCUCAACGCUUAGCAUCAAUGAAUGAACAAUAUGGAAAGUAGUAGGCUUUCAGAAUCGUUGCCCAUAGGGAAUUUGGAUCUUGGAUUAGUCGCCAACAUUGCUUGGCCAGUAGGGCAUCAUUAAAAUCCAUAAAACAUUUGAACCCAAGCCCCCCAUUCCCCUUUGGUAGACCCAUCGUCUCCUUUGAAACCCAAUGAAUGUGUCUUUCAUCCCCUUUUUGACCUCACCAAAAGUUGACAAUAAGAGCAUCCAUUUCUUUACAUAUGACUACAAGAAAUUUAAAGAGGUUCAUCGGGUAAGCAGGGAUUGCCUGCGCCACAUCCUUGAUCAACACCUCUUUACUCGCUUGUGACGAAGUAGAUUGUUUCCACCCUUGAAUUUUCCCCAAAAUCCUUCCUUUAACAUAUGCCAACCCCCUUAUCUUGGACCUCCCCCAAAUCGAUGGCACACCCAGAUAUGAUGGGACUUCCAUUUUGGGGUGAGGUACUCACCUUCUUUUGGUGUUCCAAAAUUGUUUGUCGUCUACUUUAUCAAUGAUAAUUUGGUUAAGUACUAUAUAUUUUCAUUUUCUUGGUUCUAUAUUUAUGUAACUAAUGAGUAACAUUAACAUUGCCUUUUUUUUUCUUUCAAAUAAAAUCUAAUGAGUAUUGACAAAUGAUUUAGGCUUAUUUUUAGUCAUGCACUAUGGAACUCGAUGUUAAUCUUACUUUGCUCCCUAUAACUCAAAAGUCACUACUUUACUCUCUAAAACUCAAAAUUCGCUUCACUUUGCCCCUUGGGACUCAAGUUUGAUCUCAGUUUGCCCCAUGAAACUUGAAAGUCGUUUCUACAAAACUCAAAAUUCGCUCUACAUUGGCUUAGAUUUGUUAAUUUAUUAUGUGAUUCGAUUUGGGCGAGGCAGCCUAAUCAAUUUAUUUUUUAUUUUUUUAUCUCUUCAAUUUCUUUUAAACAUAAUAUUCUAUGAUUGUUGAAUGUUGAUGCAUGAUGGAGAUUUAUAAUCAAAUUUAUUGCACAUGUGACAUAGUCUUAUUGGGUGUUGGAUCUCACAUAUGUUUUAGGAGACGACUUGUAAGUUUCAGGGAGAAAAGAGAGUCCACAAGUUUCAGGUAAAUGACCUAUAAGUUUCAGGGAGUAAAGUGAUGACUUUUAGUUAUAGGAGGCAAAGUGAGAUUAAAACGGAGUUCGAGAGGAUGUAGCCAAAAAUAAGCCAAUGAUUUAUUUCCAUUCUUUUUCUUCCAUAUAUGUCUACAGUAUACUAACUAGCUAGGUAGCUUCUUAGUAGGGAUUUCUUUGACGGUAGCAAUUAAAUACGGAAUAUGGAUAUGAUCAUCGUACGGACUAUAUAUUCAUAUUUAGCACUUCUUUUCAACGUUUCUCCAUUUUUUGCUGCUAUGUACGAGGUCUUAUACGGUAAACACAAGGUUUAUGUGUGAGUCCUAUCGCUUCGUUUUUCUACAAUAAAACAAGACACCUACUAAGAAGAGACUCGUACUAACUAUAACAUUAACAUAGUAGUACUGAAUGCUAUUAGUAUUGACAAAUGAGUUUGGAUUAGGUACGGUAGAGUAAGAAUGUAUAGAACUCACCUAUUCGGAGUACCAACCAUCAUAAACAUGUUUUCCAUGUUGGAUUUAUUCAAUAUAAAUCAACCAUAAAUGGUCUACUAUAUGUAAUAGGAAUGUAUAAGUUGGAGAUCAGUUAAGUUGCGAUUCAAUAUCCUUAUAUCAAUCCUACAUUAAGUGUCUUACAUUAUAAGUAGGUUUUUUGAUUGAAUCCUUAAUAAUAUAUGAUUAUGAUGUUUUACUUGAGAGCCAAGAAAGGAGAGUUUUAGCUUUCCCUUAUGGACGGAAUCUAAGACUUUUUGGCUAGUAUAUAAACACCGGUCCCUGCUAAUAUUAACUACAUUGCAAAGAUAAAAGAUUGGUACAGAGGAAGAGGAAGAAGACAGAGAGAAGCAAGAGAGAUUUUAGAGAAAGAGUUUAGAGAGAAAUAGGUUUUGUAUUGACUUACUGAAAUGAAGGUUACACAUACUAUUUAUAAAGAAAUCCUAACUACUUUAACCAAAUACUAACUACCUAACUAUAUUAGUAACUGUAUUACAUUUGUACCCUUAAUACUCCCCUCAAUCUCAACUGGGGUAUCCCAGUGUGAGAUUGCAGCAGAUUCUCAAAUAGCAAACACCGAAAUAUGGAUAAAUAGUUCAGUUUCUUCUCAACUGCAGUCUCCCACUAUGGUUGCCACAACUGACAGUUCAAAGUUCUUCUUAACUGGUCUGGCCCUAACUUUUGCAGACUUCCAAAACAACAGAUGUAAGACAGCAUCAUUAUGUUUACAUAUGUCAUCAAUAAAUCUCUGAUUUGCACGUAGUUUUCCGUCAUACACAACUUCUUGUUCUUCUAGAUCAACAAACUCUUGACUUUUAACAAACACAACACAACAAACUCUACAAUCCUUCAAGCUUCAAGCUUUCAGCAAUGGAGAACAAAUGAAUACGCACCUCAGAUUCAUUUUAAGCCGGCAAAGAACAACCCCCUGCAAACCAAGCCUUUCAACAGCUACAACUCUAAUCAACUAAUCUUUACAGAAAACAUGGCUUCGUGCCCACAAACUUCAAUCAACUAAUCUAUACAAAAAAACAUGGCUUCGUGCCGCAAACUUCAAUCAACUAAUCUAUACAGAAAACAUGGCUUCGUGCCCACAAACUUCAAUCAACUAAUCUAUACAGAAAACAUGGCUUCGUGCCGCAAACAAACAGUAACUGGCUUCGUGCCGCAAACAAACAGUAAUGGCUUUGUGCCCAAAGAAACAAACUUGAAAUGGCUUCGUGCCGCAAACAAGGAAUAAUGGCUUCGUGCCUCAAAGAAAUCAAUCGACUACUUCACAAAAUCAAAGAAACAUACACUUUUGCAGGGAAUUGGCAGCUCCACUAGAUCAUCAAAGUAGUGGAACAGAGAACAGAACAUGGAUCAAAUAACACUAGAAAAGCACAGACCAAAACCCAGAGACGGUGCUCGGCAGUGGUGAGGUCGGCGACAUUCCAUCUGCUUUCCUUGCCGUCACCGACCAAAACCCACAAAGAGUGAUUACUGCCUAUGUUUGGCUAUUCAUGCCCCUCUAAAGGAAUUGUUGAGAUUUGGCAGAUAACAAUGAAGUUUCAGUUUGUAACGACAAUAUACCUCGAAAAUAUACUUCUAACGCAUUAAAACAAACAGGUGAUGUGCAUUUCAGAAACCAGAAAAAAGAACAAGCUUGAUGAUAGAUAGUCGAAAUCAUUACCAAAAUCACAGAGAAGCACCAUAAAUCUUCAACAAUGUCAGCAGAAGAACAAAAACUCACUGCAGCAAUUCAUCAAACACCAACGAUGCAUAAAAUUUCAAGAAUGACCUGAUAAACAGCAACCAUGAAUCGAAACUCCAAUCUUGAAUCAACCAACGCAGAUGAAGAAACCCAGAUCGAGAAACCCAAAAGAACCUGCAGUCUUUAUGCUUCAACGAAAGAAGAAAAAUGGCACCAAGGAUGUGCGUUGCGUAUGAGAAUCUGAGGGUGUCGCAUGAAGAGUUCUUCAAGAAGCGACACGAAGAUAUCGAAGCAGAGAGUUUGAAGGAGUGCGACCAUGACUGCGGAGGUUCUCUCGCAGCUCAACGGCGUCAUCGCGAACGGCAGACAGAAUGGAGCACCGAAGAUCAACCCAACAAUCACAAUCACGAUCCCAACAAUCGCAGAAAAAUCAACCCAAGAAUCUACUGGAAAUUUGAAGAGACACUAAACUAGGAAGAAAAGAAAAUGUAAACUACUACGAAGAAAAACCACCAGAAUCCAUGGCGUGAGCCUGGUGGCUCUGAUACCAUAUUAACUACAUUGCAAAGAUAAAAGAUUGGUACAGAGGAAGAGGAAGAAGACAGAGAGAAGCAAGAGAGAUUUUAGAGAAAGAGUUUAGAGAGAAAUAGGUUUUGUAUUGACUUACUGAAAUGAAGGUUACACAUACUAUUUAUAAAGAAAUCCUAACUACUUUAACCAAAUACUAACUACCUAACUAUAUUACUAACUAUAUUACAUUUGUACCCUUAAUAGCUAACCCUAGAGACGACAACUAAGGCUUCCCAUAGAGCAUUGUCAUAAGGCUAGGAGUUUGCAGAAGAGUUGGUGUUUCUGUUUGUCACGGCAAACGCAAAGAUUGGAGUUUUAUCGAUCACGUCUUGCUUGCAUGGCUACUACAUCUUCGACAAUUGCUAUUGGAAUCAGGUCAGUCACUCAUUCGUUUGUGUUUUAAUUGUAUAACCUAAUAAGACUUACAAUUGGUAUCAGAGCCAUUGGUUAUAUGAUUAAAACCUAUUAGGUUUGAAGUUUGAUUCUAUAAUAUUAUUCUUUUUGGACUGCGAUUUUGAUCUUAAAUCCAAGUUGUGAUUCUAUUCGGCAACAUCACCAUGUUGGACCUGCUUGAAAACUGCAUAUUGUAUGUUUCCGCAUAUAAUUGCAUAUACGUGGCAUAUUAGUAUGAUAUGCACAGCACAAGUUUUACAUCAGUUCCUAUUUGGUCUUAGAGACCAAAAUUAUCAGUUAAACAAAACGAUUACAGAAUUGGAUAAUCUGUUUCUGCGAAUGGUGCCUGUCGAGUUCACGUUUUCUUCCACCGUCACCACCCUUCAAAUCCAUACGUGGGCUUUUCUAAUUGAAGCACUUAAUGAUGAUAUUGAAUUAACUAUAAUAAAGGAAGAUUGAUAUAGUUGGUUCAUUAUUUUAUGGAAUUGUAUAAUUGGAAUACUAUGAUGCUUAACGUUUUCUAUUUCACAUAUGCAUCGCAUAUGAGAUCCUGAUGGAGGUGGGUUAAGGAGCGGAUAAAGCCAACGAACCAUGUCGAGGCAUAAAGACACCGUCGUCCAACAUAAGACAAGUCAUGGACGUCACCUCCCAAGACAUGUGUAGCCUUGCAGGAAAUCACAUAUUUUGCUAUCGGAUAUAUCACUCAUAAAUUGGUAAACUAAUAAUUGUUGCAUGGUAGGUUUUCAAGCACUUCAAGCUUUCUUUCUUGUAUUCAGUUCUCAUAAAGAAAGAUUGGAACAGUUUGCUCAUCUUUACUAAAUUAAUUAUGACUGGAAGAAGAUGACAUGCUUUAAGCUUUCUAUUUCGAUAUUCAUGCCAAUGUUUUGGUUGAAUUGAUUUAGUGGUAGAUACAACUAUUUGGCUAACGUUGUUGUCAAUUUUGUAAGCAUAUAGAAAUAUGUACUUCUGUACUAAUCUUACCAAGAAAGACUAUGAAGCAUCUCAAGUCAGCAAGAUCGGUAAAGUCUCCUAUCAAAGCAAACAAUAUUGAUCAUUAUAUGUGUCAAUUGCGAAUUAAUUAGUUGAUCAUGCAUAUGGUUAUUUUUAUUAUUAAGUUUUUAAACUUGGUUAUCAAAACAAAGAGAAAAUAUAUGUUUUGAACAUGAUAAAUUCUACUAUGCAUGUAAAAGGCAUACCGAGAAGCAUAUGUAAAUAUGCAUAAAUUAUUUUACUUGUUUUUUAGACUUUAUUCUGUCAAGAUAGUCUGGAUGUUUCGGCACUAGUAGUCUAUUGCACUGUUUUUCAUGGGUAAAAUAAAUUCAUGGAAAUAAAUUUUGAAUCAGUUUUGUUACAUGAUAAUGUGUAGACCGAAUGUAAUUGCCAUGUCAUUGGUUGCUAUGGGAAGUAAUCAAUAUGGAUUAAAAUUUUAACUUUUGCAAACAUGUAGCAAAAUUGACAUAUGGCGUGUUUUAAAGGGAUUGGGUUGUCCUAUAUUGCUUUAAGCUUGAGAUGAUCUUAUGUAAAGACACAAAUGUGUUGAUUAGUAAUGCAGCAUACUAGCACUUAAGUAUGAUUGGGGAUUAAUUCAAGUACGGUUUAUAAUGAUAUUAAGUCCAUAAGGAAUUUGAAUGACUAAUCAAAUUAGUUUUGUCUACAAUUUUGCUUUUCUAUUUCAGUAUAGUCAUUUAAUUGUACAUGACUAGUUAACUAUGAAAUUGAUGCAUAACUUGUGGAUUGACUGAGAGUGACAGAAAGCAUCUGGUGGCAAGAACAAGGACAUUAUACAUAUGAAUGAGGUUUGCAGUAAUUAUGUGACACUUCUCAUUUGUAUUAUAUUUAUUCUUAUAUGAGAAUUAUGGUGGUCAUGUGAUUAUAUAUAUGUUUACAAAGAAGUGGUGAACAUAUGAAGGGAUGAGGUAUGUAAUCCAUUCAAAGUAUGUGAUUGAUAAGCAUGAAUUUUCAAACAUGUAUUAUUGUUUGUGGUUUUUCCUAUGCCUAAAGAAUUUAAACAGUGCUUUGAUUAGUAAAUUUUAUGUGUCAUAAGGGGAGAAGAAAAACAAGCUUUUGAGGCUAAUGUAGGGCACAUAUUGGAGAUGUUUUCUAUGGAAGAAAAUAAUUUUGGUUGUUCCUUUUAUUUAAUUUGGUAUUUACAAAGCUAAUGCAUGAUUUUAAUGCUAUGUUUAGUAGUUUUGUACUACGGAAAGAAAUAUAUAAAAGGAAAGGAACCCGUUUGAUAUAUAUUUGAGCGAUUUAGCUUUUAAAUUAAAGGGAUGUAUUGUUCUCUCACAUUACAUAAAGUAUUUCUAAUUGACUCCGUAAUGAUAAGUAUUGACAUUCUUGUGGUGAAAACUUGUUCUAUAUGUGAUUAAUCUCCUUCAAGUAUGUUGUCAGGUUUUUGAGAUUAAUUUAAUGUCAAAGGGAGUCAUGAAAUGUUGGCAAGACUCGAAGCUCGAAUCAGGUUAUCAUAAUUUUGUCACUUACAGUUAAUUAAUCCAUGUGACUUCUUGUAUUGUUUCAAGGCGGAGUUGACCAAUGCCUUUUCAACUAAGCAAGACGCAACGGCUUAGUUGACGAUGAGACUGUGUUUUUGAGUUACUUCGGUCAACUUUGCAUCUUAAUUAGAAUAAAAGGGAUAAUCUUCUUGCCUACAGGUGUGGAUUACUUUCUUUUUUAAUUAAGAUGGCAUAGUAUGAGUUUUAUUUCACAGAAGUUGUGAAAACCUUCAUCUUGCCUACAGGUGUUGAAGUUUUUCAUGAAGGAACUUAUGUGACAUAAAAUCUAGUACUAGAAACUAGUUAAUUUUCUUGCCUACAGGUGUAAAUUAAUUUAGUUUCAUGAAGUUUAUUGGGAUAAAGUUCCAUGCCAUUAGUGACAAAUAUUUCCACAAUGAGCCCCAUAAAAGGUUGUGGUUUGAAGGCAUGGUGUAUUUUGUAUCUCUUCAUGAGACUUGUUGAUGCAAAGUAUUGGACCCAUAAAGGUUAAUCAAGGAUUGCUAAGGUAUGCAUUGUUUAAAUCUUAUGCUUGUAAAUUUUUCAAUUUGAACUAUGAUGUUGUUUUAGAGGAUGAAAUUUGACUCCUAAAGUUUACUUUGGACAUCGAAAUUGAAAUGAUAUGAAAUUGAAUCUGUCAUAGAUGCAUAAAUUCAUGAUAGAUGUACAUAAUUGCUUCUGGCAGAUUGCGUGUCUUGAAUUAAAUCGGGUGAAUGACACGACUAAUGGUCACCAAAUGACCUGAAAUUUUGAUAUAUUCAACAUAUAGAUUUCUACUAUGUGUCUGCAAAUUUUUGUAAUUUUCUUCCAUGUAUUUUAAUUAUGGUGAAUUUACUAGUAACCCAUGCUCGUAUAGACAGUUUUACUGGCAGAUUGUGUUGGUCUUUUUGAGACAUAACUUUGGACUACUAUUUUGAACCAAAACGGCUCUGUAUUUUCAUUUUUGAAGAUUAGUAUGUCUAUUUUGAUCAGUAUACAUUUGGUAGCAAUCAAGCUUGUAAAUUAAUUAUGAUAAAUUCUAAAGUAAGUGUAACUCAUUCCUGAAAUUCAGUUUGACAACUUUAUGUUGGUUGUGAUGUCUAUUUUAUUAUGUCCAAAAUAUAAAGCAGUUUUAUUUAGGUACAUCUUUGAAAGAGUGUUUGCCCAAGUGGGAGAAUUAGUGAACGAAAAUUGGGCUUCACACUCAUUAACUUAUUUGCAAGUAUAAACUCUGAAAACUUAGUGGGAGUUGUUCUAAAGUUUGAGCAUUAAGUGGACUUGCAUGAAUCUAUUAAAGCGUUAUUCUAUCUUCCAUGAAUUUGUGUUACUUGAAUGUCUAUAAUAUGUUUAAGUUGCACGAAUUGAUACUUGGUAUAUGCGUACAUUUUUCUGUUAUUUGCAAUCAUUUGGAUUUCUUGGUUAAUCAUUUGUUUUGAGGCUCAUAAGGACUUAGCAUAAAUGUGGACUUAUUAAUACAUAUAAGAUGGUUCUUGGAUGCAUAUUUUUGUGUAACAGUGAUGAAUGCUUUUGUGCUUAGUUGUACAUUUCAUUGAGGUAAUAUGCAUUCAUUGACUAUGUAAGGCUAUUCCCAAAGGCAUAUUUUCAAAAAUAUGAUUUAAGUAUUGAUUUGCAAAUUAAGUAACGAUGUUGUAGAUCAGCGGGAGUUUGAGUUUAGUGUUAGUAAUGCCUUACAUUUGCAGAUGACCAAUAAGGUAUGUAUAGAAUCCAUGUAUAUUCAUUUUAAUCUCCAGUUGGAUUCAUUAAGUCACAUUUUACGUGUGCUAGUCAAUCAUCUGAUGAAAUAUAUAUCAGAUAUCAAGUUGUUAUCAAUUUGCAUAUUAAAUGGCAUGACAUGGUUUGUGCACUGGCUCCGUUGUGAGGAUUUCCAUCUUGCCCGCAGGUGUUGGAAAUCACUAUGAAAGUAACUGGUAUUGUGCAUAGAUCAGUGUCAAAAACAUAUUAAUUCAUCUUGCUCACAAGUGUUGAAUUAAUUUGUUUUAUGAAGUUUUGGAAUAAUAAAAGUUUACGUUGGCAAACAUGCAGAAUGCUUGAAAAGCAUAACGUGUCAUUUUGGAAUGAUAAAAGGUUUGCAUUGGCAAACAUGUUGACUGCUUAAAAGCAUAAGCGUGACUUUGGAAUGGUAAAAGUUUGCAUUGGUAAACAUAUAGACCGUUUAAAAGCAUAAGGUCUGACUUAUGAAAGUUACGAUAAAGUGGACCUGAGAUGAUAUAGAGUAAGAUAGUUUUUGAGUUAAAGUUCAUCUCUAGAUCAUAAUCUGGUGGUUUUCAUGUGAAUGGUUGACUCAAUGUGUGUGAUUAUGAAGGUUCUGAGAUGAAAUAUCUUUACAACCUUGUUAGUUCUACAUUGAGGAAUCCAUUUGACAGAAAUUUGAAUUAAGGAUGGGAUUGGAUCGCAGUGAUAUGGCCAUUAAAGAAACAAUGAUCUCCGACAUAUGUUUUGAAGCAUGAUCAUUACAAUUAGUGGACCAAGUGGGAGAAUGUUGGAUUUAUUCAAUAUAAAUCAACCAUAAAUGGUCUACUAUAUGUAAUAGGAAUGUAUAAGUAAUAUAUGAUUAUGAUGUUUUACUUGAGAGCCAAGAAAUGAGAGUUUUAGCUUUCCCUUAUGGACGGAAUCUAAGACUUUUUGGCUAGUAUAUAUACACCGGUCCCUGCUAACCCUAGAGACGACAACUAAGGCUUCCCAUAGAGCAUUGUCAUAAGGCUAGGAGUUUACAGAAGAGUUGGUGUUUCUGUUUGUCAAGGCAAACAUAAAGAUUGGAGUUUUAUCGAUCACGUCUUGCUUGCAUGGCUGCUGCAUCUUCAACAAUUGCUAUUGGAAUCAGGUCAGUCACUCAUUCGUUUGUGUUUUAAUUGUAUAACCUAAUAAGGCUUACAUUCCAGGGAUCAACAAGUUUACGUUCCAAGCAGAAUAGCAGAUGAAACCUUCAUCCUAGACUAGCCCAUUGUUGAUAUUGUAGGUGCCAGUUCUAUAGUGGCAGUUCACAGAAAGUCUCAUACUAGAGUUAGAAGCUAUGUUGUAACUCAUGGUGACUGCACUUGAGUCGUGGGCUCAAAACUCAGAAGGGUAGAGUCAAAGCAUAUGAUGAAGCCAUGAAGCUAAAUUAAUUAUCAAAACAAUAAGUGAUGAAGGAAAUUUGAAGUUUUACUCUAAAAUCAAUAUCAUUUUUUUUUUUAACAUAACCAAACCAAUAUCGUUGUAUAGGAAAAUGUAUUUGUUUUGUAGUGGGUACUACGUAAGCGACACGUAAAACAAAUAAAAGAUGGUUGGAAACAAUCUUAAGAGCAUAUAAUAGACUUGCUAAAUGAGCUUCUAGCUAAAAUAGAAAGAAAUUGAAAAAACUUAUCUCCAAUCACAAUUCCUCUUCUGCUUUUAAGAUAACUAAUCUUCAGCGAGCUCCUAAAUCUGGAAAGGGAGAAAAAAACUCCUAUAAUUUUUAAUUAAAAUUUGAUUUGAUGAAAUUAAAUACAUGAUUGAAGAUGCUCUAGAGACGCAUAUAAUGUUUGAUAUAUGAAACACCCCAACCUCAUUUAUUUUAAAAUAAUUGUUUGGACCUAAAUUGGUGAGCCAAGGGGCCCACCCCUUUUAUUUUGUCCCUCGGUCUCUAUCCUCUCAGCCCUUCCCUGUGUUCUCCCUCUUCUCUCUCUCGAAAUCUUCUCUUCCUCACUCCUCGAUCUCUCACCCUUCGACCCAUACCCGAGAGCAUCCACACCUGCAACUACUCUACUCGAGAACAUCAUCAUCAUCAAGCAUUGCUUUGGUCUUUCUUCCAUCGCAGCGAGAUUGGUGAAAGUAGAGAAAAUGACCUCCGGCGAGUUCCUCGCUGCUUCGACGAUAGGUAAGCCUCGGGAUUUCUCUCUCUAUCUCUGUACUCUUUAUCCCUCUGUCACUUGAAAACCUUCUCAUCCCUCCCUCUUUCUCUUGCACCGUGAUUACACACACCCACAGCUGCUCGAGGACAUCAUCAUCAUCUUGUCGUCCCUUUCUCUCUCGACGUGCGAAGCUUGACGGAGCACAGGAAAACCCAGCGAACCCGCGAGCACCCAAACCCGAAUUUCGAACACCACCGGCCGUUCCACGGUAAACCAAGGGUAUAACCUCGCUCCCCUCUCUUUUCUCUUUAAUUUGAUGCAUAAAUCGGAGCUUUGGGUGUAUGUUUGUAGUUGGUCGGAGCUGUAGAAGCUCCGGUGUCCUUAUCCGGUAAGCACCAGGCCUUUAGGCCGUUCUCAAAGGCUAUGGGCCUUAAGCCCGUUUUUGUUUAACCCCUAAACCUUUUCAAAAUCAAGCCUUAGGGCCUUUUCCUUUUAUUUGGGGCUUAAAGCCCGAUUUUUGGUAACUAGGCCUGCGGGCUGUGCCUUGUGGGUGUGUAUAGGCUGUGUGUGUUGUGUGGUGUGUCCGUGUGUGUGUAUGUAUAUUCUGUGUGUGUGUAUGUAUGAUUGUGUAUGUGCGUAUGUGUAUAUGUAUGCACGUGUGUGCGUGUGCAUGUGUUGUGCAUGUGUGUGGUAUGUUGUGUGUGUGUAAGUGUGCAUGUGUGAUGUGCGCGCAUGUGUGUGUGUUAUGUGUGGAUUUGGGAUUAAGCCCAAACCACCCUUUUUAUUCCUAAGCCUAUCCAAAACCAAAACCCAAUAGAUUCUAACCUUAUUUAAACCUAAACUUAAACCCUAAUCCGGAUUUCAAACCUAAAACUUGUUAGACCUAAUUUGACCGUUGACCCUCGGUCAACAUUGACUUUAGGGUUGACUUUUCGAGUUUUCGUCCGGGACCCUUCUAAGGGUAAUUCGACGUCCUGAACCCAUUUCCAAUGUCCGUUUUUCCAAAUUCAAUCGUUUAAGUAGAGUUUGACUAAAUGUAACCUUUAUGUGCUUAGGGGCAAUUAUUGUGACACUUCCGUCUUCGCUAGUGGCAUAGUUUUUUGCGGCUAAGUACUGUGAGCGGACCCCUUCUAAAAUUUCAUGAUUUUAUAAUUUAAUUGCAUAAAUGAUUAGCAUGCCUACGAAUUUAUGAUUCGAUUUAUGUUAAGCCUGUUUACUGAAUUUAUUGAUUUUUCAUCUCGUGUUUUUGGUGAGGAAUUAAUUGUUAGUCUAUAUUGAGCUAUAUUUUAAUAUAUCGUAUUUUUUAUAAAAACCAUGAACUGGUAGACUAUCUGAUGGAUGACGAUAGGAUGCUAGAACAUGUUUUAGAAACCCCUCUUUAUAGUAUAGACGAUGGAUGACUUUAUACAAUGAAUUUGUUAUUUAUGAGAGGCGUAACUAUUUGUGCGUACCUAGAUGACACUAUGCCGUCUGGGACGAGGAUCUGGUAUUGGCAUUUAGGCCGGGAGAAAUAAUCCCUAGCUACGAGCUGAGGGACAUGGAGUAGGUAUUGGGCCGGGAGUUGGUAAUCUUUGGCUACGAGCACAGAGACCACGAAGCAAGCAUUGGGCCGAGAGUUAUAUUUAUUCACUGAUCUUUCUAGCAGCACACCAUGCUUAUAAGACGAUCUAUUAGAUGUUUACUGUUUUGAUUUCUGUGACGUUAUUCCGCGAUAUGACUUUUGAGAUAUUUUGGCAUGCUAGGAUUUUUAUUAAAUCCAUCACUUAUUAUGUUAGUAGUUUAUAUAUAAACUUGGGGGUUAAUAUGUUCACAACUGUUUUCGUAUUAUGUAUGUAUAUAUAACUUGGUCCACUCACCUUUCUUUUGUGCCCCCAUUCAGGACUUAGGAUCAAGGCACCUAAUCCUGGCGUCAAGACACUUUCGCAGCAUCAUCUUUGAAUUCUCUCGAUGUAUGACCCACUUCUUUAUUCAUUCAAUUUCAUCUUAAUUCUUUUUAGUGAUUAGGUUUAAUUGUAUGCUCUGAACACGUUCCUAAAUUUUUAAUUCAUUGUAUUUUAAAUUUCUAACUCUUAUUUAUUUCUUAUUCUUAACUUUUGUAUCAAUUAAUAUCUUUCGUCACCCUCGGGUGUCGGCCAGCACGUGUCUAUCCUGGUAUUCGGGGAAUAUCAGGGUCAGGGCGUGUCAAUAUAACUACAUAAAUGCCUCUAGUAUAGCUAUUGACAUACUGAAUAUUUUUUUACGGAGCUGUUUAGACUCAAAUUUACACAAUCAGCCCAUGCAAUCAAGGUCGUCGAAUGAGCAGGAUUUUAGACCGUUGAAAGAUAAAGUGGUUGAAAUGGUUUUUAAUUAUUAUUAAGAAAUGAUAUUGUGAUUUUAAUCAUGAUAUUAUCUCUUAGUAAUAUAUUAAAUCAUUUAAACCUGAUAUUUAUCUAAAUCCCAAUUUGAAUGAUUAUGGGAUAUUCGGUAUUUGGCAGUGCAGCUAAUGCUGGAUUAAUUUCAUGCAAUUAAUCCAUGCAUAGGAUAAAGGUGAAAGAUGGUGAUGUGAAGUGAUUAGGAUGGUUAUAUCUAGAUAAAAAAAAAAAAAGAGUAGGCUUCAACCUACGGACAUGAUGGAAAAGCUAAUUAUCAAAAGAUAGUGACAUGGUAAUUUCUUGACCAUUGAUCACAUGAUGAUAGGAUAAGGAGUAGGCGUGUUUGGUCAGAUGUGGUGUAUUUAAAUACUGAAGAUUUGUGGUGUAAAGAGACUUAGGGAUUGCUUCAGUUUGGUAGUCAUGAUACAUCAGAAGAUAAGAGAUUAUUUGCUAGUAACUGUGACACAUUAAGAAACUCAGAGGUUUAUGGCUUGGCCAUGAGCAAGAGCAGCAUUAUAAAUACAGAGGCACUGUGCAUCGUAAAACCUCUCCAACUCAACACGUAAACUGCCCUGCGCAAACUCUCGCUCUACGCGAAACCUCUCAACAACCUUGAGAUUUUUAUUUUCUUUUCGCCGACACAUUUUCAGUUUGGAUAAAGAACACUGCGUCGAGGCCGACUGGUUAUCUAUCCAAGUCUCGAUCGAGAAGGAUUUUCGAAUCCUUAUUGGCAAAGGUCAUCUCAUUAGCCUUCUCGGCAAAAUGAGGUGUUAUAAGUUACUACAUUUGACACAUUGAAAGCCGAAUUUGAUAUUGAACUUCGCAGAACUAGCAGCCUGUCUUCAGGCUCUAGAACCCGAAGGCCGAGACAUGUUUCUUCCUCGGCCGUAGUCGCAAGGUCAAGAAGUCAGCAGCGCGCCCAACGCGACAUCAACACAUUUUACUCCCCAAUCUAGCUCGGUCGACGAGUGGCAUGCCCCGCACAUAGCCGAAUGACGUAGUUAGCUCAUUAGUUACUUGACCUGCGUGCCACGUAGGCUAGGUAAUUUUUAGGGUCAAAAUUUUAGCACUCCCAGUGGGACCUAAUGCUAAAACUGCGAAGUUCAUAUAAUAUAUCAAGAUUCCAAUCCGGCUUCAUUUAGCUGAUUGCACGAGCUUCUUGCUCAAUUGAAAAGAAACAGUGAAGAUGGUACAAAAAGUCUUGAAGAGGAUAGAAAUGCCUUGAGGAGGAUAAAAGAUCAUGAGAAGCGGUAAAAGUUCUACGUGGUGUGAGAGCCAGGCAAAAAUCAUUCGCCUACAUGUUAAGAAUAAAAGCUCAUGUUACCUUACAAGAGCAAUGGGUAAACAAAGAUAGUGCUCGAUUUAAUGCCUGGCUAGAUGAAGAAUGAUUUCCUUACGUUUCUGACCACAAAUCAAUUCCAUUUGAAAAAUGGUUAAGUCCAAAGGCCGGGGGGCAAUUAUCCGCUUCGGCCUAAAAAAAUUGUUCAUUUGACUGAAGAAACACCUAGGCCACCUAUUGUCUCGGUUGAGACUGAAAGUGUGGUAGUAGGCCUAGAAAAAAGAGUUUAAGUUUCUAAGCCAAAAUUCGACUCAAAAAAUUAUUCGUCAGAGGAGUGUUCCAAUGAUGAACAAGACCGAUACACGGCUUCAAACCAUAAAACCACAUCAAUUGAUAUGGUUGUUGGAUACAUGGUUUUAGACGCAGAAACUACACCAGUUGAUAUGAUUAUUGGUGAUACAGCCGUUAUGGAGAAUUCCCGUUUGGCUAACUUAUUUGAGUUAAAAGCCGAAAUUAAUGAAGUAAUUAUGCAUGGGGGCAUAAUAAUUGUUCAACACAUUCGGUGGCCGAUGAAAAAUAUUUCACCAAGUCAAAAAAAUUUGGAGGUCAUUUUUUAUUCGGCUUGGUGCAAAACCUGAUUAGCAAUAUUAGUAUUGAACGAUCUCGGCAAGGAAUAAAACAUUGUUAGCCUCCUUCACUUUAUAGUUUGGCCAAUUUUGUUUUCUUUUGCUAAAAAAAAGCAUGAAUAAAUGAUUUUCUUAACCAUUCAGCCCUUUAGGCCGAUGCAUAAGAAAAUAAGGGGAGCAACAAGAUGGUGCGGCAAUCCAAAAGAUGGUGUGCUCGGCUUGGAAAAUUGUUCUUUAGCUGGGCCGAGAAAAUAUGUUUGCAAAGGUCACCCGUGCUAGGCGGUAGGCCUUCGUGGCGAGAUUGGUUUUGGAGUUGGCCGAAUGAAAUGUUACGUAUAAGUACACUUUCUCCAUUUGAUCGAUGCCAUGCACACCUUGACAGUGAUCAGGACAAGUGGGUUCGGUUGCCAAUGUUGCAAGCCCUUAGACAUGUGCAUGCAACGUUCUUCCUUGUAGUUUUUCUCGACUAGCAAAGAUUUUGCUAAGCAGUUAUGGUAUUUGUAGCAUGAGCUCGUGUUAGAGGGCGUAGUGCUUAGGCCAAGGGCCAAGAAGGAUUUGGUUGGAUCAGAAAGGACUUGAUCUUAACGACUGAAGAUUGUUGGUCAAGCUUGACCAUAGUAUAAUUCGGCGAGGCAAUGUUUACAAUAGGACAAAUCCUGUCAAAUUGAAAUCUCGGCCAAAAAGUAUGGCAUUCAAAGAUUGGCAUUUGUUUGGAAUUUCUUAGUCAUGGCCGACAACAUCAUUUAAUAGGCCACGAUGUGAUUUCUUUUAUGACCUUGGUUUUAACAAAGCCAUGUUUCUUGGUUCCGCUUUCUUUUUCUCUUGAAUGGAGUCAGUAGCUGAGUAACAUGUCUAACUGUUGAGUGCCAUGCAUAAAUUUACGCUAUCAGCCCGCACAAUCAAGGCUGUUGAAUGAGCAGGAUUUUAGACCUUUGAAAGAUAGUGGUUGAAAUGGUUUUUAAUUAUUAUUAAGAAAUGAUAUUGUGAUUUUAAUCAUGAUAUUAUCUCUUAGUAAUAUAUUAAAUCAUUUAAACAUGAUAUUUAUCUAAAUCCCAAUUUGAAUGAUGAUAGGAUAUUCAGUAUCUGGUAGUACAGCUAAUAAUGGAUUAAUUUCAUGCAAUUAAUCCAUGCAUAGGAUAAAGGUGAAAGAUGAUGAUGUGAUGUGAUUAGGAUGGUUAUAUCUAGAUAAAAAAGGAGUAGGCUUCAACCUAUGGACAUGAUGGAAAAGCUAAUUAUCAGAAGAUAGUGACAUGGUAAUUUCUUGACCAUUGAUCACAUGAUGAUAGGAUAAGGAGUAGGCGUGUUUGGUCAGAUGUCGUGUAUUUAAAUAUUAAAGAUUUGUGGCGUAAGGAGACUCAGGGAUUGUUUUAGUUUGGUAGUCGUGAUAUAUUAGAAGACUAAGAGAUUAUUUUCUAGUAGCCGUGACACAUCAAAAGACUCAGAGAUUUACGGCUUAGCCAUCAGCAAAAGCAGCAUUAUAAAUACAGAGGCACUUUGCAUCGUAAAACCUCUCCAACUUAACACACAAACUGUCAUGCGCAAACUCUCGCUCUACGCGAAACCUCUCAACAACCUUGAGAUUUUUAUUUUCUUUUCGCCGACACAUUUUCAUUUUGGAUAAACAACACUAUGAAGGCAAUCGGUGACAUCUUCAGUUUGAAUAAACAACACUGUUGUCGUAGAAUCAGCUAACCGCAGAGCACCUUUAGUUUGGAUAAACAGCACUGGGUCGAGGCCGAGUGGUUAUCUAUCCAAGUCUCGGUCGAGAAGGACUUUCAAAUCCUUAUUGGCAAAGGUCAUCUUAUUAGCCUUCUCAGCGAAGUGAGGUGUUACAUGUUACUACAUUCGGCACAUUGAAAGCCAAAUUUGAUAUUGAACUUCGCAGAACUAGCAGCCUUGUCUUCAGGCUCUAGAACCCGAAGGCCGAUAUGUGUUCCUUCCUCGGCCGCAAUCGCAAGAUCAAGAAGUUAGUUGUGUGCCCAACGGGACAUCAACACAUUUUACUCCUCGAUUGAGCUCGACCGACGAGUUGGCACACCCCGCACAUAACCGAAGGACGUAGUUAGCUCAUUUAGCUAGGUUUAUCUUUACCUUUUGUAUUCAAAGCUGGUUUACAGGAAGAUAUAGGUUAUUUGAUGAAUAAUGAAUUUGCUUGAGGCCACCGACGCGUGCUCAAAUUUUUUGUCAAAGCGAAAUUUCAUUUUAAAGAAAAACCAUUACAAAGCCCAAGAGCAUAUACGGAUGCUUACAUGGGAGCAUAAUAUUUCUUCCUACAAAACAAAAGUAACUAUAUUUUUUUAUGUUUAACCUUUUGAUACCGACCAACCGAAUGCUUAUAUAGGAAUCCUUUAACAAGAGGGAUUCCCAAUUUUAAAAAUAAAUAGAGACAUUCUCUUGACAGUUAGAUUUGGUUUUAAUGAAAUUGUGUGGUUGAGAUUGUGUGACUUGUGAUUUAACCUCAACCACACAAUUUCAUUAAAACCAAUCCAACAGUCAAAAGGGUGUCCCCAUUUAAAAAAAAAAUUGGAGUUCCUUCUUGUUAAAGGGCCUGUGCUUAUAUAUAUAAAUGUGUAGAUCAUUAAAGAAUCAAUUAUAACAAGGAAAAAAUGGCUAAUAAGACACGUUCCAGAUUAUCAAUUAAUAUUAGUAUCAAUCAUAACAAAAGAAAAAAGCUAAUAAGACACGUUCCAGAUUAUCAAUUAGCCCGGACGGGUGAAGUGUAUUUUUGCUCACCUCUUAAAAUGUGGAUGAUGCUUACACCUCAUCGAUUAUCGUUAGAUUAAUUUAAAUUUUAAAAUUGUAUCUUAAAUCAAUUAAAUCAAACUAAUCGAAUGACAAUCAAUGCAGUGAAUAUCACCCCACUUUAAGAGAUGAGCAAAAUUGUACUCAAGACGAGUGUAAGUGAUCCUUCCUAUUUAACACAUAAGGUGACCAACUAAAGGAUGAGGAGUAAUUUCACCACUCUUUAGAUUUCUUAUUCGAAGAUUAGAAAUUAAUAAAGGUAUAUAAAAGAAGAAAAAAAUGUGUGAAAAUUAUUUCCUUGAAUAUAAAUUUAGCCCAAUAUUUUGGCACAAGCUUUAAUUGUGUAGUCUCAUUGGAGAGGAGAGUAUUAACAAUAACUUUUGAAGGAUGUAAUUGAAUACAUAUUAUUGAGAAAAUUGUAGCAAUAGUUCCUCAAUUGUAACCUAAUUAGAGCAGUGGUCCCUUAACUAAAAAUUAAUGACCAUUAGUUCUUUAACUCAUGAAAACGUGCAGCUAUAUAUGGUCAUUUUCAUCAACAUUGUCAGAAUUUUGUCAUAAUGAGUCAUGUCGGAAGAACCAUUACUACAAUUGGGUUAAAAUUGAGAGACAAUUGCUCAAAUUGGGUUAAAGUUGAGGGACCAUUUCUCAAAUUGGGUUAAAGUUAAGGGAUCAUUGCUACAAUUUUUCUCAUUUUAUUUUCCAUAUUUGCACCUUGAUUCAGCCUAACAUGCGUAGCACGUAACUUAUUUUGACAGAAGUUCUAACGAAGUUGAUGAAAAAGACCAUAGUUGCACGUUUUGAUGAGUUAAGAAAUCAAUGAUCAUGAAUUUUUAGUUGAGGGACCAAUACUCCGAUUGAGUUAAAGUUAAAAGACUUUCAACAAUUUCUUCUAUCUCAUAUAGUUAAUUUAUCAUAUAGUUAAUUUAUCACGUACUAAUUGUCUACUGGAUAAAUAGUGCAUUUUUAUAUACGUGACACACACAUACUAGAGAGUAACACCACACUAGGACUAAAUAAUGGUUGUAUGAGAGAUAUUUUCUCAUUGUAUGUGGGUAUAUGAAAUUGUCAGCAUGCUAAUCCUGGUGAUACGAGUAAUCAACUCGGAAUCUACCACAACUCGACUAUAAAGACCAGAGGGACUUUGGCUUUGGCUUAAUUAUCAUAUUUGUUGGGACACAGCAUGAGUAUUUCUAUGGGAGAGUGGGUGACCUUGGUUUUGGGAAGUUUUCCAUUGUUGGGGUUGCUAUUGUGGUGGUGGAAUGAGCUUUGGUAUGUGCUUCCUCUCAAACUACGACAUUCGCCUACCGGCGCUAAAUUGCCGCCCGGCCACAUGGGACUUCCAUUCUUGGGUGAAAUCUUCACCUUCCAUUGGUACUUCAAAAUUGUUCGUCGUCCUGACGACUUUAUCAAUGCUAAGCGGGCCAAGUACGAUUCCAUUUCUUUUUUGUUCUAAAUAUGCAUGUAUGCUAACUAGUAACAUUAACAUUUGGAAAACAAAAGAAAAAACUGGUAACAUUAACAUGGGAGUAUUAAGUACAAUAUAUAUUGUUGAGUAUUGACAAAUGAUUUAUUUCCAUUCUUUACAUGUAUACUAACUAGUUAGGAUUAAAUGUUUGAUAGGAUUAAAUGUUUGAGAAUAGAUUAAAAACUAUUUUAUGCUCUUGUACUUUUGGAUAUUUUGUCGUAAGAUUUUGAUUAUUAUAUAUUUGGGUAUGAAUCUAACAACUACAAACUUCUAAGUAUGUGAUAUCUCAAAAGUCGGAGCAUAUAUAGUAGUUUUUGACAAAUGAAACUAGUUCAGGUACGGCGAUGGAGUCGGAAUGUAUAGAACUCACCUCUUUGGAUCACCGACCAUCAUAGCAUGCUUCCCGGGAAUCAACAAAUUUGUGUUCCAAUCAGAUGAAACCUUCAUCCUAGACUGGCCCAAUGUUGAUAUUGUAGGUGCUAGUUCUAUAGUGGCAGUUCAUGGAAAGUCUCAUACAAAAGUUAGAAGCUAUGUUGUAAGCGUAAUUAACCGUCCUGACGCUCUCCGUCGCAUAAGCCAGCUUGUCCAACCCCGUAUGGUGGCCGCGUUGGAGUCAUGGGCUCUGAAGGGUAGAGUCAAAGGAUAUGAUGAAGCCAGGAAGGUAAAUUAACUAUCAAAACAAUAAAGCAAUAAGUGCUAGUCAUGCAGGUGUAAUAUUUUAUCAGAAAAUAUCUCAGUGCAAUUGAAAGUGUAAUCACUCAAUAUGAAUUAUAUUUUAUUCUAUCAGAUUCUCGGUGCAAGACUUUUUAAUAUCUUCAACAAUUUUUCAUGUUUCAUUAUGUUUACAGGUCACAUUUGAAAAUAUUGGGAAACUAUUCGUAAGUUUGGAGCCGGGGCCUCUCCUUGAUACCAUUGAUAACUUGUUUACUGGAUUAGUCACUGGAAUUAGGGCUCAUCCACUGAACAUUCCCGGAUCGGCUUACCGCCAUGCCCUUCAGGUUUGAAUCUUAAUGGGUUUUGGUAUAACAACUCCACUGAUUUUUCAAUAUAUAUUCAGACCAUAUUGUAAAUAACGUGCAUGCAUGUUAAAUAUAUGAAUGUGAAUUUGCAGUGUAGGAAAAAGCUUGAGGACAUUUUCAGGGUGGAGCUAGAGAAGAAAAAAACUCUAAAGGAAGGGGUGACAAAUGAUCUAAUGGAUGGGCUUAUGCAGAUUAAAGACGAUGAAGGCAAUAAAUUAAGUGACCAAGAGGUUCUAGAUAACAUUGUCAGCCUUGUUGUCGCUGGAUAUGCAUCUACUUCGCUAUCAACAAUGUGGACUUUAUAUUAUCUCGCAAAAUACCCUGACGUCCUCCAAAAGCUUUGCGUAUGAUCAUAGCAUAUCACCAUAUUCUCAUAAUUUUACUCAAAAAAAGAAACAUUCAUGUUCUUUAAUUAUGUUUCAUCUUAACGUGGUUCUCGUGAUCUGUGAUCAUAGGAAGAGAAUAUGGCUAUACAUGAGAACAAGACUGGGGAGUUUAUCACGUAUGAAGAUGUUUUAAAAAUGAAAUAUACAAACAGGGUACUUCAUCUGUAUGCAUUUUGGGAUUUACCAUUUGUUAUAUAUUGAUGAAAUGAGCUUAUAGCUUAAUUUACUGUAGUACUGCAUCCAAUGUUCUGAUUCCCACUCCUACUAACGUCUGUAUAAAAGAGAAAAGUCAUUCAUUAUAGUAUCGUUAUGCAUCUCUCGCGAUACUCCUUGUAAAAAAGAAUUAAUCUCAAGCCAAAAUUUUCAUAUAAUGAUAUACAGGUGGUGGAAGAAACAAUAAGAUUGGCCAACAUUGCAGCAUUUGUUUUCCGAUUGGCUACUAAGGAAGUUGAGUAUAAAGGUAACAAAAUGUAAAUUAUGUUUUUAAUUACCAUCGGCACACAUAACCUUUUGUGCGUUUAUAACCAAAUUGGUUGGUGUAGGUUAUAAAAUACCCAAGGAUUGGAGAGUGAUUGUUUGGGUUCGAUAUCUCCACACAAAUUCAGAGAAUUUUGAUGAUCCCAUGUGCUUCAACCCAGAUAGAUGGAAUGUAAGUCAAUAUUUCUAACACGAUAAAUUAAUUGGAGAUAAUUUACUAAUUAAUUAAUAGGUGUUAUUUCACUCCUUCAGGAACCAGCUAAGCCAGGAACAUACCAAGUUUUUGGUGGUGGAUCGAGAAUAUGUGCAGGAAACUUGCUUGUCAAGAUACAACUUGCAGUAUUUUUACAUCAUUUGUCUGUAGGAUACAAGUAAGAAAACUUAAUUUGUAGCUUGCUUUAUAUCUUAUACGCUAUUGAAUCUUUAACACAGUAUAGACAUCAGUCCUGAAUUUUAUGGUGAUUGAAAUUUUUUAGGUGGAAAUUGGUCAAUCCAGAUGCUGAAAUGAUUUAUCUUCCACAUCCAUUACCAGUUGAUAAGGUUGAUAUCACGUUCAACAAAAUUUAGAAAUCCAUUUUCUCAUAGCCUGAUCCAUAUGCAUGGCUUGACAUCUCACCGUUCUAUUUUCCCAAGUCGUAGGCCUGCUUUGAACUUCAAAAAUAGAAAGAAAAAAAACUAAAGAAAAGGAACUAGGAUUAUUUCUAUGUAUCUUUUUGGUUGUGAAUCAUGUAAUGUAUGUGUUUUCUAAUUCUUAUGCUCCAACAUUUAAAUUUCCUCUAUAAUGAUUUGGAACUCUUUUUUUCCCUCUCUCUAUCAAUAUAAUUGAGUACAUCCAGCCUGGUGUUCAUAUAGGUUUGUUGCGGGGAAAGAGGAGUUAUAUCUACGAUGGGGUGUGUAUAAAUGAACUAGGGUUAAGGUUGAAGUGUCGUAAGUGACACGCAAAACAAAAUAAAGUACGGUAAAAACGAUCUUUAGCGCAUAAAACAGUCUUCCUAAAUGAGCUUCUAGCUAAAAUUUAGAAAGAAAUUAAAUUUUUUUAUCUCCAAUCAUAGUUCCUAUUCUGCUCUUAAGAUAACAAAUAUUCAGGGGGUUCCUAAAUCUGGGAAGAGAGAAAAGAGCUCCUAAAAAAAUGUUUUGGUUAAAAUUUGAUUUGAAAAUUAAAUACAUGAUUGAAGAUGCUCAAGAGACGUAUAUGAUGGUUUAUAUUUACCUUUUGUCUUCAAGGCUGGUUUACAUAAAGAUAGAGGUUACUCGAUGAAUAGUGAAUUUGCUUGAGGACACCGACGCAAGCUCAACAUGUCAUUAAAAAAAACAAACAUUACAAAAGUCCAAGAGCAUAUACAGAUGCUUACAGGGGAGCAAAAUAUUGUUUCCUGCUAAACAAAAUUAACUUUAUUAUUUGUUUGUUUAAUCUUUUCAAACCGACCAAAUGUUUAUAAUAUAAAGAGAAAUGUUAAGGAGGCUCUUUAAAGUGGGAUUCUUGUGCUAAUAUUAAAAAUAUUAUGCAAAAAAAUAUGAGACGGCGAAGAGUUUAUAGAGAGUCCCUAUUUUAAGAACAUCUCUUCAACAUGCCCUAAUAUAAAUGUAGAGAUCAGAGAAGAAUUAAUUAUAACAAAAAAGCUAAUACGACACAUAGAUUAUCAAUUAGCUAAGAUUACUGGUGGAGUGCAUUUUGGCUCACCCCCUAAAGAGGAGGUGAUCCUCAUCCCCUGUUGGAGUGCAUUUUGGCUCACCCCCCUAAACCCUGUCAUGAAUCAAUUAAACCAAACUAAUUAAACGGUAACCGAUGGAGAGGUGAGCAUCACCCCCCCCCUUAGAGAAUGAUUUGAGCUUAGCCCACCCACCAUAUAAUUUUUGGCUUCGCCAUUGAAUCUAACAAAAAUUUUGAACUGAUUCAGAGAGAAAGAUAGAAGAGAUCCCGUUGAAAGAGAGAUGAGAAGUAAAUGGAAGAUGGAGUCAAAUUCAAAGAUGUUAAAGUGUUGCAGCUGAAAAUGGGGAAGGGGUUGAGAUUUAGCUGUUGUUGGCUUAAUUUGAACAGAUUGGACUUGGCGGUGCAUAUUGAACACAUUUGAACACAGUAAAUCGAGAAUCCACGAGACGAACGCGAUGUCUGAAAUGAAUCGAUCUGACUCGCAACAGAUACGCGGUGCACAGUGGCCAACCACAAAUCUAAUUAAACCCACAAUGCGAGACCGGCUUUAUCCGCCGGAUUGUCGACGUCUUUUUGUCCAGUUAUAUCUGCUUUACCAGCGAGCGGUGGGUUGUUCUUCAUUUUGUUCAAAUUUUGAAUUUGUUGUUGAAUUUCGAGUGGUGGUUUAGAAAAACACACAAAGGAGGGUGGGCUGGGGUUGCAGACUUGCAGUGGAGUCGAAGGUAGGGGAAUUCAUGGUGCGCUGGUUUUGCAAUUUUGAACUUAACUUAUUUUUUUAAAAUUGAAGUGUCAAUUUAGUCCAUAAAUUAUCACCUCAGUGAAAAUUAGGUUCUUAAAUUAUUUUUUUUUGGUAAAAUAAGUUCCAAACUUCAUUAAAAAUUGCUAAUUUCAUCCAUACUAUUAUAUUCAAAUUUAUUUUAUCCAAUUUGUCGUCAACUUAAGUCACUUGACACACUUUAAAAUGUAAUACCAUCUUUUUUUUAGCCAAUAAGCCCUGACAUUUCAUAUAGAUUGCAUAUUUAAUGUCUAAUUUAUCAACCAAAUUUAACUCCAUACACUAUUUGUAUAUGAAAAAUUACCAAUUUACAAUCCAAUGUGUAUGACACACCCCGACCGGAGUCGAGGCAUGCUGGUCGUCGCCCGAAUGUGACGUAACCAAAAGUAUAAGUGAUGUAAAAAUGUGAAUAAUUUAAAACCGAAACUAGAACUCAUUUAAACUAAUAAAGUGAGUGCGCAGUAGUGGGUAGAACUCAUAAAAUACAAAUGUUCAGGAUAUAGAUGACAAAUAGUGCAAUCGAAACUAGUUAAGUAUUUAAUACACAACGGGAUAAGUUCCUACACUUAAACAAGGAUAUGUUAGAAUCGCUGGCUAAUCCUCGUACGCCACAGAGUAAUUCAACUAUCUAGGACCUGGAAGGGCGAAAUAACAAAAAAGGUGAGUGGGCAAAAACAAAAGUUUAUAAAAAACCAUUUAUUUUCUGAAUAUACUAACCUCUCGCCGUAAAACAUGUAUAGUUUCCAGAAAAAUCAUACUACAUAAAAGUAUGAAAUCAAAUGCAAAUCAACAGUAAAUCCAGAAGUAUGCCACAUCACAAUAUCUCAACAGUAAUAUAAGUAAAAUCAGGGGUUCAAUCAAUCUAUACUGGCACACAAGUCGGAGUCGCCUAAUGCGACUUGUACGAAUGAACUAAUGCUCAUCAAUCUAUGUUAGCACAAGAGUCAGAGUCGCCUAAUGUGACAUGUACGAUAUGACUAUGUGUAUUCAUAAUAUACUCUCUAGUGCUACAAUCACGUGAAGACUAGCGCUAAUCGCGAUCAUUUACGAGUCGGGGUUGCCUAAUGCAACUUGUACGACACGAUUGGCACAUACUUGGAUCCAAGGCGAGCGUGUAGUGCAGAGGUGAACAUACACGUGAAAGACUAGCCCUGGUUUGGGGCGAGCAUUAACAACAGGGUGCAGCAAUGAUGAGCAGACUACAUAAAUAUAAGCAUGCCAUAACAAUUCAAUAAUUCUAGUCAACAUAAUAAACUUACCUGACAAUAAACUUACUUGUGCAUCCCGUAGGAUUAUUUUAGUAUUUCACCACAGUAUAACAUUUCUUAUAACGUUAUUUAAUCAUGGCAUGAUAUGCAUAAAUCAAUUCAAAAGCGUUUAUGGAAACUAUAAAGUUUAUAUAUAUAUAUAUAUAUAUAUAUAUGCAUAAAUCAAUUCAAAAGCAUAUAUGGAAACUAUAAAGUUUAUAUAUAUACGAAAACAAAUGCCCACUCCCUAAUACGUUGAUGGAUCGUAGCCCCCUAGCCUCGCUUGUCCUCGUACGUCCUCAAGAUAAGUCUCCCCUAUAUGUGAAACAACUAAUAAUAAUUAGUUAAUUAACACAUACACUAAAAGCUAGGAAAAACCCCUCAUAGUUUGCUCAAACGGAAGGUUUGAAUAUAAGAAAACAUUCUACUCGACGUCACGGACCUGUAUGCGUCAACCACUUGCCAGCCGGAGGCCGGACGCUUCCUCACGAGGCGCUUAGCCCAUGACCACAUGCACAAGCAUGCGCCUAGCAGAGACUGACAGAAGCCAGAAAUAUUCCGUCAGACUUGACAGAAUAUUCCGUUAAACAGUUAACAAAACUUAACGGCAUUACCUAACGCCGUUAGUAUAUUCCAUCAACUUUGACGGAAUAUUCUUCGUCUUCUCUGGUGAGUCUCGCCGUCCGCCGUCGCCAUCUGGUUUGCCGGUUUCUGAGAAAAAAUUCAAAACCUCAUAACUUGCUCAUUUCUUAACCAUUUUCAACGAUCUUUAUAUGGAAAUGAAGCUAUUGAGGAGAAGAACAAGAUUGUACUUUUCAAAAGUCCAAAAAAGUGGAUGGGAAUGGGCUGAAAAAGCUUCGAAAGGUUCAGCCUAUUUUUCUACUCCUCGAAAACGUGUGUUUCGACGUUAGUUCUUCUUCAAACCUAGACUAAUGGCCUCGAGUAGUUGACUAGGUGCUUCCACAACCUUCAAAAACUUGUAACUCGAUCGGGAUCACGUCGGAGCAAACUCAUCCGAGUUAGAGCUUCUGAGUUGACGAGUCAAAACUCACCCAUUUGAGAAUCAAUUUGUAUGGUUGGGUUUGUGGGUUCGAAAGGAACACAUGAUGGGGUUUUUAAGUUCAAUCUGUGAGUGUUUGAUGAAGGUCCUUGUAGUUGCAAAGAAGAGAGUGACGGGUGAAGAGAGAGAAAUGGAAAAGAUGAGAGAGAAAGAGAAAGGUUUUCUGAUUGGUUGAGAAGGAGAUAGAGAUAUGUUUGAUUAGUGGAGAAAAGUGAGGAUGAGAUUUGAUUGGUGGGUGAAACAAGUCACGGAUAGGUUUUUAAAAGAAGAAAAUGAUAAGGUUUGGUACACAUUUUAAAUUACGCGGAAUAUGUCCCCUUAUCAAAAACAAUGUUUCCAACACUGGAUAAUUUACACACGUGCACAAACCUACCUGCUGUUUACAUACUUUAAUGUAACGUAACUUUUUCGUUACCACUCCGAUUCGGGUCUAAAUCGUGCUCACGAGAUCGUAACAAUGAGUACUAUUUAAUUACGAUAAUGAGAAAAAUAAUUAAAAACUGAAUAACCACGUCCACGUCACUUUGUCAACAAGGGCAUACAUGUCAAUUUACACACUUAGAUGAGAAAUUACAUGGAAAAUUAGGGACGGGUCAUCACAUGUAUCACAUGUAAGUAACAUGACUUAAAUUGACGGAAAAUUGAAUAUAGUAGCUUCAAAUCUAAUAUUAGGGAUGUAAUUGGUAGAUUUUUAUAAUUCAAUGACUGAUUUUUCGAAAAAAAAUAAUAAUUUAGAGACCUAAUUUUCACUCAGGUGAUAAUUCAAGGACUAAAUUGCCAUUUCACUUUUUUUUUAAAUAUUUUCUUUUCUAUAUAAUUAGAAAUAUUUUUGAAUUAUUUAAGUAAUUAGUUAUAAGGUUUAAAUUGUCAAUUUAUUAACAAAACUUUGACUGAAGGAGCUAUGUGAAAGUGAAUUUAAACCUGAAGGGGUAUCAAUAUAAUGUCUCAAACGUGAGGGAGUUUUGUGAAAACUCAAUAAACCUUAAGAGGUAUUGGUGUAAUUAACCCACUAAAAUACUAAUGAUAUUCAUAUUAUCAAUUAACCAAGACGGGUGUAAGUGCAACUUCCACUUUGGCACAUAAGGACACCAGCUAAAUUAAGGGCUAAUUUGGUGUUAUCGUGCUUUUUAGAAAGAAAAAAAAUUAUUUUUGUUGUGCUGUGAGAACAAAUGGAUAUAAAAUAAAGUUGUUGAGUGUUUGAUAAAUUUUUUUGUAAAAGUGAUUUUAACAAAAAAAAAAAGUAGUGUUUGAGUGUAUGGUAAACUUUUAUCUAAAACUGCUAUGACUAUGCCAAAUGACUAAAAGCAUAUGGUGUUGAAUGUAAUAUAAUAAAUGUAAGGGAAAAUGUUGUAAUUUUGUAACAUAUGUGAGGGUGUACUUGCCAUUUGAAAAUUUCAUGAGUGUUCACGUACAUGCUUUAAAACAAAACGUUUUUUUAAGAAGCAUGAUACAUCCUGCUUCUACUUUUCUACUAUCAAUGGCAUCAAAAAAUUUGUUUAACCAAACAUAUUUGAUGUUCUAAUUUUUUAUUUUUUUUGUCAAACGAUAAACUAGUUAAAUUAGAUAUUAGAUUAGGGAAUUAACAGGAUUCGAACCCACACUAUGGUGCAAGGGCAACACUGCUCUUCACCAUUAUGAUAGAGAGUCACUUAAUUUUUUUAUUUUAUUUUAUUUUUAUAUAAAAGUACAACAACCCAAACCAGUCCUAAGGUUACAGCUAGCCCUAUUUGGCUAUAUAGGAGAUUUUUAUUGUGUUAUUCUCAUAGGAUAUGAGAUGGGCGUAUCAAACAUAAUCUUUCAGCAGGUAUCAUCUGGGGUUUGUUCCCCUCGUCCACAAGCCAAAUCCUGGUCAGACGAAUAUAUGUAAACUAGGACAUUUAACCGAGGGGGCUUCGGUAUGUGCUUCCUUUCAGACUACGACAUUCGUUUAUCGGUGUAAAAAGGUAAUAAUUAGAAACUCACCUUAUAUUGCAUAUUUUACUGUUUAAAAAAAUAAUAAACAGGUUAAGGAAUUUUUUUUUUUUAGACUUUGAAAAAUGAAAAACAUAUGACAUAUUUUAAAUAAGCCACAUCAGAACGAAUAUAUUAGGUACUCACUCACUAGUGAGUAUAUUAGGUAUUCAUAAGUAUUAUCCCGUGGUAAAUUGCUGGCCCGUCACAUGGGACUUCCAUUUUGGGGUGAAGUACUCGCAUAGUAUGACUCAUUUUCACUUCUUUUUGUUUUAUAUAUGUAUACUAACUAGUAACAUUUAACACGUUCUCCCCUUGUCGGCAUGCUGACCUGAUCUUACGGAUAAUCACCUCGGAAUCUACCACAAAUAUAUAGCCCAGAGGGAAUUUGGCUUUGGCUUUUAAUUAUCAUAUUUGUUAGGACACAUCAUGAGUAUUUCUAUGGAAGUGUGGGUGGCCUUGGUUUUGGGAGCUUUGCCAUUGUUGGGGUUGCUCUUGUGGUGGUGGAAUGAGCUCUGGUAUGUGCUUCCUCUCAUACUACGACAUUCGCCUACCGGAUGGGACUUCCAUUUUUGGGUGAAAUAUUCACCUUCAUUUGGUACUUCAAAAUUGUUCGUCGUCCUGACGACUUUAUCAAUGCUAAGCGGGCUAAGUACGAUUCCAUUCUUUAUAUGUAUACUAACCAGUGGUGCAGCCAGGAUUUGCUGAGGGGAUGGGCGAAAUUCAAAAGAGUGCAAGGUUCAAUCGAAUUGAUUGCUUUCACAUUAGAGAGUGCAAAAUUUUGAGUCAAUAUUCAUAACAGGAAACAGUUUCUUCACCAAAACGGUUAUAAGCGGUAAUAUUAAAGCCAUGUAAGAAGCUUAAAUUGGUUAGGAUUAGAUUCUAAAAAAACGUUAAGCACUAGUCAGGCAGCAGACUGAGACCUAGCAGAGGCGCCUAAGUGAGAUUUAGGCAGGAGCCUAGAUGGAUUGAAAUGAAUUUAUUUUAUCGUAAAAUAAGCAUUAAACAAUAUUUCCAUUAUUUUUUUAAAAUUAAUACAAUAUUUAUAGAUAAUGUGAGAGAGGACAGUACAAUCAGUUUUAACUUUUAAGAGAGAAAAAUGUAAACAAAUGUGUCAGUACAAUCAAUUUUAACUUUUAAGAGAGAAAAAUAUAAAAAAAUGGUCAGCAUUGCCAAACAACAUUCUUUGGAGUUUGUAGUUGUUAGAUUCAUACUCAAAUAUAUAACGAUCAAAAUCUUACGACAAAAAAUCAAGAAGUACACGAGCAUAAUAUAGUUUUUAAUUUAUUCUCAACAACAUUUAAUCCUAUCAUGUUGAUGCUAGUUAGUAUCAGUGGCGAAGCUACAUGAGGGCGAGGAGUGGCGGCCGCCCCUCCCUUCGUUGGAAAACAUGCCUAGGAGCACUAGUUCAGCCCCUCUGCUCUCGUCAAAAAUGAGAAUUCCCGCUCCGGUGAUUUGGUUCUGCUGCUGCACAACAAAGACGGAUUUGUUUUUCCCUUUUUUUAAAGAUUUUGGAGAAGGAAAUCUGAAAAAAAAACUAGUUUUGACAAAUGAAACUAGUUCAGUACGAUGAUGGAGUCGGAAUGUAUAGAACUCACCUCUUUGGAUCACCGACCAUCAUAGCAUGCUUCCGGGGAAUCAACAAAUUUGUGUUCCAAUUAGAUGAAACCUUCAUCCUAGACUCAUGGCCGAUUCAGGCCCAGUGCGAGCAGGGCGACUGUUCGAGCCCAAAAAAAUUAGGAGCAACAAAAUUAUUAGUGUGGCAUAUUUAUAUACAUUUUCAUAAGAGUAUAAAUUUAUAAAAUUUGGUUUAAUGACAAAGAAAUUUAACUAGAAUCAGUGAUUUUGUUGUUUGAAAUUAAUGAGGAGGUCUUUGGUUCAAAACAUCAUGUGUGCUUAUUUAAAUUCCAUUUUUUACAAAUUUCUUUUCAUAACAAUAUAAAUUUAUAAAAUUUGGCUAAAUGAUUGGAAGCAAUGGUUUUUGUAUUUAAAAUUAACAAGAGGUCCUAAGUUCGAAAUGCUAUGUGCAUGUUUGUUUUUUUUCAAUUUUUAAGAAUUUUUGUUUGGUUGUUAAUUUAUUUUUAAUUACUAGCUAGUAGCCAUGUGGGUUGUUAUUUUUAAACAUUCAUUCAAAUUCAAGUCUAAUCUUCGACAAAGGGUGGUGUGUAGACUAAAUUUUUAGACCAAAUUAAUAAAUCAUAUGACGUGUCAUCAAAAGAUUUAAUUUGGUGCCCAUUCAUUACUUAUACAUAUCCCUAAAGACUUGAAAAUAUCAUUAUUUUUUUAGUCUUAUAUUGAUGAGGUUAGUAAAUAAGAAAAAACACGUCAAGAUUUAUACAAAAACACUUUAAAGGUUCAGAUGGAAGACAAAACUCAUAAUCUAUCUACUUAUAAGCCUGAAGUUUUUUGGUUUCUUUCUCUCGAUACAAAAUAAAUUAGUUUUUUCGUGUUUCUAAAUUACUGAGUUUAAAGUGCUUUUAUAAAUAUAAUUUUAUCAAUAUCUUACGUGUAAAAACAAAUUGUUUGUACCAUACUUGACCAAUUCCGAAACUACUGAGCACCGGUCAACGUUAUACCGUCAAGGACCUAGAAGAGCUUCUCUUCAACCAGGAGGCCAAUCACAAUGCGACACGUGUCGACAUCGGAAGCCAAUCACAGCGCGACACGUGUCAACAUCAGAGGCCAAUCACAACACGACACGUGUCAAUAUUAGAACAAAACUAGAAACUCUCUUCUAUAAAUAGGGAUCAUUCUCCCACAAUAAUCUCUAAUGUCAUUUUGUACUAAACUAUUCACUAGAACUCACUAAACCAGAGCUUGAACCUAUGUAUUUGUGUAAACCCUUCACAAUUAAUGAGAACUCCUCUACUCCAUAGACGUAGCCAAUCUGGGUGAACCACGUACAUCCUGUGUUUGCUUCUCUGUCUCUAUUCAUUUACGUACUUAUCCUCACUAGUGACCGAAGCGACCAAGCGAAGAUCACAAAACCUGACACUUUCUGUUGUACCAAAGUCCUAGCUGAUUUUGUGCAUCAACAUUUGGCGCCGUCUGUGGGAAGCACACUUAUUCCUACUCUCUACAGCUCUGUCAAGCUGGUUCCCACCAUUCGUACACUUUCUUUUGGCCAAGCAUCUCUCUCCGACAUGGGGAGCGAAAGAAGUCACAGUACACAGAAUGACACCCACGCUGGACCUAGUAUGAAGCAACGAAAACAGGAAGGAAAUAGAUUUACUCUUCAAGCUAAAGUCGAUGAGCUAGAGGUUCAGAACAACAAGAUAGCAAUGAAGAAUGAAGUCCUCCAGGAACAAUAUGAAAAACUUUUCGAGAUGCUUCACGAGGCUAGGCAGGCUCAAACACAUAAGCUCGUCGCCCCUGUUGAGGUUAACAAUCAACUGAAUGCCCCCCAACACGGAGGGUCACCGAUAUCCGACACGGACAUCCCUGAUAGGGAUCGAGCUACACAUCAAUGUGAUAAUCAACAUGAGACUUCUCUCAACCCAGCUGCUUCAACCCGAAGCAGGAAAAGUAGAGGAAAACACCUCCUUACAGAGGGAGUGGAAGGAUCAAGGGCCGUCUAUCGCGAUUGUCGAGACUUCUUAAAGCAACGUCGAGAGAAUCCCAUCCACAUAAGCUAGAAGAUCAAUGACCCAAGGGUUUCUGAAAGACUCGGUCCUCUUCCACGACCCAGGCCAACCGCCAAUCUAGAGAAUGGGCAACAAGUCCCAGAAGAAUAUGAAGGUACUGGGGACUCGGAAACAUUCCGACAUACUCACUCUAGAAGUCAGUGUGGUGAGUCCAGAGAAAGAUCACGCUAUUUUGAUCAAACUUUCCUACUUCUAAGAGGCGAUGGGGAUUUAAAGAAGAAAACUCCAGUGGUGCACGACUCCGCUCAGGACCCCCUUGUCCUACAGCUCCUUGAGGAAGUAAACAAACUGAAGGCUGAACGUCAAGCUGAGAUACCUGACUGGAACCAACCCAGACCUGGCCUUCUCACAAGAAGGAUCCUCAACACUCCCCUUCAAGCGAAGACAAAGCAGAAGCUUGACUUACAGCUCUAUACUGGAAAUGAAUACCCGAUUGAACACCUUAACCUCUUUGAGUCCACCAUGGUAUACCGGGGACACACCGACGAAGAACGGUGCCUUCUCUUCCCCUCCACCCUCUCUGGCGGAGCUUUAAACUGGUAUUGUCGUCUUCCACCUGAGACAGUAGACUCAUUUGAAGAGUUGAGGAAGCUGUUUGUCUCUCAACACAUCUUCCAGACCGAUCGCUUGCAUUCCGCAGAUGACUUGUACACUAUUCGCCAGAAGCCGGACGAGUCAUUACGAAAGUACGCUGGCCGCUUCAGCCAUGAGUAUUCUCGCUGCGCUGAGGCAGAUGACAAGACCGUGAUGCGAGAAUUACUUGACACACAAAUUAAACCCUCUUUUUGACAAUUGUAGUAUAGAUGUAAGUAGGGUAUCAUUCUAGGCCGGGGAUUAGGAGGGAUUGCUAAUCUAUUGUAAAUUAAUUUAAAAAUAUUAAAUAAGACUCAAGGACACAAACUAGGCUAAAAACUCUAAUAACUCGAAACACACUUAAAAUGACUCAAAAUAAUGAAAACAAUUAAAUUAAACACUAGGAACUGAAAUGGACGGAAAUUAAAUUAAAAGACUAACAAUAAAGAAAACUAACUAAAUAAUAUAAUUUAAUAAUGGAUGGGUGUUUGGUUUUGAUGAAAAGUAAAUUAAACUUAAUUAAAUUACAGAAUUGACAAAAACAUAAAAUUAAGGUAAAAUGAUAAAUGACGGACUAGCUAGAGGGUUCUUCUCCACACAUGACACAUAUGCAACCUAAAUUGAUUUUCAGUUGUUCUUUCAAUAAAUUGUAAAUCUCAACGCCCCAAAUUAACCGUGAAUUGCACUAAUUAACCCUCAGUUUUUCCACAAGUUAUUGGGUUGGAUGAUUGCAUACGACAACCCAAAACAUUCCCUACAAGUUCUCUACAUGAAUUGCAUAAUAGAGAUACAAGCAAGAAUCAUUAAGUUCUAUGAAAAACAUAAGCAUUGACGAGACACUCGUUACUAUGAUUUGCAUGAAACUUAUGCCAAGAAUUUACUUAACGUGAUUGUGACUAGCAACCUUCACUACUUGUGAAUAUAAGUCAUAACGAUUAGGUGAAACUCCCUUAUAUUCUAGCGUCAAAUUCAUGCAUGAAAAUUAAGCGUGCACUCUCAACCAACAUACACAAAUCAGUUUUUAUACGAACGGAUAAGUAAAUUGAAUUCACAACUUAUAAAUCACAACUGAAGGUAAUCAAUUCAUAUUACAAAUAUAUUCAUGGUUUUGAAUUAACCUCUAGCCAAAAUAAAAUUAAUUACACAUUAUUAAAACAGAAAUAAAAUAGAAGUUUGGAAAGAUUAAACCGAAAGAGGAACUGCUUUGUUCGUGCCCAUGCUUGCCCUCUCCCUCGCUGACUUGCUUUCUGUUUAUCACCUGGACUGCACUGCCUCACUUCUCUCACUACCGCUGCCCAAUGGCAGCCCUCGUGUUCUCUGUCCGUGCUCACAGCUGCCAAAUGGCAGCUGUUCCUCUUCAGCCUUAUUUCCUCGCCUCUCACUCCAGCGUCUUUUCUGCGCCUCCUGCGCUCUCUGCGAGCUGCCCAAAGGCAGCCCUUUCCGAGUUUAAUUCUCUGUCCACGCUGGACUGCCCUGUCCUCGCAGCUUCCCACCUGCACGUACUGACCUUUCACACCUCCCCACGCUGCAAAGGCAGCGUUCUCACCUCUCUCGUCAGUCACUUCUAUCCUGUACUCACCUAUCUUCUGCUACCCCAAAGGGCAGCCUCCUGUCCGUUUCUUUCCUCUCCCCCCCCCCCAGCUCACGUUUUCUGCCUUUGUCCCUUUUUAUUCCUUUUUCUGCUAUCCUUCCCGCGUCAGUGCUCUCUGCUGCCCAAGGCAGCUCCUCCACCUUCCCGUGUCUUAUCCAGCUCUGCCUCUUAUUUUUAUUUUCUUAUUCUUCUUUCUAUCUGCACUGUUGUCCACUUCCUCUUCUUUUCUUCUUUUAAUCCGUCAGUGUGCACUCCACCUUUCUGACCCACUCUCCUUCUUAUUCUUUUAUUCUUUUUGUCUCUCCAGCUGCCAAGCAGCUGUUUUCAUUCUCUUUCAGCUGGUCUUCUAUUCGCCUGCCCUCCUCCUAAUUAUCCUCUUUUAUUUCUUAUUCCAUUUUGACCUUUCAAAGCUGCAAGGGCAGCUUACUCCUCUGCCUUGGAUUCUUUUUUCGCUGUCCUCACGUCCCCACCUCUCGGUCCUCACUAUUUUAUUUCUUCUUUUAUUCUUUCACUAUAUAGACAUAGAGAGGGACAAACCUUGUUUACACCAUUUGGCAAUUGUAAUAAUAACUUGCUUAUAAAAUGUAAAUUAGUAUUAUCAUGUAACAAUAAAGGGUAAAUUUGCAUAACAGAUCCUAUAACUACAAAAAUAAUGUAAAUAGCUCAAAAAUAUAAAGAACUAACUAAGAAAAGACGAGUGAAUUCGAAGUAAAAAUGUAUAUAAAAAUGAUCCGAUCAGACCGCCCUCAAGGUUCGGCAGGCUUACGUGACUGUUUCUUCAAGUACAUGAUCAAUGCCAACACUUGGAAGACUUACUCUGAGGUGAUGACACAAGCUUACAACCAUGCCUCCGCCGAGGCAAGGACAUAUCAAGGGAAACCCCCUACAGUCACCCCUUAUCAGCAAGUAGGGAGUGGAGGCCAGAUCCAACCAAAUGAAAAGACCUCAACCUUCCAAAUGGUAGCAGCACACCCCCCUGCCUCAUUUAAUGCUUCGCCAAGUCAGCAGACAUAUCAAUCUCAUGGCAAAAGGAAAGACUUCCAUCCUCACCAAUCUCAUUUUAAUAAAAAGAAUAAGGGGCACUAUCGCGAUAACUCAGGAUAUCGUCACAAUAAUGCCCGCCCUCAGGCAGUUAACGCAGUGGGCCAAUCACGUGCCAAGACAGGCCCUACCCCGAGGUAUGAGACAUACACCUCUUUGAAUGCUACAUGUGCUGCCAUCUACCCCAGUAUAGCUCACCUGAUACCAAAGCCAAAGCCAAGACAGCCAGAUUACAAGUCCACGAAGAACACGGGCAUGUUUUGCUGCUACCACGAGUAUAAUGGCCAUGAUAGUGAGAAGUGCAUUAUCCUCCGUGACCAUAUUGAAGCUUUGGCACGUGAAGGAAAAAUUGAUCAGUUCCUUCUUCACCCUCCAAGGGAUAACCGUAACCAACGCCAGGUGAAUGUGAUAUAUUCCAUAAGCGGCGGCACACCCAUGUCUGAAUCUUCCAAUAGGGCCAUGAAAAGCAGUGAACGAACUUUGAGACCUGGCCAUCAAGUGUUUCAUGUGGAAGACAUCAGGGGAGGCAAGUAUCAAAAGCCUAACUGGGAUCCAAUAUGUUUCUACCCUGAGGAAGAAAAAUGUAUCAUCUACCCUCACAAUGACCCACUGAUCGUGGAGGCUCACAUAGCAAAUUUUGAUGUGAAACGAAUCCUGAUAGACACAGGUGCUUCAGUCAAUAUCAUGUUUGCUGAAGCUUUCAAGGUACUCAAUGUAGCUGAACACUUGCUCGAUCACUCGAUUUCUCCUCUGAUAAGCUUUUCUGGCGAUAUCGUACAACCUUUGGGGAGUAUACACUUACCCCUCACCAUUGGUACAGGCCCCUACACAGCUACUAUUACCAUUAACUUCCUAGUGGUCAAUUGCCCGACGGCAUACAAUGUCAUCUUUGGGCACACAGGCAUCAAUGAUCUCAAGGCCAUGGUAUCCACACAUAUGUUGUUGAUGAAGUUUCCAACCCCUUUCGGCAAUGGAUACAUCAGGAGAGAUCAACUUAGUGCUCGAUCAUGUUACAACACUUCAGUUAAGCAACAACACCUGCAUGUCCCCAAGGAGACCCUCUCUGUACAUAACCAGGUAGUAAAGACCAGUCAAGAUGAAGCCAACUCGGAUUUUCAUGAUAGCAACAGUCAACCCGACGACCCUCGAGAUGACUCAUUCACCCAGCAAGCACAACCCGCUGAAGAGUUAGAGAAUGUCUCUAUCUCCGAAGACCAUCCAGAUCGCAUGGUGAAGAUUGGCACCACUUUGUCACCACCCCUUCGGUUGUCGCUGAUCUCAUUUUACAAGAGAACGCCGAGGUCUUCGCUUGGUCAUAUAAAGAUAUGCCGGGCAUCUCUCCCGAUAUCAUCUGUCACCACUUGAGUAUUGAUCCCAAGACCAAACCAGUAAAACAGAAGCGAAGAUCUUAUGAUGUUGAACGAUACGAGGCGAUGAAAGCAGAAGUUGAAAAACUCAAGGACAUAGGCUUCGUCCGUGAAGUCAAUUACCCAACAUGGGUAGCAAAUGUUGUCAUUGUUAAGAAAAAUCCGACCAAGGAAAGUCUCCUGCUUCAAAAGAUUUUGUGGAGAAUGUGUGUCGACUACACUGACCUAAACAAAGGAUGCCCGAAGGAUAGUUUCCCUCUUCCUCUCAUUGAUAGACUUAUAGACUCUACGGCAGGGUGUGAGCUCUUGAGCUUCAUGGACGCUUAUUCAGGAUACAACCAAAUCCUCAUGAACCCCUCAGACCAAGAACACACGGCCUUCACUACUGACAGGGGACUAUAUUGCUAUAAAGUCAUGCCUUUCGGCCUAAAGAAUGCAGGAGCAACUUAUCAGAGACUGGUCAAUUCAAUGUUCGCCGAACAGAUUGGGAAGAGCAUGGAAGUUUACGUUGAUGAUAUGUUAGUCAAGAGCAAACAUGCUGACCAACACAUCACCAACCUAUCUGAAACUUUCACCAUUCUAAAGAGGAGGUAUCGAAUGAGGUUGAACCCCAACAAAUGUGCCUUUGGCGUGGGCUCUGGCAAAUUCUUAGGCUUCAUGAUCAGCCAACGAGGCAUUGAAGCUAACCCCGAAAAGAUCAAAGCAAUCAUCGACAUGAAAGAGCCAGUAAAUUCAAAAGACAUCCAAAGCCUUACUGGCAAGGUGGCAGCCUUAACCAGAUUCAUCUCUAAGGCCACAGAUAGAUGUACUCCUUUCUUUAAAGCACUCAAGGGAAAUAAGAAGUACAUUACAUGGACGGAGGAAUGUGCCAAGGCAUUCAGGAACCUCAAAGAGUACAUGAGUAAAGCCCCUCUGCUCUCCAAACCAGAAAUUGGUGACACUCUCAUUAUCUAUCUAUCGGUUUCGGCUUCAACAGUCAGUUCUGUUCUUAUUCGAAAGGACAGUGGUGUCGAACGGCCCGUUUACUACGCUAGCAAGGCCCUACAAGAUGCGGAGACACAAUACUCCAACAUUGAGAAAUUAGCUCUAGCAUUGGUCAUGUCUGCUCGAAAACUUCGCCCUUAUUUCCAAGCACACACCAUCAUCGUGCUUACCAAUCACCCUCUUCGACAGAUACUCCAGAGUCCUGACACGUCUGGGCGAAUGAUCAAAUGGGCGAUAGCAUUGGGUGAGUUUGACAUCUCCUACCAACCAAAACCAGCCGAAAAGGGUCAGGCUGUAGCAGAUUUCAUAGCCGACUUCACAUAUCCUGUUAACAUUGCUUCUACACCUGAAGCAGUAGCUUCAUUACCAUCGGAAGCUCAGAAGAUAGAAUCAACAACCCCAGCAUGGAAUCUGUAUGUUGAUGGCUCAUCCAACCAACAGGGCUGCAGAGCAGGAUUAGUCCUCACUACCCCCGACAAAGUGGCGAUGGAAUACGCUCUUCGUUUCAAAUUCAAGGCAUCGAACAACGAGGCCGAAUAUGAAGCCCUUCUAGCAGGCUUACAUUUGGCCAAGCACCUCGGGGUUAAACGAAUUGAUAUCUUCAGUGACUCCCAAUUAGUGGUCAACCAAGUCACGAACAACUUUGAUGCUAAGGAUAGCUCCAUGGCAGCAUAUCUUGCGCAAACGCGACUUUUGCUCAAGCACUUCCACUACCAGAUCACCCAAGUUCCUCGAGCGGCAAACAGUCAUGCAGACGCUUUGGCUCGCCUCGCCUCGGCAGUGGAAGACAAGAUUGGGAGAAAAAUUCAUGUCGAAUUAUUGGCAGCACCAAGCACUAUGGUCAUGGAAGUGUGCAAUUUACAACUAGGAGAUAGUUGGAUCACCCUAAUUUAUAAAUUCCUUGCUCAUGGCACCCUCCGAAUUGACAAAGUCCAAGCUAAGCAGAUUCGAUACAAGUCUGCCCGCUACCUGAUCAUUAAUGACCAACUUUACAAGCGCGGUUUUACCCUGCCAUACCUAAGAUGCCUUACACCUGCGGAAGCGGAAAUUGUCCUUCGGGAAAUACAUGAAGGAGUCUGCGAAGAUCAUGCUGGGUCUCGAUCCCUAGCACACAAGGCUUUUCGCCAAGGAUACUAUUGGCCAACACUCCACCAAGAUGCCAUCAGAAUAUCUCGCUCAUGUGAUAAGUGUCAACGCUACGCAACUAUCCCUCACUCCCCUCCCGAGCCGCUCACUCUUAUGAUCAGCCCUUGGCCCUUCGCCCAAUGGGGACUUGAUUUGAUCGGCCCAAUGCCUGCAGGGAAAGACAAGGUCCGCUGUGCAAUCGUUGCAGUUGAUUAUUUCACAAAGUGGGCUGAAGUAGAACCAUUGGCAACCAUUACUAAGGGAAAAAUAGAAGACUUCGUAUGGAAGAACAUCCUCUGCAGAUUCGGCAUUCCCAAUGUGAUAGUUACGGACAAUGGGCGGCAGUUCGACAACAAGAAGUUCAAGAUGUUAUGCUCUAAGUUCAACAUCAACUUAUGUUUUGCCUCUCCAGCCCAUCCCCAGUCUAACGGACAAGUCGAGGCCGUUAACAAAAUAAUCAAGCGCACUCUGAAAACUAGCUUGGACAAAGCUAAAGGUUGUUGGCCAGAAUUCGUACCCCAAGUUCUUUGGUCAUACCGCACUUCAUAUCGGACUUCCACAGGAGAAACUCCAUUCUCACUUGCUUUUGGUACAGAAGCAGUUGUCCCGGUUGAGCUUGAGCAAGCAACAUACUGAAUCCAAAACUACAUACAGAGUGAGAACGACAAGCAACUCACCCUCAACCUGGAUCUAGUCGAGGAACACAGAAGUCAGGCUCACCUGAGGAAUGUCGCCUACAAGCAGCGCAUCUCCAACUACUACGACUCAAGGGUCAAACCUCGCUCUUUCAAAGUGGGAGACUGGGUACUGAAGAAAAGAUUACUCUGUGAUAGAGUCCCGAGUGAAGGAACACUCAGUCCUAACUGGGACGGACCGUUCGAAGUCGUCGGCAUCAGCCGCCCUGGCUCCUACAAGCUCAAAAGCUCCGACGGCAAGACCCUUGGCCAUCCAUGGAAUGCUGACCACUUGAAGUACUAUUACAAAUAGACUUACAUUGUACAAGUGUUAAGCUACAGCCGUUCGGCAUCCUAUGUAACAAAGACCAUUUGGUAUGAAUUCAAUAAAGAGGUGAUUUAGCCAACUCGGCCCUAAACUCUUUUACAUUCUGAGCAAUGAAACACUCAAGUGUUGAAGCUUCAACGCACAUGUUUCCAAUACAAAAUAAAAUCUAAGUAUAUGUCAACAAGACUAUACAAAUGAUCUAUGCAAACAUAGCCAAACAUUCAUCAAUGAUAGGGCAAACACUUGAAGCUUGAUAAUGCAAACACUUGAAGCUUGAUAAUACAAACACUUGAAGCUUGAUAAUACAAACACUUGAAGCUUGAUAAUACAAACACUUGCUUGAUAAUGCAAACACUCAUAAACAAAAAAAAAAACCCUCGAGCUUAUAACAUGGCACAUGCCAUACAAACAACAAACUAGUUCAGGCAGAGUACAUGCAGAAAGUGAAAGCACUUCUAGUCAUCCUCCUCUAAGGUUGAACCCCUGAUCAUAUCACUCUGAGUCCUACCGCCAUUUUCUGCAUCUCCAACCUCAUCAUCACCCUGAUAACUCUGCUCAUCAGCACUAGCAUCAUCGCCAGACUCAUCUGCACUGCUCGAAUAAACUGCAAGGUCGAAGGUUUCACCUUUUCAAUGAUGCUCAUCUAUUUCUUCACGGUAUUUUCGAAGAACACUUCCAUCAUCAUAACGAUCAAGGACAGCCAUCCACUUUAUUUUUUCAAAGUGCACUUCCCGGGCACAGCGAGGUCUAAGGACAUGGAGAAAGGCCUGGGAACCCAAGAACUCAUUCACAGCAGCUUCCUUCUCAGCCGGGAUACUACUUUUCAGCUCAGAAACCUCAACCAAGGCACUAUCCAACUCCCCUUUAACCUUGGAAACCUCGAGCAUAGUUGUCUCCAACUGUUUCUUAGUCGCGUCCAACUGUACCUUGAGUCUCAAGUUCUCACCAUUCCGCCUCUUCAAACUCUCAAAAUGUUGAUCCUUGACUUGGAUGGCCUCAGCUAAAGCUUUGCUCGUCUUCCUGGCAUCAUUCACAAGCUGCUUAUUCUCUUUCAAUUUCACCUUGCACCGUUCAGCCUCUCGCAGUCUGUCGUGAUACUCAGUCAUGACCUGCAUGACAAGACAAUCAUCAAUACUAAAAUAAUGCUAAUAAAGAAGAGAAAACAAGGGAAUGACAAAGUAACACUCACAUAUGAAGACAGCUUCAACAUCCGGUCGCAAUCCGAUUCAUCUUUAGCUAAGGGCUCUCCGAGCUCAUCGAAAGUGAAUCGACGCCCUGCCAGGAAAUUGUUGAUAUACCCAAAGUCCUUUGGCCGCAUGGCAACCUUCAAAUCCUUCCAAGGGAAACUGCCAACCUCUUCCUUAUCUUUACCCUUGCUGCUAGAACUAGGAUCACCUUCCUGCCCAAUGUGUUCCCUAACUGGAGGAAAGAUGGGAUUAAUAGUAGGAAGAGGAGGCAGCAAUCGCCUAUCUUCCCCGGCAACUAUGGCAGCAGCACAUCCAAUGGCCUCAGCUUCAGCUUUCUUCGAGGCAGCAACCUUGAGGACUUCUUCUCGAGACUUAGUUUUAAUAAUUGGUCUCACUCGGUGUUUGCGAGCUUCCUUGUGAAACAGGAUGUCUUCUGAAGGAACUAACAUGGGCACUCUCCUUUUCUUGGUGCUAGUCUCCACUUUCUUGCCCACCUUCUCCACUGAACAAGGAAAAUCAAAGUAAGGAAUACCACAUUAUAUAUCUAUAAAAAUAAAAAUAAAAAAAAAGGGAGAACAAGGAUCAAGUGAGGAUACAACUUACUCGCUCGUCUCUGGCACUUGGAAACUAAGGGCUGGAAACCGUACUUUCGAAACAAGGGACGUAGCUUACCCAAGUAUCUAUCUUCUUUAGGCACUCUCAGCACUUUCUCUACAUCAGCUAGCUCCUGUCCGGAGAGUUUGAUGGUGCCUCGUGUCACUGCAUGAAGAAAAAUCUUAGAAGCAAGAGAAAAUCACAACAAUAGCAAAUAAUGAGAAAAUGGAUACAUUACAACCUACAGUCUGGAAGUGAGUAGGAACACGUCGCUCAGGCGUGACACCCUUAGCAUGCUCCCAAUCAUUAUAAAGAAAGCACCAACGUUUCUUCCAUGUGCAGUACGACUUUCUCUUAUUAAAGACAACACGCUCUCUCUCGCUCCGACAUGCACAUUCAGCAUAACCAGUACAUGCUUUCACCGGGCGCAUCUUAUAACAGUAGCGCCACUGAUGGAAGGAAGGCUCACCUAAUCCACACUUCAUCCAAAUAAUAUAAAACCUGAUCAAGGUAUCCCAGAAACCAGGAUUGAGUUGCCCAGGUGCAUAACCAAUAAAAGCCAGCAUUCGUUGCAACCACGGAUGCAAAGGUAAAUUUACCCCCAAGGUCACUAAUGUCCGGGUAUAGAACAUAACAUGACCCUUGGGCGGCUCCGAAUGCAAUUCUUCACAACGCACCAAACGUAUUCCUACACUACAGGGGAUACUACAUGAUUGCCUUAGGGCCUCAAGCUGCUUUUCGCUAUCUAACAAGUUAUUUUCUAAAUGGUCCGCUGUGAACUCAGAGCGAAAUAUGGGUAUGGCGUCACAAACAACCCCCUCACCCACUAACAUGGAGGAAGAACCAAUAUUGGCUAAGGUUUGACAAUUGUGAGGAUCAUCCAACGUUUCUUUUGUACAAGACUCUAACAAAGGCCAUGAAGACCCCGACAUUGCAGGCUCAAACCUAGAGCCCGAGCUAGGGGAGCCCUCAUCACUAAGACUUCCAGACUCCGACAUCUACAACAAACAGAAACAAACUCUAUUACUACAUGAAGGAUCAAAACAUAAGGAAGCUCACAGGGCAUGAAGAACAGCUCAACCAGUUCAUUAUGUUCGUCACAAAAUACAUGAACAUUCCAACAAUUCAACAAAAAGGAAAACAUCCAAUGUAGUGGAGAAGACUACCAACCUGAAGAUGGUGCAGCAAAGCAAUGCUAGAAUCCAUCUCAAGUAAAAAGCACUCUGUCUUCAAAAAUCACUACAAGAUGAGCAAAUGAAGGUAAGGUAAAGAAUGGAAACUUAUCCUUCUUAUAUAUAGUUCAACAUGGCUAUUAACAUUCAAAAUUCAAAUUCAAACUAUGAGAAAGCCCCACAUGGAGAAUCUUCACACUUCUAACAUUAAGGAGUUUCAAAUUUCAAAUGUUUCAGUUCCCCCCUCCAACCAAAAAAAAAAAAAAAUCCGAAAAAAAAAAAUUCGAAAAAAAAAAAAAAAGGAAGGGGGAACACAGCAGCUUCAUCAAUGGGAUUCAACUCCCAAUCUCAAAAGGCUUCGCACUAUGUUCAUCAAGAUAGUACGAAGCACAAUCAAUUUAUGGUGCCAACAAAACCUUCAUCAAUGGAGGACAAAUAUCAAUCUCAAAGGAUUCGCACUAUGUUCAUCAAGAUAGUGCAAAGCAUAAUCAAUUUAUGGUGCCAACAAAAGCUUCAUCAAUGGAGGACAAAUAUCAAUCUCAAAAGCUUCGCACUAUGUUCAUCAAGAUAGUGCGAAGCACAAUCAAUUUAUGGUGUCAACACCAAAGCUUCACCUAUAAAGCUUCAACACCAAAGCUUCACCUAUAAAGCUUCACCACCAAAGCUUCACCUAUAAAGCUUCAACCCCAAAGCUUCACCUAUAAAGCUUCAACACCAAAGCUUCACCUAUAAAGCUUCACAUAUCAAGCUUCAACCCCAAUGCUUCACCUACAAUACAAAAUUUCAACACCAAAACAUAUAAAAGCUUUGCACACUCUUCAUCAAGAUAGUGCGAAGCUAAUUCAAGUUUUGUAUCCUAAAAAUAGCUUCAACUAGUCAAGCUAUAUACCCAAGCAAAAAUCUAUAGUCAAUAAACCUUACCUAUUAAACUAUUUCCCAAACACAAAACCUUGUGACAAAUAAACAAAUUUUGUUCACACAACCAAGAUUCCCUUGAACUUGUACAAAAACAUAGGUCAACACAAACAUUUGUUUUGUUCUACACCCACAACAUCCCUGUCAUAAACAAACAAGCAAUUAUGUAUAUGUUUCCAAACAUAUUAUAAUAAAUCAAACAACAAACCAACAUCCCAAGUUUAACUAGAAAUCCAACCCAAGCAACUUCUUUCCCUCUCUUCCUCUUCCGCCUCCUUUCAUCUAUCAAAUUUCUGCAACCUUUGCUCUUCUCCAGUGGAGCUGAAUUUUGGACACCCUAUAGUUCUUGCGCAGAUGAACAAUUUUCAAGAAGGAAUCGUUUCUGUUUGAGCGACGGAAAUUAAAGUGUUGAGGCUCCAAACACGACAGUCGGAUUCCCGCAAAUUUAAAGACUGCUGUGAUGUUUCGAAGAUCUGGAAAUAUUUAACCGUUAGUUCCUUCUGAAUUUUUGAUAUGUUAUGGAAGAGAUGAUGAGGAACAACUUCAAUGAAGAAAGUAUGUUGAUCUGAACAAGACAAAAUGCAGUUUCGAAGCUCACAAUACGUCUGACGGGUUAACAGCAAAAUGAUGCACAGUUACUCAUCAUACCUAAAUAUCUGGAGUUGUACUACUCCGAUGGCUCUCCAAUUUGGAUAUGUUGUAGUUCACAAGCUAAGGAACAAUUUUCAUGAAGACAACCUUGUGAUUUGAGCUACAGAAAAUGGUGUUAUAUUGCAGAGCUACCGCGCCCUCUACGUUAACUUCUUCCUUCACUUCCUUGGCUCCAACACCCACUUUCCUUCAUCAUAGCUUUGGCAUAAUUCAGAUUUUUACGGGGACAUGAAGACCUUUCCAGCAAAGAAAGGAAAAGGCAAGUCAAAAGAAUAGCUAAAAGCCACCAAAAGUGACAGACAAAAGGAAUAAGUGCACAGUGCCAUAUUGAACAAAGUCCAGGGAAAUGGGGAAGACGACACAGGCAAAGGGAUGAGACUUUGAGUCUCAUUGUUGUUAUUUAUCUACCUCCCAAUAUGCAGCAAGAAUACAUUGGGCUUCACAAAAAAUAAAUAAAGGGGAGUGGGCACAAACCUGUUCUCCUCUUUGGGCUUGCCACACAAAUAAAAAAUGAACAAAGGCACUGGAUCCCUUCUUUUCGUGGGCUUGAACACAUAUGAGCAGUUUUGGGCUACACAAAAAUUUUGGGCCCUCCCAACGCUAAACCUAGCUUGAAAUAUUUUUGGAUAAGGCAUAUAUGAAGGUGUGACAUCAAAACAAGGCUUCGUUACUUUGACAAAUUAGUAGCAAGCAAGACACCUCAUUCGGCAACUCUCAUCGCCUGAAGACUUAGGGAACUCCCACCAUAUGCUACUACACCUUGAUACUCAGAAGUCUCACAACCACUCAGUGACUUGGAUUUUUCAAGUCUCCAACCGAGAAGUUUUCCUCACUCGGGAAAUUAAGGGAACACUACAUCAAACUACAUGCUUCACUCACAAAACUUCAACAAUACAAGUUUCAACAAAAGAAAAAAUUCAAAGAACUUUCUGAAGAAGGCUUUGGUGUAUUUAACACAAUACGUUGAAAUGAAGCAAAGCUUAUUUAUUAAUAUUUCCGAUAAGCUACAAAUAUGUACAUGUACAUGAGUCAAAGUAAACAAACAAGAGGGAGCCUUCAUAAAGAUUGCUUAGGGGAAGUCUCAGCAGUCGGUAGAGCCCCAGAAAGAGAAAGCAUCGGAGGGUGGUUAUCCGGAGCCUCAAUACUUGACAGAACCCCAGAAGGAGGAAGCAUCGGAGGUUCAUCAUUUGAAGCUUCAUUACCAGGUACAGCCCCAGAAGACGAAGGCAAUAAAUGCCUUUGGAACAAACCCACAAACCGCUGAUGAUCAAGUAAAACCUUACCAUCAGAUUCCUUCAUCUGGUCAAGCUUCCUCUUCAUGUUUGUAGCAUAGUCAUGGGCGAGCCGGUGCAACUGUUUAUUCUCAUGCUUGAGCCCUCUAAUCUCAUGUUUGAGACUCAUCACUUCAGCAGCCAAUGAUUCAACUUGGCGGGUUCUAGCAAAUAGGCGUUGGGCCAUAUUAGACACAGAGCCUGCACACUGAACACUAAGAGCUAGAGAAUCCUUAACAGCCAACUCAUCAGACCGUUUGGAAAGUAGUUUGUUAUCUUUGGGAGUGAAAAGGUUCCUGGCAACCACUGCAGCGGUCAUACCAUUCUUCAUCACAGAAUCCCCAACGGUAAGAUGACCAGUAGGGGAUGUGAAGGAUGGGCGCCAUAUGUUGUCUGGAGAAGGCGUGGCUGUCUCUUCUCCAAGGUUCAAGUCAAAACGACGGUCGGAGGGGCCAGACAUUUUCAAAGGUGUUGAAGAGGGAAGAGGUCAGACAAAUAAAGAUCUUAGAAUUGCAAGAAGAGAGCUUCUACUGGUAGAGAUUCAAGUGUGCUGUGGAACUUAAUGCCAACCUCUAUAAAAAUCUGCACUCAACGGAGCUUCAGAAAUCGAAGAGGCAUUUGCUUUCUCAAAAGCUGGGCUGCUCAGAGACCACGAGGGCCGAUCUCAGAAAUCGAAGAAGCACCUGCUUUUUCAGCCUCAGCACCUGUCACAUGCACACUCAGCUUUGCGGAAAUUACGGGCAAUCUGUCGAAGAUUUCUGGUGAAGUAAAAAGCACGUGAAUCUUACUGUUCAAUCACCGCUCUCCACAUGCACCAUCAACUCCUCGGGUACCACAUAUAACUUUGUCAAAGAUCUCUGACAAAGUUUAGGCACGAGAAUUUCGAAGUUCCAGCUACCCUAUUAUUACCCACAAGGGUAAAGGAACAGCACCACUGCUUGACAACUGGAAAGUCCCUAUGUGUGUCGACCUCCGUAUUUUGAGGCAAGACAGGUUGGCAAGAACGUCCAACCUUUACUCACAUUCGAGAAAAGACUCCCAACAUAAUUACUUUCUCAAAAACCGAAACGGCGCCGCUCUCCGAAUCUCGAGGGACAGACUCCCAACGGGAUUACUUUCUUGAAAACCGAAUAGGCACAGCUCUCGGAACUUCGAGAACCAGAUCUCCUUAGAUAAAGCUUGUCUGUAAUCUUCACACGCAACAUCAGCUUUACAGAUACCACACACCACUUUUUCAAAGUGCUCUGACAAAGUUAAAACACGUGAAGCUGACAGCUCCCACUACAUUGCUGUGACCAAGAAGGGUAAAUGAAUAGCAUUACUACUUGCUGUUGGGAAAUCCCUAUAUACGUCGACCUCCCUCCUCUAAGGACAGGCAAACCUGCAAAAAUGCUUAACUCUUUCUCGCAUUCGAGAAAGCACCCUCAACAUAACUUCUCGAAAUACUCAGCUUUAUUUCCCCCCGAUAAUACCUCAGCAAAUAAGCCACACCAAAAACAAGAGUAUCUUAUAUCAUCAAGGUUGAAAGCAAGAGUAUCCUAUAUCAUGCUUUCUCCUUAUCCUUGUCUUUGUCCUUGUCCACACCUGCAGGACAAGGAGAAAGAGAGCAGUCAGUCGGAACCUGAAAUCAAACCUCCAAUCUGGAACUGACUGCCUGAGAUCUUUGCCUGGUUGCUUACUCAACAUUGCUCUCGAGUACUCAUCCUCAACUGUUGUCAAGGUCACGAAUUCCACUGGCAAAUACCUCAUGACAGUUGAUCAGAUAUUGGCUCUUUACACUGAAGCUGCCAAGCGUGGAUGAGUCACUAGGAAGGAAUGUUCUGAAGGACCAUUUAAAUGCAAAGGUUACACACCACUUCCGCCAGGCAAAAGAUUGAAGCGGAAGGUUCAACGAUGAGCUAAAACAGAUCGCUACAACACGAGAAGCUUCAAUAACCUUUCACUAGCACCGCCGCCGAAGAGCAAAACCUCGCCAUACCACAUUCACUACUUUGUCAACAGCAAGAGUAUCCCAUAUCAUCAGGGUCGAUCAUACUCUAUAUCUGAUGGACUUGUUUUGACCCUCAAAUUCUUGAGUCGACUCACUAAGGCGUCGUGAACUGCACGUGUUGAUUCAUCACCCUUGAAUCAAAUCCUUAAAGAUCAUGUCACCAACGGCCCUUGAAGAUAUCACAAGCCCGAUUCAAGAUCAAGUGUCCACCACCUUGAAUCGAAUCCAGUUCAAGAUUAAGUCUGUGGAAAGUCCUUUGGGGGAAACUAGGAAACCCUCCAGCACAGUUCAAGAAUUAGCCUAUGGAAAGUUACUUCUUCAAAAGCAAAAGUAUCUCAUAUCACCUCUUCUCCAUUUGUUUCUCCUUAUCCUGGCAGUUGAAUGAGAGACAAGGAAAAGGAGAACAAUCAACCGGAAGCCGAAGACGAACCUCCGAUCCUGGGUUGCUUGCUUGGAAGUUUGACUGCUUACCUUGUCUGUCACCUCUUUCGGCAGAUCUCCUAGCUCGGCGACUUGGGGGACUCCUACUAUAGGGUUUGUAUCGCACUUGACCAAGCCCGAAACUACAAGUAAGCUUCAAGUGAAAUUGAUACAUUACCUUGUGCAUCUCCACCGGUUAAGGACACCACCCCUGAAUGGAGGAAGCGUACUUCCAGAGAAGAUGCCACAUCUACCUAUGAGAAAGAUAAGGCAAGUGAAGACGAUACCACACCUCGGUACUUAGAAGUUUCGUGAUUACUCAGCGGCUUGGAUCUUGCAAGUCCCCAACCGAGGAGCUUCCCUCACUCGGGAACUUAGGGGAGCACUGUUUGUACCAUACUUGACCAAUCCCGAAACUACUGAGCACCGGUCAACGUUAUACCGUCAAGGACCUAGAAGAGCUUCUCUUCAACCAGGAGGCCAAUCACAAUGCGACACGUGUCGACAUAGGAAGCCAAUCACAGCGCGACACGUGUCAACAUCAGAGGCCAAUCACAACACGACACGUGUCAAUAUUAGAACAAAACUAGAAACUCUCUUCUAUAAAUAGGGAUCAUUCUCCUACAAUAAUCUCUAAUGUCAUUUUGUACUAAACUAUUCACUAGAACUCACUAAACCAGAGCUUGAACCUAUGUAUUUGUGUAAACCCUUCACAAUUAAUGAGAACUCCUCUACUCCGUGGACGUAGCCAAUCUGGGUGAACCACGUACAUCCUGUGUUUGCUUCUGUCUCUAUUCAUUUACGUACUUAUCCUCACUAGUGACCGAAGCGACCAAGCGAAGGUUACAAAACCUGACACUUUCUGUUGUACCAAAGUCCUAGCUGAUUUUGUGCAUCAACACAAAUAAAUUUUUUAUAUGAAGUAAGGGCACAUUUUUUUAUGUCACCCUGGGCCUCAAAAAUCUCUGGACCGACUCUGCCUAGACUGGCCCAAUGUUGAUAUUGUAGGUGUUAGUUCUAUAGUGGCAGUUCAUGGAAAGUCUCAUUCAAGAGUUAGAAGCUAUGUUGUAAGCAUAAUUAACUGUCCCGACGCUUUCUGUCGCAUAAGCCAAUUUGUCCAACCCCGCAUGGUAGUUACGCUAGAGUCGUGGACUCCAAAGGGUAUAGUCAAAGAAUAUGAUGAAGCCAGGAAGGUAAGGCCAUCUCCAACCAAUCCGGCUAGAGGGCCAUAGGGCCGAAAAUAGCCCGAAAUGACACGAAAACCGUCGCCAACCAAGGGCUAGGCUAAAGGGCUAGUGGGCCCCACCGAGCCAAAAAAAGCAGAAAAGGGCCAACCAGCUAGCCCAACCCAGCCAGCCCCAGGCCGGGAAACUUAAACAACAUUUUUAAAAACAUUUAACAACAUAAAAUUUAAAUGCCUACUCCAUGCUUCUUUUGGCCCAAAGAUGUGCAACAAGAUCCUGUUGUAGGUACUUGUUUGUGGCAUGGGAACGUAUGAUCCUAUGGCUCAUCAUGUACUCAUUUAAAGAUAUAUUACCAAUUAUUGGAUUGAAAGGCAAAUUAGGCCCAUCAUAUAUUUUUGCACAAGCCUUUCUUGACCUAUUUGGAUCAUCUUGGUCGUCAUUAGACUCUCCAUCAAUAUACCCAUCUCGCUCAUCCUCUACAAUCAUGUUGUGUAAUAUGAUGCAAGACAUCAUGAUGGAGUCCAAAUUUUCUCGACUCCACCCUCUGGCCCUUCUUCGAGAUGACCUAAAUUUAUUAUAAAAACAAUAAAGCAAUAAGUGCCAAUCAUGCAAAUAUGAUAUUUUAUCAAAAAAUGUCUCAUGCAAUUAAAAGUCUAAUCAUUUUAUUCUAUAGGUUUUCGGUGUAAGACUUUUUAAUAUCUUCAACAACUUUUCAUGCCUCAUUAUGUUUAUAGGUAACAUUUGAAAAUAUUGGAAAACUAUUCGUAAGUUUGGAGCCGGGGCUCCACUGAUUUUCCAAUAUAUAUUCAGACCAUAUUGUAAAUAACGUGCAUACAUGCUAAAUAUAUGAAUGUGAAUUUGCCAAGGUUCUAAAAGACGUUAGGCACUAGUCGGGCAGCGGGUUGGGGCCCAUCACCUAGGUGGCUAGGCGGGGUCUAGGCGGAUUUAAGUAAAUCCAUUAUAUUUCAUGUAAAUAAGUGUUUGUUUAAACUUAAAACAUAUAUAUAUAUAUAUAUAUAAUUUCAUCAUAAACUACAAAAUAGAAUAACAUAUGUAUUAUGAAGUAUUGGAACAUAAUGAAAACAUGAGGAACAAGCAUAGAGUGUGUGCUCAUAUAAGUAUUCAACAAGUCUCUUACAAUUUAUUGAAAUAAAUUAAAUGCAAAUUGAAAGUUAUCUAUUUUCUGUUUAAUUAAGUCGCAACCUAGGCAUGUGCCUAGGCAGUCUGGGUAGGUUAGACGGGCGCCUCAUUUGGUCUAGGUGCCCUUUCUUAAUUUUGAAACGCCUAAACAUUAAUCGGGACGGUGGCUAACCAUCUAGCGCCUAGGUGGAGGCCUAAGCGGCGCUAGACGGGGAUUUUUCGAAUAAAUUUGCAGCGUAGGAAAAAGCUUGAGGACAUUUUCAGGGUGGAGCUAAAGAAGAAAAAAACUUAAAGGAAGGGGUGACAAAUGAUCUAAUGGAUGGGCUUAUGUAGAUUAAAGACGAUGAAGGCAAUAAAUUAAGUGACCAAGAGGUUCUAGAGAACAUUGUCAGCCUUGUUAUCGCUGGUAUGCAUCACUUCUCUAUCAAUAAUGUGGACUUUAUAUUAUCUCGCAAAAUACCCUGAUGUCUGUGGAUGCAAAUUUUCACCUCUUCGAUCUUGGACGAUUUUGCACCUACAAAACAACUAGCACCUUAGGUUAAGGCCAAAAGCCUCACGCGCCCACGAUGAAUGGGGGGGCUUUGGCCGAAGAACCUCCGAUGCCAAAGUUAGAAAUUUAGAGAGAAUAGUGUUUAGAGUGUUUUGGAAUUUUUGCAAGAGGUUUGGAAUGAAUUUUUGGUGAGAAUAGGAGCCUAUUUAUAGGAUUAGGCUUCCCCAUUUUUCACCAAGGAAGGGCCGGCCACACCCUUCCCUUUUCUUAGUCAAUUUGUGGUUUUUUAUUAGCCCCUUUAUUGGCUAAUAAAAUAGAAAUGAAUGGGGUCUUAAAUGAUUAGCUUUAUUUGAGUAAUAAAGUGGAGGAAAAUAAAAAAAAGGUAGGGAAAAGAUGGGAGGGAAUAUGGCCGGUUACUAUGGGAUUUUUAGGUUUUAUUUUAGGUUUAAUUAGCCAAUUAAUUGGCUAAUUAAAUAUGAAAGGAGAUAUUUUAUUAUUUAUGGUAUUGAUUGGCUAAUUUAAAAGGGAAGGAAAGGUGGAAAAGGUAGAAAAAAAGGUGAUGGAAUAGACUUUGAAUGGGGUAGCCGGCCCUAUCCCAUUUUUUAGGUUUGAGUGGAUGUUUCAAAUUGGUAAUUAAGGGAUGAUUUUAGGAGAUAUGGGAAGAAUAUAUUAUUUAGAUAAUUAAUUAACUAAAUAAUAUAUUAGGGAAAUUAAGUUUUGGAAAUAAUUACCUAAAAUAAGAUAAUUUGGAAUUAGUUACCUCUUCUGGAGCAUUUUUGAAUUGGUUGAGGAUGAUUACCCACUACUUGCGCGUAGGAAUCCCGAUAUACCUCAAGGGUAUUUUUGUCCUCUUUCGUUCACAAAUCCACGUGUCGCCUAGUGAAUAUUUUUGGCUCCACAAAUGCCCCCACACCUGUUGAGCUGUUUGCAGAAAAGGGCAAUAGGUGUAGAGAUUUUCUUGCUUUAGGAAAUUCUGAACUGUUUCCUAUUUUGUUGUUGAUUCUCUCUUUCAAUAGGAAAUUAAAUCCUUUUAGGAAAAGGAAAUAAAUUUCCCCAAAGCUUACUUAAGUCCACCUUAAGUGGAUCAUUAAAUCAACUUUUAGAGAGAAACUUAUUCAUCCUUACAAGAGAAAAAGAGAGCUUAGAGGAUAUUUGUUCCCCCUCCUCUAGCAAUCUUCUACGUCUUGCCCGUGUAAAGGAUCGCUCUUCGUUGCUUCCAGGUAAGAAAAAAUUAUUUUUCGUCUUCUUGAUUUUCUGGAAUCUUUGGACCUUGACUCUUGGCUUGAUGGGAAUCGGAGACUUGUUAUAGGUUGAUUUGGUGAACCAUGGCAUGGUAAUACCAUGAAAACACAUAUAUAUUUUUUUCUUUGCUGGGCGUUGAAGCAAGCCAGGCCGUGGGGCCUGGCAGGUUUGCUGGGUCCUGCGGCUUUAUGCCCUUUUUUUUUUUUUUUUUUUAACAACUCUCUAACAAAUCUUCCCUGUACUUUUGUAGAAUUUUCAAGCAUGUCUUCCUCGAGCCGUAAGAAUGAUGAUGGUGUGCCCCCGCUGUACCGUCAAGGCGGGUCUUUGAGCAAGAUUGGCUACUUCAAAGCUGCUCACAUCAAGAUUAGCUCCGACAAUUUGUUUAGAGAUUUUCUUGAAACGUAUUGGCAUGCCAUUCCGUCGGGAGUGCGUGUGAGGCGAGUUAAAGAUGGUAGCAGCCGAGAACCAUGCAGUGGAACUCGGAGAACUAUCAAGUUCCAUCCUUACUAUUUUGUGUUAGGGUUUACUUUCCCUAUGCCGCGUUUCUUCCAAGAAGUGCUUUGCUCUAUGAAAUGUGCGUCUGCCCAAUGUUCCCCGAAUGCGGUCCGAGUGAUGGUGGGGUUCCACAAUUUGAACCAAUUCUUUGACUUGGGACUAACCACCAACGAAUUUUGGUAUUUCUUUGACAUGGGUCGUAUUGAUGGAGUUGGACAACUGCGAAUCCGUCAUAAGCUUUUUGAUAAUUCGAGUAAAGGAGAUCAUGAUUGGGCCAAAGAGACUUUGGAGAUAAGUGGAGAAUGGGAAUCUGAUUCUUCUCCCGAGCUGCGCGUAUCAACGGUCUUCAUAUCUGGUAAGCAGACUGCUUAGUUUUUUUUUUUUUUUUUUUUUUGUAGAUUCGGAAUUUGGCUCAACUCCUAGGGUUUCUCCAGAUAUGAAAAAAGUGCAUAUCGCUCUGGGUAUUCCUUCCGAGUAUCGUGAGUGGCGUUGGCUGCUUAGUCCUCUUCGUAGGGAAAAAUGUGGACUACCCCCAGAAGAAGAAAUAAAACGGAUCACGGCAGACGCGAUGGCUCGUUCUAUCACUGUGGUGGAGCCUACUACCAAUGAAGGUGGGAAAAAGAAACAUUCCCCGCCUGCUCAAGAGAUGCCUGCUGAGAAGAAAACGAAGACUGCUCGUGGGGAUUCUCCGGCUGCUCCCAAGAUUGUGAUUGACCUGACUUCCUCUAAGGGCGAGAAAGAACGAACUGCUACAUUUGUGCCGGUAACGCCUAUUGCUUCGAAGGCUGCUAGCUCGAUUGCUGAAAAAAUUGCUCAGCGUAAAAGUUCUUUCGUGCCUUUGGUACCGAAAUUUGUGCCGAAACGUCCGUCCGGGACUAAACCUGACUUGCCCUUGAAGAGACUUGCUACUAUGAAGAAUGAUAAGGUGCCCUUGUCUGCUAAAGUGGCGCCGAAUACUGCUUCCUCCGCUGCUGCAACCAUCUCGUCUGCUGAUAAGAAUGAAGCUGUUCGCUCAGGCAGGCUUGAAGAAUCCGCCAAGGCCGUUUCUGGGGAGGCUGCUAAGAUUUGUGCUCUUUUGAAACCAGAUCUUCUUGAAGACAUGGAUGUAUGCGCCCAGUUUGUUGAUGGCGUCAAGAGAUUGUUGGUCCGAGUCUUUUUGCAAAGCAUACACCCGAGUAUAGGAAGACUGCUCUGCUAGCCAUGAUGCAGAAAACAACAAUUCUGGCAGCCGAGUCUAUGUUCUUUGACCAAGAGGACACCAAGGCUGCUAAAGAGAUGGCAAGAACUAUGGCUGCCGAAGCUUAUUCCUCGGUCGAAAAAAUCAAAAAAUUGGAAUCUGAGCUUGCUGCUUUGAAGGAAUCUCAUACUUCUGACCCCACUUCUCUGCAGCUUGAGGCCGCUCACCAGGAGAUCAUGGAUUUGAAGACUAGGUUUGAUGCGGUCCAAACAAAGAAUGAAAGUGCAGAGAAGGAAAUCGAGCGUUACAUACCUCAGAUUCGAGAUCUUGAACGCUCCAUAUCUGAACUUCGCUCUGCUGCUUAUGCAAAGGAUGAAGAAUUGAUUGCUACUUACAACCAAGUGAUCCACUUCAAAGAGGUUGCUGACAAGCUUGAGCCUCAAGUGUCGGAACUUCAAAGUGUUUUGAAGACCAACGACAAUCUGAAGAAGGAAAUUGAGGAAUUGCAGCGAGUUCGUGCUUGCCUGCUUGAGGAGAAUGAGCAGUUGAAGAGUGAGAAAGAUGGUUUCGAGGCUUCGCUUAUUCAGAACCAAUCUGAUUUCUACAAGCUGGGCUAUAUAGAUCAUCUCUAUGGGCGGCCGUCUGACUUUGAGUUUUCCGGUAAAGACUUCGAGACCUUCUCUAUUUCCCCAGAAGACUUGCUCGAUUUUACCUUUGAGUCUUCUAUCGGUGAAAUAGCUGGAGGAGUUGAUACCCAGGCUGGAGCAGUCGAGGGUAAAGGUUCGGAGAAUGCCGCUGCUGAGAACACCAAGGCUGCUGAAGGUGUAACAACCGAGCAGUUGGGAGAUGUCCAAACUACUGAAGAGUAGUCUUCUAGGUAGCUUUUAGGGUUUCCUUUUCUUUCCUUUGUUGCUUUUGCUUGAACUCCUUCGGUAUUUGCUUGUUGUUUAUCAAUUUUGCUAUAAAAUUUAAUAAACUCGCUUCUUUUGCUUUUCCCAUUUUUUUUUUUUUUUUUUUUUAACCUUUAGACCUUAUAAGCCAGUGGCAGGCGUGCUACUUUUCUAUAAGCAGACAAGCCCACAUAGCCUAUGCAGCCGUAGGUGUUGAUGUAGAACUUUUGCAAAGUUAUUAACCAUAGGGUUGGCAGCCGGAUGCCUUACUUACAGAAGCAGACGAAUCCGCGUAACCACUUGGCUAUUCAACCUUGGAUCUUUCCAAUUCCGUAGGCUGUGUAGCAAGUAUCACAACACUUUAGGAUUUGGUGUAAGUUAUUCUGCGUUUGACAGAGGUGAAGCUUAUCAACUACGUAGCAUGUCGGUAGUGGAUAAAAUCUUCGUGUGUGCACGCUAACUUGUUUAACCUUUCACAAUAAUGUGCGGUUGCAUAAGUCUAGCGUGGUUCUACUGCUCGAAGGGCAAGCCGUAGGCAGUCUUCUGGAAAUCCGUAGGCUACCUUAAUGCACUCGGUAGCAGCUUUAGGUUUCCAGGGCAGCCGCCCAUUGGGUGUGCUGCAUAAUGUGCCCCCUCCGUCUCUAGGGCCCGGUUCCCUGCGGAUUAAGCUGAUAGACCCAUAAUCCUUCAACUAGCUAAGCCUUGAAACAGACCAUUGUGGCUACUUCUAGGAAUCCCGGCGCAAGCCAUCAUGCACCUAGUUAUUCUAGGGCAGCCAAGCUCAUCCACGUCUGGAUAUUCGGAGUGUUGAGUUUAUCCUCCCUCAUUGGAGAGCACAGUUGGUCCCUUGGGGGGUGUAAUUUUCUUUUGAAGUGCAGAAAGAAAUAAGUUGUUGUAGACAUAUAUUAAAGCCAAAUUACAAAUUACUUUUGAAAUCUUUAUUGAAAAAUAAAAUGAGCAAAUAACUUGGUUGCAAAAACUGCAUGAUGAUUGGAUAGUCCUCGGUUUACGAGGUGGUGCCCGUUGAGAUGUUCGAGUCUUGAUAUAGUGUGAAGUCACACAUGGUAUUUCCUCAAAUUGUAGGCGUUCCAUUGCUUCUCGAUCUCUUUAUCAUUCAUGGUAGCAAGAGUAUAACUGCAUUUGCCGCCGACUCUGUUGAUCUUGUAAGGACCUUCCCAGAUGGGGUCCAUUUUUUUCGAGCCUUCUCUGCGGGCAGUGAUGAAAGCUUUUCUUAGGACUAGGUCUCCGGGUUGGAACUGCCGGAUCUUGGCCCUUUUGUUGUAGCUGGAAAUGAGCUGCUGCUGGUAGGCUGCGAUGCGGGUGAUGGUUUGUUCGCGCCUUUCUUCUGCCAGAUCUAAAUCUGUGGCCAUUUCUUUACUGUUCUGCUCAACGUUUGGCAAUAGAGUGUUGAUGCUUGGCACGAUGAUGUUAGGAGGUAUGAUUGCUUCCGAACCAAACGCCAAAGAGAAAGGGGUUUCACCGGUUGCUCGUCUUUUGGUGGUGCGAUAUGCCCAUAAACAUCCUGGAAGCUCAUCUGGCCAUUUUCCCUUUUUAUCGGUGAGGGAUUUCUUGAGACAGUCGAGGAUCGUCUUGUUGGAUGCUUCGGCCUGCCCAUUGCCUUGAGGAUAUCUUGGUGUGGACAUGUGUUGUUUGAUGCCGUAUUUUUGGAAGAACUUUGCCAAAUCUUUUCCCACAAAUUGAGGACCGUUGUCAGUGACGAUGGAUUGAGGGAUGCCAAAUCGGCAAAUGAUGUUCCUCCAUAUAAAGCGCUCUAUGUCCGUCUGAGUCGUGGUUGUCAUGGGUUCUGCUUCUACCCAUUUGGUGAAAUAGUCGGUUGCCACGAUCAUCAUGCAUCUGCCCCCCGUAGCAGGCGGCAUAGGCCCUACCAGAUCGAUUGCCCACUGCAUGAAUGGCCAAGGACUCGUUUGCGGGUGUAACUCACUAGCGGGUAGUGCUGGUACUGGUUUGUAGCGUUGGCAACGGUCGCAUUUUUGUACUAACUCCUUAGCAUCUUGGUGCAUGGUAGGCCAGUAAUAGCCUGCGUUAAGAGCCUUUUGGGCUAAGGAUCGACCUCCAGAGUGAUUCCCACAAACGCCUUCGUGGAUUGAGCUUAGAACCUUCAAGUCAUCGGGAGGUGCCAGGCAGCGGAGAUGUGGUCCGGUGUAGGAUCUUCGGACGAGAAUGCCAUUCCACAUAUAGUAGCGUGCCGACUUAAUUUGGAGCUUCCUUGACUCCAAUCUUUCUGUGGGUAAUGUGCCGUUGACCAAGUAGUCUAUAAUUGGACUUUGCCAAGUGGGAGUUACACUAACCUGUGACACUUCGGCUAUCAACUCCAUCUCUAUGCUUGGCUUGUCUAGAUAUUCCACCGGAAUGGAGCGUUUGAAUUGGUGGUCAAGGGCGGAGCCUAAACCAGCUAGUGCAUCUGCAUGUGCAUUGUCUGCCCGCGGAACUUGAGUGAGAGUGUAAGUCUGAAAUGCUUCAAGCUGCUGGCGUACUUUCUCUAGGUAUUGUGCCAUCCUUGGGUGUUUUGCCGUGUAUUCCCCAGUAGCCUGGCUGGUGAUUAGUUGGGAAUCAGAAUGAAUUGCGAGUUUCUUCACCGCUAAGUCUUUUGUCAUUCGGAGACUCGCUAAUAGAGCCUCGUACUCUGCUUCGUUAUUGGAUGCUUUGAAACCUAGGGUGAUCGCCUGCUCGAGCAUUGAGCCAUCUGGAGUAACAAGAACUACACCUGCUCCCGAGCCUUUAUAGUUGGAUGCACCGUCGACAUGCAAGUUCCAGAAAUCUUUGUUGGAUGGAGUAAGUGUGGCUAAGGUACUCUCUGCUGCUUCUGGGGCGUCGUUGGGCCGCACUGUUGCGUUGCCUAGGCUAGGUGUGAAUUCUGCCACGAAAUCUGCCAAGGCUUGGGCCUUUAUCGCUGUGCGAGGUUGGAAAACUAAACCAUAUUGGCCAAGUUCCAAUGCCCAUUUCAUCACUCGUUGAGAAGCGUCCGGACCAUGUAAUAUUGAUCGUAAGGGAUAUUGAGUCAUAACAAUGACUGUAUGAGCUUGAAAGUAGGGUCUGAGCUUCCGAGCCGCAACAACUAACGCCAAAAUUAAUUUUUCAAUCUUCGGAUAUCUUGUUUCCGCAUCGAGAAGAGCUUUAGAAGUGUAGAAUACCGGCAGUUGGGCCCCCAGCUCUUCUCGUAUGAGAGCAGAGCUCACUGCUACCUCGGAAACUGCCAAAUAAAUAUAUAAAUCCUCCGCUGCUUCCGGCUUGGAUAGUAAGGGAGGUGAUGUGAGAUAACUCUUCAAGUCUUGGAAAGCUUUUUCGCAUUCUUCAUCCCAUUUGUUUCUUUGUGCCCUCCUGAUAGCUUUGAAAAAGGGUUUGCAUCGAUCGGUGGAUCGUGAGAGGAAACGAUUGAGGGCGGCUGCUCGUCCGGUCAAGCUUUGGAUCUCCUUCAAGGUAGUUGAAGAUUUCAUCUCUAUGAUUGCUUGGAUUUGCUUGGGAUGUGCUUCAAUUCCUCGUUGGGUUACUAAGUACCCUAGGAAUCGACCUGAAGAUACUCCAAACGUGCACUUGGUGGGGUUGAGCUUCAUCUUGUACCUUCUAAGGAUAUUGAAAGCUUCUGCUAAAUUGCGAAUGUGAUCUGAUCGCUGCUUGCCCUUUACCAUGAUAUCGUCGACAUAGACCUCCAUGGUUACCCCAAUUUGCUUUUUGAACAUCAUAUUUACUAGCCUUUGGUAAGUGGCUCCCGCGUUCUUGAGGCCAAAAGGCAUGACCUUGUAGCAGUAAGUGCCUCGCUCUAUCACAAACGCAGUUUUCUCCUUGUCGGGCUCAUGCAUGGCUAUUUGGUUGUAGCCGGAGUAUGCGUCUAAGAAACUAAGUAACUGGUUUCCAGAGGUUGAAUCUACUAAUAGAUCAAUCCGGGGGACAGGAUAAUGGUCUUUUGGGCAUGCCUUGUUGAGGUCAGUGUAGUCUACGCAAACCCUCCAUUUGCCUUUCUCCUUCUUCAUGACUAGUACGACAUUAGCAAGCCAUGCCGAGUGCUACCUCUUCUAUGAAACCGGCUUCCAAUAGUUUGUCGAUUUCUGCCUCGAUGAUCGCUACUCGUUCGGGAGCGAAAUGUCUUCUUUUUUGAAUUACCGGUUUGGCAGUUGGAUCGACGUGCAGCUUGUGGCAGGCUACUUUGGGAUCAAUACCAGGCAUGUCGGAUGGUGACCAUGCGAAGAUAUCUCGGUUUUUCCUAAGGAAAAUUUUGAGUUCUUCCUUCUCGUCUGGGCUUAAUCGUGAGCCAAUUUUAGCCGUCUUUUCUGGCUGCUGGGGAUCAAGAAUGAUGUCCUCGGCGUCCUCCUCGGGUUUCCAUCCUAUCUUGUCUGCUUAGGCGCCAUCUUCUCGAUCCACCUGCUGUAAUUGCUAUUUGGCAAUUUCUUUACCCUUUUGGACUUCGGUAACCUUUACAGGGGUAAAGGUCUUCUUCUUUGUUUCUUUUAACAUUUGCACAGUGCAUCGUCGGGAUGAAGCCUGGUCAGACUUGAUCUCUCCGACUCCUCCUCCCGGGAUGCGGAAUCGGAUUUUUUGAUACUUGACGGAAGUGACAGCAUCCAGCUUGAUCAACCAAGGUCUCCCAAGAAUCCCAUUGUAGGGAGAUGGGUCGCUUACAAUCGUGAAUGUUUGCUUUGAGACGACUGGCGGUGUUUUUACGUCAAGUAUGAUAUGACCGAUGGCAGUUGAGGUGUGUCCGUUGAAUCCAGUAAGUACCUCUGCCCGGCGUAUGAUUGUACUUUCCAGGCCCAUCUUCUGAAUGACUGAAAGUUGAAGUAGGUUGACCGCACUUCCAUUGUCAACCAUCAUCCUAUCGACUAUAGCAUGGGCUAGUUGGACAGAUACUACUAAUGCAUCGUCGUGUGGGAAGUCGACUCCUUCCGCAUCCUGCUCUGUGAAGCCAAUGAUAGGUCCAGGUUGGGUAUCGACUGCAUGAACUUGUGAGAUUAGUAAAGCUUGCUGGAUCUUCCUCUUUUUGGAGUUAUUAGUAGCCCCUAAGUGCUCGGACUCAGCGAAAAUGCCAUUGAUUCGAAUCGUCUUAGUUGGUGGCUCCUCAUCUCCGUCUGCAUUCCUUUUUGGCUGCUCAGCUGGCUUGUCCAAAUAUCUAUCGACUUUGCCUUCUUUCACGAGUUUCUCUAGGUAGUUUUUCCAAGUGUAACAAUCGUUGGUUGUGUGACCGGGACCUCGGUGGAAUACGCAGUACUUAGUAUGGUCCAACUUGGAAGUAUCUCCUUUUGACUGCCUCGGUAACUUGAACCAUGGUUCAUUCUUGACGUCUCGAAGGAUUUGAUGAAUCGGAAUUGAGAACUUAGAAUAGUUGUUGGUCAUCGGGCCUUCUUUGGUCGUGGGUCGGUCCCUGCGCUUGAACUCCUGCCUGCCCUUGUUGGGUUGUUUUUCAUCCUUCUUUUGAGCAGUUGCCAACUCUUUUCGAGGUUGUUCGGGAGCCUUUUCUGUUUGUCGAGCCUCGUCCCAAAGCGCAUGCUUUUCUGCCAGAGCAAAGGAAUCUGCUAGAGUUAGGUCUUCUUUCAUGAUCAUUUCUCCAAACAGUGGGUGGUCUGCUGGUAGUCCUUUUUGGAAGGCUGCACUUGCUAUCGAGUUGUCGCAUCCGACGAUCUUCGCGCUUCUCUGCUUUGAAUCUCUUCACGUAAUCGCGAAGCGACUCUUUUGGGUUUUUCUUUACGUUGAACAGGUGAUCGGACUUCUUCUUGAUCGAUCGAUAAGAUGAGUAUUCUUUGGUGAAGACCAAGGAAAGAUCAUCAAAAUUCUGGAUGGAUCGUGCCGGCAAGGUAUGAAACCAAUCUUGUGCCUCGCCUUGUAAAGUAGUGGCGAAUAUUUUGCACAUAAGGGCGUCAUUAUUCCGAUAAAGGACCAUCGCAUUUCGGUAAUGCUUCAAGUGUCUUUCGGGAUCCCCAUCUCCUUUGAAAGAUGUGAAGUGUGGCAUGCUAAACUUGCGCGGAGGCUCUGCCUGCUCGAUCUCAUCCGCGAAAGGUGACCUGCUCAUGUUGGUCAUAUCUCGCCUUAGUGCCUCAUCAACCAUUUCGUUGCGCCGAAAAUCACGCAUCCGUUCAUUGAAAAGUCUUUCUACCUCUUCUUGGAUUUGCUUUUGUUGGGGUAGCGGAGCUUUUGGCUGCCCUUGGUCUUUUUCUACCGGUCUAGGCUGCUCUUCUUCUCGCUCGGCUCGUCUACGCUGUGGUUGCAAUGGAUGAGAUAGAUUCCUAGCAGGCGAGGGAUUUUUUUGCAGGCUACCGGUUGAACUAGAGCCAGAUUGAACGAUCGUUUCCUUCCGUUUGUCAGGCUGCCUGCUCCGAUGUGAUGUGGAGGAUACUCCUUGUGAGCCUAAUCGCGAAUGAAUGCUUUGCCUGGAAGGUUGCCCAUGUUGAUUAUCAAAGCGUGGCCCCAACCGUGAAUGUAUACUUGCUCGUGGGCCUAACCGAGAGUGCACGCUCCUCCGCGCGCUAAGACGGGAGUAUACGCUAUUUCGGGGGCCCAAUCGAGAGUGUGCACUGUCUGAAUGCUCCACUUGUGAUGGGUUGAAUGGCUGCUUUCCAGGACGCUGUUUAAAAGGCUCCUUGUCUACCCUUGUUCUACUCCGGGAAACUUCAUCGUGAGCGCGAUGCAUCUCAGUGCGUUGUAAAAGUUGAUUCACCAAGGUGGUUUGUUGUGCAAGGGCGCUCGUCAAUUCUAUGACUUGUCGGGACAAGUUUUGCUCGCCAUUCGGAUUGGAAGAACUUGGAUGGAAUGCACCUCCUUGAACAAUGAAAGGGUGGUUGACUCCAAGUGCGAGAUUUGAGUUGGGGAAUGUCAAAUCUGCAGAGAAAUGUGGUGAAAACGCCUCAGCCUCGAUGAUUGGUCCGGAUGGUUGAGAUUGUCUCGGGCGGACUUGGGCAGCUUGGGAAACCAUGAAAACAGGCUGGGCUGCGGGGGCAGGCUGGAUCACUGGGGCAGGCUGGAUCGUUAGAGUAGGCUGGGCUACAAGAGCAGGCUGGAUCACGGGAGCAGGCUGCUCAAUGCGCGGUGCAUGUGAAUGCGAGGCUUGGGCUUUGGUCCACGUAAACUUGGAUGGCACGACUCGGGCCGUGGUGAAGGCUCCAUGGACCUCGCCACGAGUGGCUACCGAAGUAGCCACCGUGGUGGUUCCCAUGGCGGCCGUGGUGAAGGCUCCAUGGACCUCGCCACGAGCGGCUACCGAAGUAGCCACCGUGGUGGUUCCCAUGGCGGCCGUGGUGAAGGCAUCAUGGACCUCGCCGCGGGUGGCUACCGAGGUAGCCAUCACGGUGGUUCCCAUGGUGGAAGCUCGUGGUGAUGAUGCCGCUCCCCUUCUUGUCGCAUUUUGCCUCAUGGAUCUCCGUAGUCCCAUUUCUUGAAUACUAGAAUUUUUACUUGCGGAAUUUUCUAAAUUUCUAGUCAUUAUAUUUUUCUUAUACGUUUUAUCAAAGAACCUUUGCAAGUAGAAAAUUCUAAUAAUAAGAACGUAUAUGAAAAAUAUUCAAAUAGACUAGAAAAUAAAGAAAAAAACCUUUUUGUACGAGAGUCUUCUACGAGUAUGGAUUACAACUCUCAAUGAAAGCACCAAUUUGUGGAUGCAAAUUUUCACCUCUUCGAUCUUGGACGAUUUUGCACCUACAAAACAACUAGCACCUUAGGUUAAGGCCAAAAGCCUCACGCGCCCACGAUGAAUGGGGGGGGCUUUGGCCGAAGAACCUCCGAUGCCAAAGUUAGAAAUUUAGAGAGAAAUAGUGUUUAGAGUGUUUUGGAAUUUUUGCAAGAGGUUUGGAAUGAAUUUUUGGUGAGAAUAGGAGCCUAUUUAUAGGAUUAGGCUUCCCCAUUUUUCACCAAGGAAGGGCCGGCCACACCCUUCCCUUUUCUUAGUCAAUUUGUGGUUUUUUAUUAGCCCCUUUAUUGGCUAAUAAAAUAGAAAUGAAUGGGGUCUUAAAUGAUUAGCUUUAUUUGAGUAAUAAAGUGGAGGAAAAUAAAAAAAAUGUAGGGAAAAGAUGGGAGGGAAUAUGGCCGGUUACUAUGGGAUUUUUAGGUUUUAUUUUAGGUUUAAUUAGCCAAUUAAUUGGCUAAUUAAAUAUGAAAGGAGAUAUUUUAUUAUUUAUGGUAUUGAUUGGCUAAUUUAAAAGGGAAGGAAAGGUGGAAAAGGUAGAAAAAAAGGUGAUGGAAUAGACUUUGAAUGGGGUAGCCGGCCCUAUCCCAUUUUUUAGGUUUGAGUGGAUGUUUCAAAUUGGUAAUUAAGGGAUGAUUUUAGGAGAUAUGGGAAGAAUAUAUUAUUUAGAUAAUUAAUUAACUAAAUAAUAUAUUAGGGAAAUUAAGUUUUGGAAAUAAUUACCUAAAAUAAGAUAAUUUGGAAUUAGUUACCUCUUCUGGAGCAUUUUUGAAUUGGUUGAGGAUGAUUACCCACUACUUGCGCGUAGGAAUCCCGAUAUACCUCAAGGGUAUUUUUGUCCUCUUUCGUUCACAAAUCCACGUGUCGCCUAGUGAAUAUUUUUGGCUCCACAACGUCCUCCAAAAGCUUCGCGUAUGAUCAUAGCAUAUCACCAUCUCUCAUAAUUUGACUCGAAAAAAGAAACAUUCAUUUAAUUAUGUUUCAUCUUGACGCGUUUUCGUGAUAUGUAAUUGCAGGAACAGAAUAUGGCUAUACACAAGAACAAUGUGGAGCCAAAAAUAAUCACAAGGCGACAUGUAGAUUUUUUUAUGAAGAUGACAAAUUUACCCUCGAGGCAUACCGGGUCUCCUACACGCGAGCAGUGGAGAAUCAUCCAUCAACCAAAUCAGGAGUACCCAAAAUAGGUAAUAAGUUCAAAUUUGUCUCAUCCAUCCUCAUUCCAUAACCUCCAAAAACCUCCCAAAAUGUUUCUUUUAUUAUGAUAAUUAGCCAAUUAAUAUAUUUAUACCUAAUUAAUAUAUGAAUUGCUAAUUAAAUCCUCCAAUUAACCAUAAAAUACAUCCCAUUCAAUCCCAAAGCUAGGCAAUGGCCGGCCAUCUCCCAUGCUCCUUACCUUUCUUAUUUUCCACACUUUAUUGCCCAAAUUAAAUUAGAUAAUUAACUCUAUAACCCCCCAUUUAUUUCCUUCAUAUUUAAUUAGCCAAUAAAUUGGCUAAUUAAACCAAAAAUUUAACCCAAAAAACCUAGUGUUGGCCGGCCACUUCCUCUCUAAAGUGGACCAACCUAGCCCUAUAAAUAGGCUCCUAUUUUCACCAAAUACUCAUUCCAAUCCUCUUGCAAAAAAUCCUAAAUACUCUAACAUUCUUUCUCUCUAAAAUUCUAACAUUGGCAUCGGAGGUUCUUCGGCCAAAGUCCCCCCAUUCAUCGUAGGCGCGUGAAGCUUUUGGCCUUAACCUAAGGUGCUAGUUGUUUUGUAGGUGCAAAAUUGUCCAAGAUCAAGGAGGAAAAAAUUUGCAUCCACAAACAAGACUGGGGAGUUUUAUCACAUAUGAAGAUGUUUCAAAAAUGAAAUACACAAACAAGGUACUUUAUCUGUAUGCAUUGAGGGAUUUACUGAAGUGCUGCAUUUGAUGUUCUGAUUCCCCCUUCUAAUAACGUUUGUAUAAAAGAGAAAAGUCAUUCAUUAUUAGUAUCGUUAUGCAUCUCCCGCGAUACUCCUUGUAACAAAGAAUUAAUCUCAAGCCAAAGCUAUUGCACUUCAUAUAAUGAUAUACAGGUGGUGGAAGAAACAAUAAGAUUGGCCAACGUUGCAGCAUUUGUUUUCCGAUUGGCUACUAAGGAAGUUGAGUAUAAAGGUAACAAAAUGUAAACUAUGUUUUUAAUUACCAUCGGCACACAUAAUUUUUUGUGUGUUUCUAACCAAAUUGAUUGGUGUAGGUUAUAAAAUACCCAAGGAUUGGAGAGUGAUUGUUUGGGUUCGAUAUAUCCACACAAAUUCAGAGAAUUUUGAUGAUCCCAUGUGCUUCAACCCAGAUAGAUGGAAUGUAAGUCAAUAUUCUAACACGAUGAAUUAAUUGAAGAUAAAUUACUAAGUAAUUAAUGGGUGUAGUUUCACUCCUUCAGGAAUCAGCUAAGCUCUGAACAUACCAAGUUUUUGGUGGUGGAUCGAGAAUAUGUGUAGGAAACUUGCUUGUCAAGAUACAACUUGCAGUAUUUUUACAUCAUUUGUCUAUAGGAUACAAGUAAGGAAACUCAAUUUGAAGCGUUACUAUAUAUUUUUUAUGCUAUUAAAUGUCAACACACUAUAGACAUAAUUCUUGAAUUUUAUUGUGAUUGAAAUUUUUUAGAUGGAAAUUGGUCAAUCCAAAUGCUGAGAUGAUUUAUCUUUCACAUCCAUCAUCAGUCGAUAAGAUUGACGUCACGUUCAACAAAAUUUAGAAAUCCAUUUUCUCAUAACCUCAUCCAUAUAUAUUGUUUGACAUCUCACCGUUCUAUUUUCCCCAGUCGUAGGCCUGCUUUUAAUUUCAAAAAUGGAAAAUAAAAAAAAACCAAAGAAAAGGAACUAGAAUUAUUUCUAGUGUCUUGUUGGUUGUGAAUCAUGUAUUAAUGUAUGUCUUUUCUCGUUCAUACGCUCCAACGUUUAUUUCCACUAUAAUGAUUUGGUACUCUUUUUUUCCUGUCUCUAUCAAUAUAAUUGGGUAGAUACAGCCAUCUGGUGAUAUUCAUUAAUAUAUGCCUGGGUGGUUCAUAGGAUGCAAGUAAUAUUAUAAACCACUCUUUAAAGAUUAUUUCUACAAAAAAAUCAUUCAAAUAUGAGAUCAUUUUGUCUUCAACCGUAUAAAAACAGAUGGACAGAUUCAAUAAUAACAUUAUGAACCAUUAUCUAUUGCAACAAUUGAUUGACUAAAUUACCUUAUUAAUUGAAUCUUUGUAGAAAUGAUUUUUACAUACAUAUUGAUUUACAGUAUAAACGGUUAUGAUCAUAAACAUGAGAUUCUGUGAAUCGGCCUCGAAGUAAAUUGAGAAGGAAUUCCACUUCAAUCUUAAGAGUCAAUAUCCAAUCUUUUGAAAAAGAACAUUAAACAGAAUAGAUUGUCAUGUAUUUUGUUUUAACGUUGCAAUCCAUCACAUCCUAUAGGGACAAAAGUGGAAAGGGAUCCUCUCCGGAUCUCUUCCUCCUAAUCCACUAUGUUCGGGGAUCCAGACUAUUGAAAUUUGAUCUAACGGUUAAAGUUAUUAUAACUUUUAAAGUGAGCCCCCGUUUGUAGCCGUUUGAUCAAAUUUCAAUAACUCGAAUCCCCGAAUUUGAUGGAUUAGAUGAAAGGGAUAUAGAGAGGAUCCUUUUCCGACGAAAGCAAUAAUAAGGACAAUACCUGCAGGUUAGUGCUCAUUAUCUCAUUAGGGAAUCAAAUCAUAAAAUAGGACGCGACAUGAAAGCAUUUUCGGUGGGUUUGGUAUUCCUUUGUCUAUUUGCUCAGCCUGGUCAGACGAAAAAUCAACUCGGAAUCAACCACAACUAUAUAGUCGAGUAUGGCACUGGCCUUAAGCGAGGAUAAGAGCCGGGGGGAUUGAUUUACAUAUUCUGUAGCUAGACAGGGUCAAGGGACAUACGUGGAUAUCUCUAUGGGAGUGGGGGUGGCCUUGGUUUUGGGAGGCUUGCCGCUAUUGGGGUUGCUCUUGUGGUGGUGGAAUGAGCUUUGGAUAUUGCUUCCUCUCAAACCGAGUUCGAAGCACUAUUAACUAGUGGUAAUUUAGGAUAGAGUGAUCUAAAUUUGGUCCCCAUAAACCAAAAAAGAUCAUAAAUAAUCUGUAUAUUAAGAAACUAUAUGUAAGUUUGGAACUGGACCUCUCCUAGAUGCCAUUCAACAUUCUUGGAAUUGCCUUUCACCAUGUUGGUCAGGUCCUUAAUUAUUAUCUUAACUAAUUUCACCACAAAAAUCAAUUGAGAGCUUUUAAAAGGACUAUGUCCGUUGAGUUAUUAGGCAUAAAUAGUUUCUUACAGACACUUCAUCUUGUUUCUUGGACUAUAUGUAUCCGUUGAGUUAUUAGGCACGGACAGUUUCUUAUAGGCACACCAUCAUAUUCCAUGGAUAUAUAUAUAUAUAUAUAUAUAUAUAUAUAUAUAUAUAUAUAUAUGGUCAUUAAUAUUUUUUAUUGUACAUGCAUGCAUGUGGUGUAAUUGUCAAUAGGAUACAAUAAGGAGCAAUCUUGUUACAUCUUUAUUAAAUAUAUCGAUAUGUAUUUUCGAAUGAGCUGAACUUUAUGUACUUUUCAGAUGGAAAUUGAUCAAUCCAGAUGCAACAUCAGUUGAUGGAGUUGAUAUCACCGUUAACAAAAUUUAGCAAUCCAUUUUCUCAACAAAUUCCAUUGAUAAGGCUUCAUAGUUUGUUGUCCUCCCUUAUUUCCCACGACCAUGCCUAACUAGGUGGCCUCCUUUGAACGCAAAAAAACAAAAAAAGUUAAACAAAAGAAAAUCGAACUCUCUAUUAGUUAUUGUAAUCAAUUAGUUUAGGAACUGUCUCAGCCCAGUUUCGUGAUUUUUUUUCUUCUAGAAUCUGAUAAGAUGGUUGGAACUUUUGGUUUGUUCUUUUCAACUUCAUGGUAUCCCAUUUAUGAUAAAUGGGGUUAAUGCUAUGAACUCAUAAAAAAAGAUUGAUUAUAAUUUGGAGUUGUUUUUAUUCUAACCAUGAAUGGUAAUUGUUGAUUAAGGACAAUAUUGGCUUCGUUCUUAUAUAUAAGGAUUAAGUAUUGAAAACUCUUCAAUCUUUUGAUGUCAUUUUAAAUUGGUCUCAACAUUUUUAAACAUUCUAAAUAAGUACUCAACCUAUUAAAAAUGUCACAUCCAUUAAGUCCCAAUUAAUUUAUAUUAAAUUAACUAGGGUUUACUUUGUCUCCAAAUCAAUAGAAGGUCAUGAAGGUUGCUAAAAUGGUACUGACUAUCAUGAUACGACUGAUACCAUCUUCACCGGCUACAAAGAAGAAUUGGAAGUUGAAUCAAUUAGUGAGUUUGGAGUAGGACUCAUUAUUGCCAAUUGUACAUUUAACGAAAAAUUAAUUGGGGCUUAACGGAUGUGACAUUUUCAAUAGAUUUGAUAUUUGUUAAAAUGUUUAUAAAUGUUGAGACCAAUUUGAAAUGAUACUAAAAAAUUAAGAGUAUUAGGUACUUAAUCCUAUAUACAAUGAAGUUGGAUUGUCAAAGCCUUCCUUAUUUAUCUUUUGAGUUAGUUAUAAAUGUGUCCCAAAAAUGUUUCACGGUUCUCACUUUGAUCCUCAAUUAUUAUUUUCUGUUUCAUCUUAAAAUUGUCUUAAACAUUUCAAGUAUGUCUAAUGAUGACUAUCAAUAACGUCUAUUACAAAAUUAGCAUAAGUAGGUCACUUGUGGGGUUGGCACUCAUUGGCAAAACAAAUUAAUAAACCGCCAAAUCCAAUUCGACUAUUUAGGUAUAAUUUUCACUUUAGUUGUCGGUCCCCAUUUUAAAGAAUGCUCAAACAAAAAUGUCUAAAAGUUGUGCAAUUUCACCCAAAAUCCGAGGCAUCCAUCACUGCACUUGCCUAGUCGUGUGCACAACAAAUGAACAAUUCUAUCAAUUUAAAAAGUUUUAGUAGUGUGCACAACUAAUUAUAUCGAUUUAAAAAGUCUAGAAAUGAGACAAGAAAAUAAUUCAAUGACCGAAGUAAAAGAACAUCAAAAUUUUAGUGACAAAUAUACAAGUAACCUACUUUGACAUUAUGAUGAAAAUAAAGUUCUAUCAUAAAAUUAAUUAAUAGUCUAUAAAAAAAAUUAAUUAACAAUAUAAAAAAAUCUAAUUUAUUAUAAACAUAUGCAAUAUCUUUUUUUUUUCGACGGGAAAUUCACUCUGAACUAGGGUUGUGAACUCUUAUGAUCAAUUUUUUGAAUUCGUGGACAACGGCCUCUUUCUGCACAACUUUCAUUACUCAUUUUCGAAAGUCUGCCCUUCACUCUGCUCUAAUAGGAAAAAGCAAUCUCUCUCUCUCCCUCUCUCUCGCUCUCCGUGCUUCAAAAUUAUUAUUAGUGUAUUGGUAAUGGUAGUACCCCACCAAGCACCACAGCUUGCUUCAUCAUAGUUUAUCUCCCCUUACUCUCUCUCUGUCUCUCUCUACUUCCCAAAGCUUGAAACUUUGAGCAUAGUGAGUGAAGUGGCUGAGCUCAGAAACAAGAAGAUGCAGAAGAAGGGUUUGGUUUGGAUUUUCUCGAUGAUUUCAGUUGCAAUCUUCUCCUCCCAUUGCUCUCUUGCUCUCAUCAGCCAAGAUGGUAAGCAAAACCCUCCACUUCUCUGUUUUAUUGGUUUUUUUUUAAUUUUUUUUUUUCUGUUCUAAUGUCUCUAGUUUUUGGACAUUUCGUCGAUGAAAAAUGGAGGCAUUGUGUUAAAAUUUUCAUCUUUUCUUUAUUUAUGAUGGACAUUUACUUUACUAGUCAAUUAGUUGCAUUUUGUUGAGCCGGAAGUUCUGAUUUUCUUUGGUCAUUAAUGGCAAACAUAUAAAAAUCAAAUCUUUACUGAUAAUUUGCAUUCUUUCUGCAUUUCCUCAAGUAUUAUAUUUGGGGUUUAUAUAUGAAAUUAUUAAUCUUGUUUCUUGUGUUUUUUGGUAAUUAUUUUGCUUCAGGUUUGGCAUUGUUGGAAAUCAAAAGCACUUUGAAUGACAGCAGAAACAUUCUCAGUGACUGGCAGGAUUCUGAUGAAUCACCCUGUAAUUGGACUGGCAUUACUUGCCAUCCUCAGGACCUUAGAGUCAGCUCUAUGUAAGUCUUCAAGCCUUACUUUUCAAUUUACUAAAACUGCUUAUGAUUUAAUCUGCUUGUUUUCAAAGUGCUUUUCAUAUAUUUUGAAUUGGGUUUUUGCAGUAACUUGCCUUACAUGCAACUGGGAGGGACUAUAUCUCCCAGCAUUGGUAAACUCAGUAGAUUACAGAGACUGUGAGUCCAAUACUGAAUUAGUAAAAAGUCAGCUGAGAAGUCCUCCAAUUUUGAUUUUCUUCUGAUUGUGCUUUUUCAAUGUAAACCAGGGCACUUCACCAAAACAGCUUACAUGGAAACAUUCCUAAUGAAAUUACCAAUUGUGCUGAGCUUAGGGCUCUGUAAGUGGAAAACCGAAACGGCUUUGCUCUCUUUUCUGUUUCUUCUUUGAGUUGUGAAAUAUAUUUCAGGUGUCACUUUGCUUUCUAUUUAUAUUGACUCUAACAUUAAGCAUUGCAUACUUUAUCUCCAAUCUGUUAGGUACUUGAGGGCUAACUACCUUGAAGGAGGUAUUCCAUCAGAUAUCGGAAACCUUUCUUCUCUCACCAUACUGUAAGAAUUUCUUUGUUCUUAUCUUUUCUGUUUACGGAGUCUUGUGUGCUUAAUUAUCAAUAGCUUGUAUUGGGAAAUUGGAAUUUGAAUUAUCACCAUAGUAUUGCAACUGACUGAUUUAAAUACUUUACACUCCUGUGUUGAUGAACUUUACAAUGAAAUUGUAGGGAUUUAUCAAGCAAUUUAUUAAGAGGUGCUAUACCUUCAUCUAUCGGCCGCCUCUCAAAAUUACACUUUUUGUAAGCUAUAUCAAAGUACCAAAUGGUAUUCUAUGUAGUUUUUUAAUUGGAUUGGUGUCUGAAUAGCAUUAUUGCCUAUGUAUGUCAUAGGAACUUGUCCACCAACUUCUUAAGCGGUGAAAUCCCAGACAUUGGAAUUCUAAGCACUUUUGGGAACGAUUCGUAAGUACUCACUGUCUCUCUCGACACUUUCAUGUUGAGUGAAAAUGGCCUAAUCAAAUCAAACACACACACACACACACACACAUUGUUAAAUCCCUAGAGACUGUCAUUAAUUAUACGUGUAUGUAUGCAUGUUUGUGCGGCUUAAGCUAAACAAACACUCAUAGCCUAGUGUAAUUGUGCUUUUUGAACUAAGAUUUAGGCAUGCAUUAUACUUAUGUGAGUCAAUUGCCCAUUUUUACUGAUUUGUCUGUAAAGUUUUUGAACUGGUUGAUAAAUUAAUUCACGAAUAAAGAUGUUUCCACUAACUUUUCAGUAAUUAUAUAGCACCAAUUGUGCACUAUAUGCAGUACAGAUAGGACCUUCAAUACCUUCUCUCUUCUUCCUGUCUGAAGCAUUUGUCAUCUUGUUCUGAAAUUUCCUUGAACAUUCAUAUAGGUUUGUUGGCAAUCUAGAUCUUUGUGGCCAACAAGUGCACAAGCCCUGUCGGACCUCAUUGGGAUUUCCUGCAGUGCUACCAAAGAAUGCUGUAAGUGAUGAAGCAGCAGGCAAGUUCUCGAUCCCUUUUCAUCAGCUUUCUAGUCGAACGACAAGUUUUCUAAAAUGCAGUUCUGGAAUUUUGUAAAUCACAUCUAACCAAAUUCUUAUGUAAAAAGUAGCAAUGUACUUAUGCUAAUUUAUUGAAUUCACUGUGGAUAUUCCAGUGCCCUCUAAACGAUCUUCUCAUUACAUCAAAGGAGUGCUUAUUGGUGCAAUGUCUGCCUUGGGCUUUGCGUUUUUCACUCUCCUUACCUUCCUUUGGGUUCGGUUUCUUUCGAAAAAGGAAAGAGUGGCUAAAAAAUACACUGAAGUUAAAAAGCAAGUAAAUCAAGAAUCAAGUAAGCUCGAUGUUUUCUGGACUUCAUACAGUUAUAAACUCAAACUUUAUUAUGGUUGCUGACAAAAAUUUGAACAUUUGACAGGUACAAAACUCAUUACUUUCCAUGGUGAUAUGCCCUACCCUUCAAGUGAAAUCAUUGAAAAGCUAGAGUCGCUCGAUGAAGAGGAUGUUGUAGGAUCAGGAGGAUUUGGCACUGUAUACAGAAUGGUUAUGAAUGAUUGUGGUACUUUUGCUGUUAAAAGAAUUGAUAGAAGUCGGGAAGGAUGUGAUCAAGUUUUUGAGAGGGAGUUAGAGAUCUUGGGUAGCAUUAAGCACAUAAACCUAGUUAACCUGCGAGGCUACUGCAGGCUCCCUGUUUCAAAGCUUCUCAUAUAUGAUUAUCUAGCUAUGGGCAGUUUAGAUGAUUUCUUGCAUGGUAAGUGUCACCUCUCAGAAUGUGCUAGAAAUGAAUGCUUUUUUGGGGAUAGACUAGCUAGAAUCGAAUGAUUUUGAUUUGCUUUUUUUUUUUCCGUAAUGUCUUUAUCUCCUUUAGAGCAUUGGGUGGAAGAGCGGCCUUUGAACUGGAAUGCUCGUUUGAAAAUUGCCCUGGGUUCUGCUCGAGGCAUAGCAUACCUGCACCAUGACUGCUCUCCGAAGAUAGUACACCGUGACAUAAAAUCGAGCAACAUUCUUCUAAAUGAAAACUUGGAUCCCCAUGUCUCUGACUUUGGCCUUGCAAAGCUUUUGGUGGAUGAGGAUGCCCAUAUUACGACAGUGGUGGCUGGCACCUUUGGCUAUCUGGCUCCAGGUUUGUCCCAUAUUAUGGUCUUGUAUGCAUUUCGUAACCCUGUUUCCGCUGUAAGUAAAUAUAGUAGAGCUAGAUUAUGGUGAUCACACGGUUCAAUCGUUAUAGAUUUUGAUAUACAGUCACCUAUGUCGGACAUCCUUACCAUGAUUUACCAUUUAGUGAAUGUUUAUCACACAACUAAAUGAAUGCUGAAUGAAUUAUCUCUGCCCUAAAAGUUAAAACCUGCUUGAUCAAAAUAUGAGACGACUGACUAAUCGCUCGCUGUAAUAUGGAAAUAUGAAAUUUAUAGAGAUGUUAAUCAAUUGGUUUUUGGUUAUUGCAGAGUAUCUGCAAAGUGGGAGAGCCACUCAGAAGACAGAUGUGUAUAGCUUUGGAGUUCUAUUGCUAGAGCUUGUGACCGGAAAAAGACCUACUGAUCCUACGUUUGUAAAACGAGGCUUAAAUGUUGUUGGUUGGGUAAGCUCCUUUCCUUCCUAAAAUUACUAUGACAGAUGCAUUCAUAUUUUUCAUGUAAGACAAUGUUGUCAGACCACAGUAUCGAUCUGAAUAACUCUUUCAUUAAUAUGCAGAUGAACACCCAAUUGAGAGAAAACAGGCUGCAUGAAGUAGUAGACAAAAGGUGCAAAGAUGCAGAUGCUGAAACUGUGGAAGCAAUUCUUGAAAUCGCGGCAAGGUGCACCGAUGCAAACCCUGAUGACCGGCCAUCAAUGAACCAGGUAUUGCAGUUGCUAGAGCCAGAGGUCAUGUCACCGUGCCCGAGCGAUUUCUACGAGUCUCAUUCAGAUCAUUACUGAUCAUUAGGCUAAAAUGCCUAAUGACUGCAGGAUUACAGAAUGUUCAUUCAUGUUCUAUUGAGUUUGUGCUGUUGUCCCUGCCCCUCCCUGGGGUAAAGAAUGUAAAUUAAAUUAUAUGUAUCAGACGAACCAUGGUAUCCAAUUUCUGCUUGGAUGGCACAAACCCAAAAGAAGAAAAAAUAUUCCCAUGCAAACAUUUGCAAAGAGCUGCAAGCUUUCCUUUCUUUAUUCUACAUGUCAUGGUUUUCUUUUAUUUUCUAUUUUAUUUCCAAUGUUAGGCAAACGACCACACAUGGGAAAACACAACCGUUCAUUUGUGUUUUCUUUUAUAUAAUUGGAAUGGAAGACUCGAAUACGUAACUUCGCAUGCAAGGUUAGAUUCUUAAUUAUUUAAGGUACACGUCUCUUGCAGAGCCAAUCGUUUUUAAAUCACAAAUUAAGUCGUCUUCAUAAAAGUCAACUAAAUUGAAGAUAUCUCCAAAGGUGAUGCAAAUACGUCAAUUAGGAUCAAAAGACAUUAAAUAUUUUUCAAAGGGCGAUGUUACUUUUGAUGCGACAACUGAGUCAUUUGACUCUUUACUUUCUAACUGUGUUUUUUUUUUUUUCACAGCAAACAAAGAUAGAGCCAAAUGUCUUCAAUUUAACUUUUUAAAUGCAUGAGGGCCAUUGACAACUUAUAGGAUGAAAACUAAAUUCAAUUUUUAAUUAUUUUUUAAUAAUUAAUAUAACUAUGGGGUCCAAUAUAUUAAUAAAAUAAGGAAGCAUUUUUGCUUAUCAUCAUAAACUAUAGUGUAUGUACUUACAAAAUAAACAUUUGACACAUCAACUAGAAACGAAGAGGAUCUAACAUCUAUAUCAAUUGGCCAUAUCAAACAUCGUAUAAAAUUUUAACAUAAAUAUGACAUCUCUUUUAAAAAUUCUAAACUAUGCUUAUACAACAAAUUGACGAUUUUAAAAUAGUCACUGAGUACUACGGUCUAGUGGUAUUCCUCUUCACUUGUAAGUGAGAGGUAUUAGGUUCGAUUCUCGCCAAAGACAAAUUUUAACCACAUUAUUGCUAGCCCAUUGUGAGGCUAAACCCACCUCAUCCCCCUUAGUGUAGAUAAUAUCAUUUGUUCAAAAAAAAAAAAGGGCUUUCUAGCCAAAAUGGUCCCUAAGAUUUGCAUAACACAUCAUUUUGUUCUCUGAGAUUGAAAGGUGACUGGUCCGCGGGAAAACUAGAAAACUCGCCAAAAAUUGGGUAAACUUUAAACAUUCAUAACGUCUUUAAUACUCAACGAAAUCGAGUGAUUCAAAAACAAAAAUCAUACUUCUUAACAAAAUGAAGAGAAUAGUAGCUUUUUCAGUGGCUAAAUAGUCAUGAAGAGAAUAGUAGCUUUUUCAGUGGCUAAAUAGUCAUGGUUUGGCUGGAAAAUAGCUCGAAAUGGCUGUCUUGGUUGAAAGUCGCCUUGUUUGGACAUUCCUGCAGACCAGUCACCUUUCAGACCAUUUUCCGGCUGACUCCGGCAACCAUUGGGUUCCAAAUAGGUAUAAUCUUGUGCUACACUUUCCUAUCUUCAUUUUUUUAUAUUAUGGGUCGAAUUUGGUUAAUAAACGAUUGAGUUACAAAGCUUUGAAAAUUGCCUAAACUUUCGGCCAAGAGUUCUGGGACACUUAACGGAGUUUUUAACUAAAGGACCAACAUAAUGGAUGGUGGACAAUCUCAGGAACCAAAGUGAUGUGUAAUGCAAAUCUCAUGAACCAUUUUAACUAAAAAGCCAAAAAAACAAAAAAACAAACAAACAAACAAACAAACAAAUUAAAACACAUAUGACGGACAAAAAAAAACACACACAUGAUGAAUCGUUCUUUCUUUAAGACAACCGGUUUUGAGAACCAAGUCUCUCAUUAAAUUUCUAAUCUAGAGUAACUCACAUAUUUUUUGGGUCAUCCCUCUAUAUUUAGCUUCAAUAAUAAACGUUGCUAAAACUUUUUGUUUUUUACUUUGUAGAGUAACUAGAUUUACCUACAUAUAAAGGUAAACUCUUUAUCUUCAUACGGUCUAGUGGUAUUCAUCUUUAUUUGUAAGUAAGAAGUUUUAGGUUCGAUUCUCAUUAAUGGAGAAUUUAAAUCACAUUAUUGCUAACUCAUUGUGAGGCUUAACUCACUCUCUCACCCUCUAUGUAAUAAUAUCAUUUAUUCCAAAAAAAAAAAAAAAAAAAAAAUCCUUAUCUUCGAUUCAUCCAGCUCAAUCUCCAUCUAUAUAACCUUCAAACUAACAAACUAUCAUCAUUCGUUGCUUUAAGCCUGGCCUUUUAAUAAGGGUAGGAGCUGAGUUAACUGCGUAACCUAAUUAUUAAUUGGCUUAACUUAGCCCUAAGAAAAUGGCUGACCUCACUGCCGACACAGUCUCAGUCAACCAAACCAUCAAAAAGCUGCAAGGGAAGGUCGUAGUCGUUACCGGCGGCGCCAGCGGCAUCGGCGAAGUCACCGCGCGCAAAUUUGUCUUGCACGGCGCACGCGCAGUGGUGAUCGCCGAUAUCCAGGACGAAUUAGGCCAAACCGUCGUCGCAUCCAUCGGUCCUGGUCGCUCCACCUACAUCCACUGCGACGUGACCGACGAGGACCAGGUCAGGAGCUUGAUCGAAUCGACGGUCAAGAUCUACGGCCACCUCGACGUCAUGUUCAGCAACGCCGGCAUCGGCUGCGCGUCACAGCAGACAGUGCUGGAGUUGGACCUCUCCAACUACGACAAGGUCAUGGCGGUCAACGCCCGCGGUAUGGCGGCGUGUGUGAAGCAUGCGGCGAAGGCGAUGGUGGAGGGGGGCGUGAGGGGUAGCAUCGUGUGCAUGGCGAGCACAGCGGCGGGCCAAGGGGGACCGAUGUUCACGGACUACAGAAUGUCGAAGGACGCGGUGAUGGGGCUGAUGAGGUCGGCGAGUCUGCAGCUGGGUGCUAACGGUAUACGCGUCAACUGUGUGUCUCCGGGGCCGGUAGUGACGCCACUGUUCUGCUGGCAGUUCCAGGUGGAGGCGGAAGAUGCGGAGAAUUUGUACGAGGCGCAGUUGGGGUUGAAAGCAGGGAAGAGGAUGUCGGCGGAGAAUGUGGCAGACGCCGUCGUUUUCUUGGCCUCGGACGACUCUGAAUUUGUUACUGGCCACAAUUUGGUCGUGGAUGGUGGGUUUAAGAUGUAGAUAGAUGCAAGAGUUGUAUCUCACCUCUAAUAAUCACUACUCGAGAAUCAUUUCCAAAAAAUAAAAUAUUACGAAACUAUGAUCAUAUUUCUUUAUGUGUUACCUUAUUGUAAUCUGAGUGGAUUAUGUACUUGAGACACUAUUAAAGAGUUUGGUCGCUCAAGUUUCCGCUGGAGGUAUAACCGUGGCUAAAAAUGUAUUACUACUAUUAUUUUCUGUUGAAUUGAUUCAAACAAGGUCUUAGAUUUGAGAGUUGCUUCGGAUGCUUGCCUUGGAUAAUGUUUAAGUCGAAUAUGGACAGUCAAACAAUACCAGAUCUAAAAGAUAUAAUAUAGCACAGAAUUGACGUUUUAUUGCAAUGUCGGAAAAUAAUUAUACUUGUGCAUCUUGGUGUUAAUUUGAUCUUGACCGGUUUUCGUUUUUCUUUUCUCCUAACAAUUUAACACACUAACAAUGUCAUUUUUAAAAUAUAAAAAAAUAGAGCACAUAUAGGGAAAUCCAAACUCAAAUGGACACUAAACACUCGACCAAAAAUAUAUAUAUAUAUAAUCACAUGUUCUGAAGGUUUAACUUUAGAAUAUUUUCAAAAAUAAAAUAAUAAAAAAUAUUAGGAUUUUAGUUGCAUAUUUAAGAGAAAAGAAAAGGGAACCAACUCCUAGUCUUAUGCGCCACUCAGUACUAUGGUCUGAUCACUUGGAAAUGAGAGGUCUUAAGUUCGAAUCUUGUGGAUGACAAAUUCAAUACCAAAUUAGAUUGCGCAUUGUGUGGCUUAACUGAACUCUCCGUCCCCUUAGUGUAAAUAUCGAUGUAUUCAAAAAAUAAAAAUAAAAAAACUCCCAGUCUUAUGCAAGCUGCUUUGGUCUUAUAUCAUACGGGUAAGAAAGAAUAAUAUUUUGAAUUGUUAAUUAGUUUUCCUUUUUAUUUAUAAACACAACUGGAUACAGUAUGUAGAUAUGUAAAAAGCUAGAGAAGAAGACAAUUGGGUUUAUACAUCAAUUAUUUGAUAUCUCUCUAUUUAUUUUUUAAGGAAACCCUAAUUUUAUGCAACUGCAUCAGUUUGUCUAUACUAUAUAUCACUGGAUAUCAUGCAAAGCUCCCUUUGAAUUAAGGUGUUGGCCUGUUCAUCUCUUUAUAAAAACAAGUUGGACAGGUCCAACUCAAUUUAUUUCUCCAAAUAAUUCAUAAGUUUACAUAUUAAUACUACAGGUUUGCCUUUGGCCCUGAGGUCUACUAUAAGUAACCAAAUUAUUUUACCCUGAAGUUUAUACACAUACACACCCGAACUCUUGUUCUUGAAUCGGUUCAAUUUUAUUAAAUCAUGUGUGGUUAUUAAUACAUUUGAGUCCUAAAUCAUUUAGCUUAUGUUGUAUGUUAUUAUUAAACACAUAAAAUAAUCUCUAUUAUGCCCGAUAUGUAAAAACAAAAACACAAAAAAGAUGCUAAGACCUCCUUUGUAAGUCCUCAAAGAGACGUGUGGUAUGCCCUAACCCUGAGAUGUGAUAGCCUUAACUUUUUGACAGCCAAUUAAACACAUAAUUAAGGCUUUUAUCUUAAGGUAAAUAUAUAUGUUUGUUACUCCCACUAUAAUUUUAUUUUCAUUUGUAUAAAGAAAAUACAUGUAUGAGUAUAUCUAUCUGCAAGACCAAGCCAGAGCAUAUAUAUAUAGUAGACUUUUGGUUGCUUGACAAAGAAAUGAGACCCGACUUCCAAUCAUCAUCAAUAUGAUAUUGCAAAUUUGUAAUCGGUAUCCGUCUUAAGAAUUAUAUAUAGUGCAAAAUUGUAAUUCACAUUUAUUUCUAGUGAGUUCCACGAUGAAUCGGGAGACGAGAGUUGGUUGUUGGUGAGAGAUUAUUAAUGUACUCAGAACACAACCCGAUAGACUAUAAUAUCUAAAAAAUAAUAAUAUAAAGAUUAAAAUUUUAGUCGAUGAUGACAAAAGAAAUGGGAACCAUUAAACCAACUCCCACGUAAUUUGAUUCAACAAGCUAUAUAUUAUACUUUUAUUGGCAGGGUACAAUAGAGGUUUGGUAUAAGUGCAUGAUUAAAUAUUAACAAGCUGCAAGGCAGAGGGAACAAUACAGGGUUAUAAUACUUUUAUUCAUCAAGUUGUAUAAUUUGACGGUUUGUUUUAUUCACACCUUAUACUACAUUCAACAUAUUUUUUGAACAUAUUUAAUCCACUUUAUAUUUACUUUAAAAAAAAAAGUAUCUUAACUUAUCUCAUUUAUUUUUCUUAUUUUUCAAUACUACCUCGACAUUUCGCACUCUCAUACACAUCCAACAUCACACUCUUCUCAGUUUCAAAACAAUAGAAUAAUCUGAAUUUUAGAGACAAGAAAGAUAGAUUAAUUGUUGUAUAAAAUCUCUAACAUGCCGUCUAAUUUAUACAUCCGAGUAUCCUUUCAAAUUUUCUUGAACAAUCAACGUUGGAGUGCAAGAGCCCUGAAGCACAAACAGUAGGGACUAUUCUUAAGGUCACGUCAUUUGUUUAAAUGGCUUUCAUGUUCGUUGUUUUCAGAUUUGUAAAAGGAACACAUUUGUUUGUUUAAAACUGCCAACCGACGUGCACCCUUUUAUGAAAGAUUAUAACCCAAUUCCAAAUCCCUUCCAAAAGGUUAUAUAUGUCUAAUGGCAUUGCUUCAGUUUAAACCAGCGAAGAAACAUUUGAAAUGAUGCAUUACCAAAUAAUUUCUUGAAUGCCUAAACCAAAGAAUAAAAAGGGAACUAAAGCUCGAUUUUAUGUUUCAUUCAUAAAAAAUAAAUAUGUUUGUGCUUUUAGGGUUUUGUUAUAAAGUUUCAUUGAUGUAGUGCAUCAACAUUUGGCGUCGUCUAAGGAGAUCGUCACAAAAAGCUAUGUUCGUUCUCUCUCAUUUUUUAUCUCACCACCACAUUGAGAAUAGAUCCCCCAUUAAUGGAAGGAUAAAGCUUACAUGUGCUUGUAAGUAAUUGAGUUACUUUUCAUAGUGUCAGUUGAUUUUAUACAGUAGAACCUUACAUUUCUUCACGUUCUUCACCUUGACUUUUCAGCUUUUGAUGUUCAACGUGAACUUACGUGGCAUGGCCUCAUGUGUCAAACAUGCAGCGUGUGUCAUGGUAGAGGCACGUGAGGGGGAGCAGUGUCUGCACAACAAGUGUGGUGGCGACUGGCGAGCCACGGCAUGCAGAUUCGUACGGACUACUGCAUGGCGAAGCGCGCGGUACUAGGGUUGGUUCGGUCGGCGAGCCUGCAGCUCGGAUUGCACGGGAUUAGAGUGAACUGCGUCUCGCCGAACGCGCCAGCCAUGCACGCCGUUGACUUGCAACGCGCGAGGGAAUCAAGUGGAGGUAGUGAGGCAGGUGUGUGAGAAGUUUGCGUCCUUAAAGGGGGUCGUGCUGACGGCGAGGCAUGUGGCAGAGGCGGAGCUGUUUCUUGCUUGUGAAGAUUCUGAGCUUGUGACUGGACAUGAUAUGAUGGUGGAUGGUGGCUUUAUUUUCUGCAUGAUUAUGCACUUCUUGGAUUCCCCAUUAGUGCAAGUCCACCGGAGGGUAUAGCCCAGUGGACAGGGGACCAAAAAAACCCAAUAGCCAGCCUUCCUUACUCCAUCUCAUGCGGGCAAUUGGACUAGGGGCAGGCCGUGAGAGAGGGGAGGCAGGAAUCAACAGCCCGAGCAUCUGAGGGUGGUGAUGCAAGGAUGACAUCAUACACAUUAAAAAAUAAUUAAAAAAUUAAAAAUUAAAAAUAAUAAUAAAUAAUUUAAAGAAUUAAUUAAAAAUGCAAAAAAUUAAUAAAAAAAUCCGAAAAUUAAAAAAAAUUGAUUUAAUUUUUUUUAUAAAUAUCUUAUCAUUAUCUUCCACCUUACACUAUAAUUUAUAUUUUCUCAAAUACUUUGGUUUGUAAUUUUUUAUUUAAUGAUACAUGGUGCAACGAGACCGAUUAAAAAUCUUAUCUGAAAUUACAAAUAAAAUUAUUUUUUAUUAUUUUGUAAAAUAAAAAAUACUAAUAUUUUAUUAUCUAUUGCCAUGGCUAUUCAGUUUAAGGAUAGAGAUGUAAAAGACAAUUACUAUUUAUUAAAGACAAUUAUUCUUUAUUGGAGAGGAUUUAAUAAGCAGUUGCCCUGGGGCCUUCCAACACUGGCAGUGCUCUUAUGAUCUGCGUGAGUGUUAGGAUCAAUAAUGGGCUUUGUAUUUGUAUCUGUGUGUGGUUUUGUUGAAUGGGUUUCUUUUUUCUUAUUUGCAUAGAAAAGAAUGGGCUUCGCUUGAGUGGUUGUGUAACAAAUUUCUUUCCUUUCUAAUGUAAAAGUAUUUUCAAUCAUGUUUUUUAUUUUUAAUUAAAUUUAAUUAAGAAUAAAAACAUUAUAAAGUAACUUAGAUUUACUUUAUUUAUUUAUCUAUUUAUUUUGAUACAACGAUAUUCUACUUUGAGCGGAAGUGGUAUUGUGCUAGGCCAAACAAUGAAUCAAUCAAUAAUUAGUUAUCGAACUUAACAUAAAUAAUAUACACCUUUGUUAUCUUUGUGAGUCGUAUCUAAGACUUUUCACUGAGGAAUACCAAGCUCUUUAUAAAAUUUCUAUUUUAACCUUGUUUAAGGGAUCAUAAUGAGAAAGAACCAACAGAAUAAUGGCUCGUUUAAAAAUGCUUUUAAAAUGACUAAAAGUUUUUAAUGAAUUUUUUUUCAAACCAAUUCUUAGUAAAAAUGCUAGUGAAUUUAGAAAGCAUUUGAAGUGUUUUCUGCUAGAAGUACAUAACCAGUGUUUAAUAAGGUCUUUUUGGAACCCAAAAAUCGUUUUUAAUCAUUUUAAAAACACUACCAAGUAAACCUAUAUUGUGUGCCUAAAAUAAUAUAAAAAUAAUAGUCAUUAAUGUUGAGUCAUUAGGAGCACACGUUCUUAAGGUUUUGCUAUCAUAGAGAGCAUAGUUGGAGUUGAAUUUUUCUAAACUUCUAAAUCUCGUCUUGAGAGCACAUUAAAAAUGCUGUAAUAAUGCAUAUUCAACUCAUAACACAUGAAAGAGGAAUCAUGCCCCAAUGAGUAAUUAAUCAUAGUGCUUUGGUUUAAUCACCUUUUUUUGUGUGUACAAGCUAUGUUAGGGAGGAGAAUUAAAAUCGAGAUUUCAAGUGCAUUAGAAAAUAUUCUUAACUAGUUGAAUUACAAGUCUCUUUUUGCUUAAUUACAAUCAAAGAUGAAGGAAUUGAAACACUGCAAUAGGUUUUUAAAAGCUCGAAGUGCAUCUUUGUGCUAAGGGCUGGUUUGGUAUUGCUGUGCUUUGAAAAAAAAGCUGCUGUGAGAAUAAGCGGCUGUGCUGUGAGAAUAAGCGGCUGUGAAAUAAAGCAGCAGAGUGUUUGGUAAACUUCUUUGUAAAAGUGCUUUUGGAAAAAAAAAGCAGUUUGAUAGUGGGUCUUUUCAUUAAAGGAGCACUGUAGCUCUGUGUGCUUUGAAAAAAAGCCAGUUUUCCAAAGCUGCAAAUAGCAGCUUCAGCUUUUUCCUUUGAUUUCAGCUUAUUCUCACAGCAGCUUCCAAAAUAAGCCAUUUUUUUCAGUUUACCAAACACCUAAAACCCUUACAGCUUUUUUUCAUGGAUGCUUUUUUUUUAAGCACCUCACUCCCAAAUCAGGUCUAAGUCUUUUUAUUUUUCUUAUUUUCAAGUGCCAAUAUUCAUGAGAAUCCUCAACUCCCCUUCUACAGGGUUAUAUAUAAUUUUUCUUCUUAGAAAUGUUGUCUGUAUAUAUGGAGUUGUCAGUUGUGUGGCAAAUGCCAACAAAAAUGGCCUUUCGACUUCACCAAAAGACCACUUGAUUCGAAAUAUCUGGUUUUCGAACUCCCAACGGUCAGAUAUAGUCUCUCUGACCCUUUCAUCUUCCUAAAGAAAAUCAUAUUCAUAUCCAUCUCUGGAGCAAUUGGAAGAGAAAGAAACAUCCAAUAGAAAUAAUGGGCAUGCAGCUGAUGAGGACUUCUAGAUUUCAUCACCAUCUUCUUCAUCCCGAAAGCACUUCUACCCCUCCCACAAAAGCACUUUUUGGUUUAGGACAUGUCAACAGCAGAAGCAUAGUAAACAUCAAAAGAAGAAAUCAAAUUUAUGGGAUUGUGGCUUCAAGCAAUUUGGCUUCACCACUAUGGGACAGCUGGAAGCCUGAGAAGGGUUCCGCUGCUCCUUCUCUCAGUGACAUUACCUGGCCUUCUGCAGGUAAUUAGAAUCAUAGAGAUUAAUAUUAUAAAUAAUAAUACCUAUUAAUCAUGUGUUUAGAUGCAUUAAUGAUGUGCAUUUGGUGAAAAAUAGGGGCUUUUGCAGCAAUGGCAAUAUUGGGGAGGAUGGAUCAGAUAUUAGCACAAAAAGGAAUGUCAAUGACAAUUGCACCUUUAGGGGCAGUUUCUGCAGUCCUCUUUGCCACUCCAUCCUCUCCUGGUGCUCGGGUAUUAAACUUGUUCUACUUUCUGAGGUUUAAAUCAGGAGAGAUUCUUGCAUAUAAACUGCUGAUAUAUUCAUGUUUCUGUAUCACUCAUCACAUGAUUUAUGUAGUGAUAUAAUUACAUUAAAGAUAUAUUUUCAAGUUUAUAACGCUUAUCACUUGACUUAUAAAAUGUUAUAGUAACAUGUGCACGACAUAUUUCCGGUGACACACAAAUUUUUCCCAAAAUUAUCCAUGAAUGCUCUUUGUUCUUUUGUAAUCUAUUUGGUGAAUAUGAGCCAUAAGUUGCUUUGUUCUCCUUCAAGCCUAGACUGCCUUGUUUGAGUAGUGAGUCAAUGGUAGACACGAGUACAUGUAUACAAUUGGCACAACUCCAGCUGUAUGGACCCAACAUGAUGAAAAUGGAAGAUAGCAAAAUUAAGUCCAGAUUUUCUUGAAGUUCCUUAUUAGGACUUAUUUUGAUCCAAACUUUUAAUUGUUCUGGCCUGUUCAUUUAGGAAGCUGAAUAUUUAAGGGGGAAAUGUCCAUGAGUCGUAGAUGUUUUGUAUAUGAGUUUGCCAAUCUAUACAACUCUUGUAAGAAUUUGCAGGUCAAGUUAUUAAGAUUGCUUAUCCUUAUACAUGAAAUCCUCUGUUCAAAAUUCAAAUACCCCAUCUUCCUUACGCUUAGUCUUUUUGUAUGUGAAAAGACCUAUAUACCUAGGUCAAAUAAAGGGUUAAACGUAUAUUACAGAGUCAUAUGAAAGAGUCGAACUUAAAUUCAUCUUGGCCGAAAAAUGAACAACAGAGUUAGAUUUGUUCGACUUAGAUUUGAUGGUUAAACAAAUUUGCUAUUCGUCAAAAGUGGUAAUUUCAAUUUUUGUGUCAUUCCCCAAUUAAAUUUAAGAUAAUCAAAAGCAUAUAUAGCCUAUUGAAAUAACACACUAAUUCUCCCUUGUGGUUUUGCAGAAGUACAAUAUGUUCAUGGCACAAAUAGGUUGUGCAGCAAUUGGUGUACUGACAUUUUCCACAUUUGGCCCAGGAUGGCUUGCUAGGAGCGUUGCCCUAGCUGCAUCCGUUGCUUUCAUGAUUUGCACACGUUCCGCACAUCCACCUGGUAAUUCCUGCUACCUCCUAUCCAACACAAAAUUCUCAUUAAUCUCUUUUUUCUGCUACUAAAAUCUGGUGCACAACUUAUUCUGUGUUCAAUUUGCAGCUGCAAGCUUGCCUUUACUCUUCAUCGAUGGAGCGAAGUUCCAUAACUUGAGUUUCUGGUAUGCUUUGUUCCCGGGCACCGCUGGAUGCGUUCUUCUUUGCUUGAUUGUAAGCACUCUUACACUAAUUAAUCCUAGCCAAUUGCAAAACUUGUUUGCUUAUUUGUUCUGAACACAUUUCAACACUUUUAGUAUGCAAUGGCUGAUCUCACUAAUUAUCUCGAUGUUUCUGCAGCAAGAAAUAGUGUUAUACUUGAAGGAAAACUUCAAAUUUUGAUCAUCUGGAAGCAAACACAUGCUUGGCUACUCACAUAGUUGGAGACAUCGUACAUUCCUUCAUCUCAAGUUCAAUAUUCAAGGAAAUGCACCCCAUAUAGAAAUGAAAAGCAAAACUCGAAUACAACUAAAGGUCAGUAAGUCUUGGGUUCGACUGCGCACCCGAAUCUCCUUAGGGACGCAUGAAAUUAAGUCCAAAGGAGUUUGUUGCCCACAAUUAUAUUGUAGUUCUAUUGUAAAACGUGAUCUAAAUUAUUCUCCUCUACACCAAGAUUGUGGUCCUAAAUCCUAAAAGUAGUGCAUUGAUGGUUCUAAGGUUCUUAAAUUGAUGUGAGGAAAUAUCUACUUGCCAUAUGGUCCAUGACUCCAUGAGAGUAAAUUUAUUUUGCUUUAAUUAGUCCAAUAUCAAAUACUGAUUUUGGGGCUUAACAUCAAUGGUUAAUACAUACAAUUCAUCAAAUUGAUCAAAGAUUGUAAUUUCAUGGAGAGAUUUUUCAAUGUGCUGGAAACAUGGUCUGGUACACCAAUACAGCGUGUAUCAUAAUAUAAAUGGUUGGAUACUUGAAAAAAAUAAUUACAACGAUACUUCGUGUAUAGGAUUGUGUUCCUGGUACACUGAAAAAUAUCUCAACUUGUAGGAGUAUGUUGCCCACAAUUAUAUUGUAGUUCUAUUGUAAAACGUGAUCUAAAUUUAUUCUCCUCUACACCAAGAUUGUGGUCCUAAAUCCUAAAACUAGUGCAUUGAUGGUUCUAAGGUUCUUAAAUUGAUGUGAGGAAGUAUCUACUUGCCAUAUGGUCCAUGACUCCACGAGAGUAAAUUUAUUUUGCUUUAAUUAGUCCAAUAUCAAAUAUUGAUUUUGGGGCUUAACAGCAAUGGUUAAUACAUACAAUUCAUCAAAUUGAUCAAAGAUUGUAACUUCAUGGAGAGAUUUUCCAAUAUUUUGGAAACACAGUCCGAUACACCGACACAUCGCGUAUCAUAAUAUAAAUGGUUGGAUACUUGAAAAAAAAAUUACAAUCACUUGUAUUAUGACACUUGAUGUAUAGAACCAUGUUCCCGACAAACUGAAAAAUAUCUCAACUUCAUCAGUGUUUUCUUGCAUGCAAUAGAGUUGUGCCCACAACAUUAUCAUGGAAUUUUGGGGUUAAAAUGGAGGCUAACAAGAAAACUAUCAUUAUCUAACAACUUCCAAUGCUCCCUCCUACGUAGGUUUAUUUUAUUUUAUUUUAUUUUUUUUUAUUGUUGUUGUUGUUAAGAAUGAAACUCACUCCUAAAAGUUUAGUGGAUAUGAAACAGAUAAAGGGUAAUUUUAUCGGCACGUCUAAAUAAAUAUCUUGUUUUUAUAUUUACAAAAAAUGUAGACGCAAUAUGUUUAAGUACAAAUAACAUAUUUUUGAUGUAAACUAAAGAGAAUUAAAACAAACUCUUAUAUAACACAAUUCAUUUCCAAUUUAGUCAAAUCUAAAGAGCAAAGGUAAAGCUGAACAUCAACUUAGUUUUAAAAAUACACUUGUCGAAAGAGAUUUAAAACUUUGAUCGAAUACAACUUUCCCAACAUUCUAUAUGUACGUAUGAGAUUGAGUAAGAGAAAGAACAAAAAAGGAUCAAAAGCCACCCUAGCUUUAUAGCUCUCUUAGUCAAUCUAAUUCAUUAGUCCACAAACAAAUUUACUAAAUGCAAAUGACAUUCUUUGAUGAUAAAAUAGAAUUAUGAGUCUCGUGUUAUAAAUAGGCAAAAUUUAUAGAGAGAUAACCUUUACUCGGUGAAGGAACGAAGCAGUUGCAGAGUAAUAUACCGACACAAGCUGUUGCAGAGGAAGUAAUGUAUAUUAUUGCUAUUAGAUAUAUUUCUCUUUCUUUCUUCUUCUCAUUCACUCUUCUUUGCACAAUUGAAGUGCUCUAUUUAUAGAGCUACUUCUAUAGAAAAUUACAAAACAUUACUAUUUAGCUUAUGAGUAUAUAGUAUACACAUGUGAUACUUCACUAUACACAUUACUAUACACAUGUGGGCAAACAUACCCAUUAUUUACAACACUCCCCCUUGGAUGCCCACAUAUCAACAUCAGUUGCCUCAUUAAAACCUUGCUUGGAAAAACCCUGUGGGAAAAAACCAUAGCGAAGGAAAAAGAGUACAACUAUACCUGGAUGGUGUUGAGCAUGCUUAGGUUGCCUCGUUAAAACCUUGAUAGGAAAAACCCAGUGGGAAAAAUCCUAAGCGAAGGAAAAAGAGUACAACAUGCAUGUAUCAUGGAUGCUCCCCCUGAAUUGUAUCUCCCCCUGAUUCCGCAUUCUUCAAAUCUGUAAGCCGACGUAAUCCGAUUCCCUGUACCAACUUCUGAAAUGUGCACUUUGGUAGAGAUUUGGUGAACAAGUCUGCUAAAUUUUCAUUAGAACGGAUUUGUCUGACUUUAAUAACUUUAGCCUUCUGAAGCUCAUGUGCGCUGAAAAAUCUUGGAGAUAUGUGUUUAGUCUUAUCACCUUUGAUAAAUCCUUCCUUCAUCUAGGCGACACAGGCUGCAUUAUCUUCAUGGAUGACAGUUGGAGUGUCUGUCUUUGAAGGUAGACCACAUGAAUUCCGGAUGUGAUGGAUCAUUAAUCUUAACCAAGAACAUUCACGACUUGCUUCAUGUAAAGCAAUUAUUUCCGAAUGAUUGGAAGAUGUUGCAACUAGCGUUUGCUUUGUUGAUCGCCAUGAAAUUGCAGUAUCUCCAUUAGUGAACACAUAUCCAUUUUGUGAGCGGGCUUUAUGCGGAUCGGAGAGAAAAAACCAGCAUCUGCGUAUCCAACAAGGAUUUGUUCAUUUGUGGGCUUGUCUGAGUAGAAGAGACCCAUAUCUGUUGUCCCACGAAGGUAUCGUAGAACAUCUUUGACUCCUUUCCAAUGACGGAUUGUUGGAGCAGAGCUAUACCUGGCUAACAAGUUAACUGAAAAAGCUAUAUCUGGUCUAGUACAUUGUGCUAAAUACAAUAAAGCACCUAUUGCGCUCAAAUAUGGUACUUUUGGACCAAGGACCAGUUCAUCAUCUUUCUUUUGGACGAAAUGGAUCUUUCUUAAUGUCCAAAGAACGAACGACCAUUGGGGUGCUAAGUGGAUAAGCCUUGUCCAUGCCAAAUCGCUUCAGUAUUUUUUCAAUGUAAGCUGAUUGAUGGACCAAAAUUCCACUAACACAAUGCUCGAUCUGCAGGCCUAGACAAUAUUUGGUUUUCCCAAGGUCUUUCAUUUUCAAAUUCGCUUUUCAGAUAUUCAGCAGUUUUGUUGAGCUCUUCAAGGGUUCCAACUAGGUUCAUAUCAUCGACAUAUACUGCCACUAUAGCAAAUCCAGUAUUUGAUUUCUUAAUGAACACACAAGGGCAGAUGACAUUGUUGGCAUAUCCUUCUUUAAUCAAAUACUCACUGAGACGAUUAUAACCACAUUCGCCCAGAUUGUUUUAGCCCAUAUAGUGAUCGCCUUAAUUUGAUUGAGAACAUACCCCGUGGUUUGUUAGUUGCUUCAGGCAACUUAAGUCCUUCUGGGACUUUCAUAUAUAUGUCAGUAUCUAAUUCUCCAUAUAGAUACGCGGUGAUGACAUCCAUAAGUCGCAUAUCAAGUUUUUCUGAAAUCACCAAAACUUAUUAAAUAACGGAACGUAAUUGUGUCCAUUACAGGAGAGUAUGUCUCUUCAUAAUCAACUCCAGGUCUUUGUGAAAAACCUUGUGCAACAAGUCGUGCUUUAUAUCUUGCAAUCUCGUUUUUCUCGUUGCGUUUCCUUGUGAACACCCAUUUGUAACCUACGGGGUUUACAUCAGUUGGGGUUUGGACUACUGGUCCAAAAACACUUCGCCUUUCCAAGGAAUUUAAUUCUGCCUGGAUUGCAUCUUUCCACUUAGGCCAAUCUUUGUCUCUGUUUGCAUUCAUCAACAGAGCGGGGCUCAAUAUCAUCACUUAAUAUAAUUUCAGUGGCUAUUGCAAAUGCAAACAUGUCAUCGAUGAUUAUUUCAUUUCGAUCCCACAAUUCAUUAGUACAUGUAUAAUUUAUGGAUAUUUCUUUGCUUUCAUGUACUUCUGUCUCUUCAGGGACAUGUGUCUCAUCAAGGACAUUUUCUUUUUCUGGAAGUACAGAGUCACGAAUUGUGGAUUUAUCAUUCAAUUCCUUUUCUUGAAUGAUAUCAUUUGGGUUCAAUUGGGCCCUCAUCUUUCUCUUUCGAGGGGCUGAAUCUUUUGAACCCUGGGGGGUCUACCACGCUUCAGGCGUGCACUGGAUGAAUCAUUCGCUGCCACUUUAUUUUGUCCAACAGGGACAUCAAUUCUUGCAGGUGCGUUUGCAGCCGGUAUAUAUGACUGUGUCACUUUCGAAGCAUCAUUAAAUGCAUCUGGCAUUUGAUUAGCAAUACCUUGAAGAUGAACGAUCCUUUUUCACUUCAUUUUCACAUUGAGUGCUUCUUGGAUCAAAAUGAGAUAAGGUGGGAACAACCCAUGUUUAGCUCUUGUCGUUCUUCUGGAACGGGUCUUUUCUCCCCCUAACGACGGGAAAACUAUCUCAUCAAAAUGACAAUCAGCAAAACGAGCUGUAAACACAUCACCAGUCAAAGGUUCCAAAUAUCUAAUGAUGGAUGGUGAAUCAAAACCCACAUAAAUUCCCAAUCUGCGCUGAGGUCCCAUUUUAGUUCGUUGUGGUGGUGCAAUAGGCACAUAAACAGCACAACCAAAAAAACUCGUAAAUGUGAAAUAUUUGGCUGAUGUCCAAACACGAGUUGUAUUGAUGAGUAUUGGUGGUUGGCUAUGGGUCUCAAUCUAACCAAUGAUGCAGCAUGUAAUAUGGCAUGUCCCCAUGUAGAAACUGGCAAUUUUGUUUUCAUGAACAGAGUGCGGGCUAUUAAUUGAAGCCGCUUGAUAAAUGCCUCUGCUAAACCAUUUUGAGUAUGGACAUGAGGAACAGGGUGUUCAACACAUUAAUGCCCAGUGCCAUACAGUAAAUCAUCAAAUGUUUGAGACGUAAAUUCACCAGCGUUAUCAAGUCGAAUGGACUUAAUGGGAUGAUCUGGGAACUGUGCUCGCAACUUAAUUAUCUGAGCAAGAAGUCUCGCAAAAGCUACAUUUCGAGUAGACAAUAGGCAAACAUGUGACCAUCGGGUAGAUGCAUCAACCAAAACCAUAAAAAUAUCGAAAUGGUCCACAAGUUGGUUGAAUAGGUCCACAAAUAUCCCCUUGAAUUCUUUGCAAAAAUGAUGGGGAUUCAUCAUCAACCUUUAGUUGUGAUGGUCUAAUUACCAACUUCCCUUGGGAACAAGCCUUGCAAGGAUUAUCAUUCGAGACAUUAAUGUGUUUUGCUCAGUAAUGGAUGUCCAUUAGAGUUGGUAAUGAUUCUACGCAUCAUGGUAGAUCCUGGAUGACCUAGACGGUCAUGCCAAAGCAUAUAAACCUUUGAAUCAAUGAACUUCUGGUUCAUGACAGUAUAUGCCUCAACUGUCUUUAUGUAUGUACAAUACAAUCCACUCGAUAAACCAUGCAACUUCUCCAAUAUACGCUUCUGGGUAUCAUUGGAGGUAAUGCAUAAAUAUUCCACAUUUUCUACACUUUUCGUUUCAAGGUGGUAUCCAUUUAAACGUAUGUCUUUAAAACUCAACAAAUUUCGAAUGGACUGAGUAGCAUAUAAUGCAUUCUUUAUAGACAAUAUUGUUCCAUUUGGUAACAUAAUCUGGGCUUUUCCUGAGCCUUCAAUUACAUCUGAUGGUCCUGAUAUUGUUGUUACCUUUACUUUUGCAAGUACCAAAUUCGAGAAAAUACUUUCGGUCUCGAAGUAUUGAAUGCGUGGUUGCGCUAUCUGCAAGACAAAAGUCUCCGCCAUUGAUCUUGUUUUGAGAAUAACCAUAAUUUUUAUCCAUGAUCUCUGAGUAAAGAAAAAGCAGUUUAUUUCAUACUGGAAUACUACUUUUAUUGAAUUGAAAAUGCGAGCAUUAAACCAUAGGUACAAAUAACAUGAGUACAUUAAACAUAAAUAAUUCAAUCGGACCCAUAAACUUCAUUCCCUCUUUCAUUAAUAAAGUCUGUAGCAUCCAGGUGGGUUGUGUUUAACUGUCCUGAUAAAUUGGUCACUGGAUCAGGGGUUUCCAUUGGUUUAGCCUGGUCAAGGAAAUUGAUCUCGACACCCUUUUCCUUGAAGGAGGCUUGAUAUAGUUUCCACCAGAUGCUUUGGGGUGCGACAAGUACGCGCCCAAUGUCCGUUGCCACCACACCUAUGGCAACCUCCUUCAUGACUUCUAGGAGUGUUCACAUGAGCUUUUCCUUUCUGGCGAUUGGUAUUUUUAAAGCUCGGGCCUGGAUUAUACCUUGGAACCUGGUUGUGAAACUGGACACCAUGGUUCUUGCUUUUCCCUUUCCACCGACCUUGCUUGUGGCCACGUCCUCGUUUGUAAUUAUUGCCACGAGAGGAUAUGGUAUUCCUUUCAAGGGAAGCAACAUUCACUUCUGGGAACGGUGCUGAUCCAGUAGGUCGGGAAUUAUGGUUUUUUCAUGAGAAGCUCAUUGUUCUGUUCAACUACCAGGAGCACAGAUAUCAGCUGGUUGUAUUCAGUGAAGCCUCGCGCUCUAUACUGUUGUUGCAGUACCAUGUUAGAGGCGUGGAAUGUGCUGAAAGUCUUUUCCAAUAACAUCUCAUCAGUGAUAGUAUCCCCACAGAGUUUCAUCUGAGAGGUAAUUCUGAACAACGCCGAAUUGUACUCAGCCACUGAUUUGAAAUCCUGGAUCCUCAGGUGUGUCCAGUCAUAGCGAGCUUUUGGAAGAAUCACCGUUGUCUGGUGAUUGUAUCUGCUUCUCAAGGCAUUCCAAAGGGCUAACGGAUCUUCAACCGUUAAGUACUCGCUCUUUAGUGCCUCAUCAAGAUGACGACGAAUAAAAAUCAUGGCAUUUGCCCGAUCUUGAGAGGAUGAGCUGCUUUCUUCCUUGAUGGUAUCUCCAAGAUUUGCUGCUUCCAGAUGGAUCUUGGUAUCCAAUACCCAUGUAAGGUAAUUCUUUCCAGUAAUGUCCAGGGCAGCAAAAUCAAGCUUUGCCAAGUUUGCCAUUUUCUUUUUCUGAAAGAAAAAUGAGGUGUGUAAGAACUUGCAAUAAUUUGUGUACUGGAGAAAUAUAUUGUUAGAACUUCUGGUUCUUACAAAUUUUUGAUCUUCAGGCCAAAAUGAUAAGUACUCGAAACUUCAGGCUCGAGAUUUACACAAUUAAUGAGAAUGGCAAUUGUACCGCACCAUUCUUAUCGAAAUAAGUAUAGGAUGGGUGAUUAUUCCGCACUACUUUAAACAGCAGGAAAAUUUAAAUAUGUAGAGCAAGGUGGACGAUUAUACCGCACCACCUAAAAUUGCGAUAAAAUUUAAAUAUGCAAAGCAGGGUGGACGAUUAUACCGCACCACCUAAAAUUGCGAUAAAAUUUAAAUAUGCAAAGCAGGGUGGACGAUUAUACCGCACCACCUAAAAUUGCGAUAAAAUUAAAUAACGGGAAAAUUUAAAUAUGCAGGAUAGAGCGGGCGAUUAUACCGCUCCACUUAAAAUUUGCAGUAAAAUUAGAUCUGCAGUCCAAGAUAGGCGAUAGAACCGCACAAUCUUGGAUUGCAUAAAUAAUCAGUGGGUUAGUAGUCAAUAUCUACACCAAACAAGAAAUCAAAGAUAUAAGUGACUGUUAGUUGGAGAACUAGAAGUAAACAUGGUGCAAACAGUUCUUCGCGAGGGUAUACCCAGCAAUUGAGAGAGAGGAAGAAGAAGAACAGUAAAAACCUUAGAGGAAACAUUUUUUUUUUUUUUCUUUCGGUGAAAGGAAAUGAGAAAUGAUUAGAGAGUCGUGCUGAUAACGUGUUAUAAAUAGGCAAAAUUUAUAGAGAGAUAACCUUUACUCGGUGAAGGAACGAAGCAGUUGCAGAGUAAUAUACCGACACAAGCUGUUGCAGAGGAAGUAAUGUAUAUUAUUGCUAUUAGAUAUAUUUCUCUUUUCUUUCUUCUUCUCAUUCACUCUUCUUUGCACAAUUGAAGUGCUCUAUUUAUAGAGCUACUUCUAUAGAAAAUUACAAAACAUUACUAUUUAGCUUAUGAGUAUAUAGUAUACACAUGUGAUACUUCACUAUACACAUUACUAUACACAUGUGGGCAAACAUACCCAUUAUUUACAACAUCUCGAACAAUGAUUCGAUUAAUGAUAAAGAAAGAAAUUUUUAGUUCAAUUAUCCACCUUAACGAUAAAAACAAAAAAUUGAGCAAAUUUUAGUGAGUCUGACUCAUAAUGAUCAAACUCUAUUGGAUGAGUUUAAUUUGUGUCUAUUUAAUAAACAGAUCUCAAAAUUUAAAUUCAAAAUUGAUGAUAGAUAUGAUGUUAAGCAUUAUCAUCAAUUGAAAGUGGUAAGUGAAAUUUUUUUUUUUUUUUAAAGGUGCAAGAAGAAGUAGGGCGGGUGCCUAUAGAGAAGGAUUAUCUCCCCUUUUUUUUCCCUCCCUUUCCUUUUCUUCUUAUUUGAACGAUCACGGUUAAGUUACGUCAAUAUCUUAUAUUAAUUUUUUAUAGAAAUAUGAAAUAAAAAAUGUGAGAAGGGAUGAUAGAAUGGAAUAGAAAGAAAAUAUGAGAUAAUCCUAAUCCGGGGCCUAUAGGCACGUGAGAAAUGGACCAUAGAAAGCAACCCUACACGGUGACAUAAAACUGAUGGGAGACCAUCGUACAUGGACAGAGGCGUCCACUCCAUAUCCUCUGCUUCCUGGGCCCCACCGGGCCCACUUCAUACGUCCUUCCACUCCAUCUCUUAAAAAUUGCAGGUGGUGGGACCCACUUAACUUUUGACUUGAUCAUCAUCCAAUCAGGGCCGUGCAUAUUACGCCACGUAUAGGAAGGCUUCGACGUCGGGUGGUGUCCAACGAGCUGGAAGAUUCUGAGGGAGACGCUGUCUUUUAACGUGAUGCUUUGGACGAGAUCCGAGCAUCGCAGCUGUACACGUGUGCAUGACACGUCAAAACCCAAGCAGCUAGGGUUUUGAUGGUCGGUGGAAAAUCUCCGAAAACGCCUCGUGAUUCGAGAACGAGGGGCACUUGGCAAGCUAUAUAUGGCUCAUUUUUUUUAGUGCCGUAAGAUAUGGGAAUGUAAGUGACAAAAUCUUCUCUUACAAAUAUGCUUUAUGUUGCAUUGUUGAAAGAAAUGUUGACUUCACUGAAAUUUUUGGGAAUUGAAGAUAAAAUCAAAAGGAGAGGGAGAGAAGGAUUUGUAUUGAUUGACGAAAUGAAUAUUAUACUCUGUUUUUAUAAGAGAAAUUAUAAUUAUUUUAAUCAAAUACUAACAAACUUAUUAAUUAUAUUUCUAACUGUAUUACACUUGUACCCUUAAUAAGAAAAAGAUUGAUCGACAAAAAAAAAUGAAAGAAAAAGACUACUCGAUAUAUGUGUAUGGAUCAAAGAUGAAGAUAACGAGAAAUGACUUUUAAUCCUGCACACAGUGUUCUAACCAUGGAGCGAUCGAUAUUCUAAUAUAAAUCAUAUGAUCUAUGUGAUAUGAGAGAAGUAUAAUUUUUGAAUUUGGUUAUACAAGUUCCGUAACUAAUUGUUUUGUUUAAUUGUAGUGGGUAUGGUUAGACUCUUGAUGAAAUGAUUACCAUGUAAGUGAAAAAGCUGUCAUUGAGGCAAAACGUAUUUUUGGCACACUAAAAAAUGUUUCCAUAGGAGAUAGCUUGCACUGUGAAUUCAUGCAAAUUUUACGAAUUUAUGUCUCAAACCGAAGCUCUUUAGUUGACUCGAACACAUUAUACUUUAAAGCCCUCUUUGUGCCGAUUAAAUGGACUUUCAUUCUAACUAAAAUUUGCAAAUACAUAAAUAAUAUAUAUAUAUAUAUGUAUAUGUAUAAAUAUAUUAUCUUUUUAGAUGGGGUAGGUGAGGUGAGCAAACGUUUCUUACAAUUGUAGCCUAUAAAAUUUUGCAUGCAUAAUAUUCAUUUUUAUAUAAUUUAAUGAGAUGACUUGAGUUACAAUCCUUUUGAUUUUUUAUUAGUUUUCAAUCAAACACAAGCUUUAAUUAAAAAUGAGAACACUCCAAAACCCCAAGGGAAAAUUUGCCAAAUUAAAAAAAUAAAGAAAAAGAAAUCAGCCUAUGGAAACCUCUUGCUAAAUCAUGGAUUAAAGGGACUUAUGUACUAUGUUAAAUCACUCGAGUUAUGUCAAAUAUAUUUUUUAAGGGUAAUGUUAGGGAGACUAAAUUUUAAACCAAAUUUGUAAAUCAAAUGACGUGUCACUAAUACGAAAAAGCACGUUAAUGAACGCUUAUGUAAUAAUCUAAUCAUCAACAACCACAUUAUUUGAUUUAAAAAAUUUAAUCUCUAUAGCAUUAUUUAUUUUUUAAAUAAGGAGUCCCAAUUGCCAAUGGUGAAUAGGUAGCAAUUUCAAUGGUCAUAUUCGAUAUCGGAGAUAUGAGUCCUGCUCUCCUACGAUCUUUAUUUUGAGGACCUGAAGACCAAAUGCAUAUUAGUCACAAGAUUAUGUUAGUUUAGAGCCAAAUGUUAAAAAAAAUUACAACUUAAUAAAUCAAAACAAGAAAAAUGAUAUUACUAAUCGUUCAUGAAUUUUAAGUUUGUCUUGGUUUAUUAAGUUGUUAAAUAUUAUAAGCCUUGAGAUAUAUAUACUAAUAUAAUUUUGUGACUAAUUAAUAUGAUUUUGGUCCUCACAGAUCCUCAAAAUGAGAACUUUAGAAGAGCAGGAUUGUUGCAGAUUUUACUAUUAAACUUUUGAGUAUGAAAGAGAAGUUAAACGACGCGUGACAGAGAUGUUUUGCAAUGAUUAUCAAAUUGCUUCUUCAAGUUUCUAAUUCUGUCAUGAAUUGAGAAGAGGAAGCAACCGCAUUCUCGACUUGGCUAAAUAUUAGCUAAAGAACAUACAUUAGGCUUAUAAGGAUAUGAUUGCAUCAAAAGCUGGCUUCCUUUUGAUUUCUUAAUGAAUUUCAAUUCCUAUGGUUUGAAUAUGGGAAACUUAUAUUUAGUUAUGGCUGCCCGAAUAAGACAGUUCUCUAAAUGAACAAUGAUUUGAACAAACUCGAAUGUGAGAUCAAAAUAUAGGAGAUCUCAUGUUUUAAUAGAGGAGAUCUCAUAUAUGUGAGAUUUGUAAACAUAUGACGUGGCUCGAGCAUCCUACACAAGUUUUCUCUCUUAAUUGGCAAUGAAGGAGAAUUUCCUUUGCGCUAAGGUUGAAAAUCAUAAGAUUUUGCAUUAUCAAGUUUCAAAAUAAAAUUAUUCACACAUCUACUGAUGACCUUAGGCCCUUCACAUUGGUUAAGGUGAGCGUGAUACCUAUUAUAAGAAUAAGAUAUUUGAUUUCUAUAAAAUUACUGCUAAACUAGUGUGAGUUCAAUAUAUUGGUAGCAUCUCGAGUUUGAUAUAUUGAACUUAGGAGUCUAAUAUUCUGAACUCAUGAGUUCAAUAAAUUUGUAUCACUCAAAUUUUCUGACCUACUAUAAAAAUAUGAUACAUCUAUGAGCUAAAUAUAUUGGUAUCAAAUUCACUUUUUUCGGCCUAGAACUUGUUGAUCACAAGAUGAUCACAUUACUCAUAGGAAAUUUAUCGAACACGAAGGAAAAUGAUGUGCCUCCCUAAUGUAUCUAAAAAAACUGUAAAAACUUUCUGCCUGGAUUUGAAAUGCAUGUGGUCUUUCAACCAAUCCCUUUCAUUGCCCAAGCAAAAAGGAUAAGUUGGUGGACAUUGCACACCCCUAUUUUUGGUGGCACAAGCUGUAGUUCCCAAUAAACAAAAGCACCACUAGGGUGCUCGUUGCUAACUCGAAAAGUAUGAUCAAAUUUGCUAAAGAAAUCACGCAAGAGAAGUUCCUCCAACACACUUAACCUUAUUGCCAAUUUGGCCAAGAUCAUAGUUCUCAACAUGGAGAUAUUUUUCAAGUGUAUCCGUAAUACGAGGUACGUAUCAUUAAACAAAUGAUGAGAUACUUGUAUUACAAAAUUACUAAUUUAAAAAUAAAACUUUCUUUCAGUUAUAUAAUGACACAUGAUAUUUACAUGUGUUCCAGCGCAAAAAAGAAAAAUUAUUCUCAACAUGAUAGAAGCAAGAACAUCACUAUCAUUUGAUGGGGUUGUGUGCCAAAUUGUCUCUCUUUUUGUUUAAUGGGACCCUUUCUAAUCGAUGUCAUGAUCUUAUAUCACCGGUUUUGGUAGCCAUAUUCCCAAGAAUCUAAACCCAAACGAAACCAAGAGUGGAGGACUGAUUAGUGAUUAUAUGGAAAGGAUGAAGAAUUAUGAACUUUAUGGUUAGCAACUUCUUGAGUUCUAUAUGUGGAAGAAAAAACUUCAGUCGAGCUGCUCUGUCACGAUACCUCAAAGACACGCACAAGGAGAUCCACCAAUGACGAAGGGUUUAUUUUUCCUUAUUUGUGUCUUGGAUGGACGGACGUGGCAGGGUACCCCAACAGAAAAUUUUCUUCUAUGCCUUUUGGCCUCCACCAAAGAAAGGAAAGAAAAGAAAAAGUGGACGAAUAAAAAGAGAGAAAAUAACAUGGAUGACUCGCCAUCAUGAAGUUGACCCCCACAAUAUGAAUGAAAGAAAGAAAGAUGGAUGCUUUGCUUCGCUGAGGUUCACAAGAAAUCUGUGCAACCAGAUUUUAUCGCUAGCAACAUUAUACAUUUCAAUAGGUAUACAUACAUAUAUACAUACACACAGACCAAUCAUCUGCACGUCCCUCUUCUGGUUAAACAUUCUGCAGCUCAUUUUUAACUUCAAAAGUUCCUUGGUGUGCAAGAAACGGCAAGCAACAUCGGGAUAGAAGCAUAAAGAGGAACUAGUAAGGGCUCGUGUUUAGAACUUGUUUCAUGAAUUUUUCAAGGGUAAAUUACACAGUAGCCCCUCAGGUUUUGAGGUUUAUUACAACCUCAUACAACAUCUUCAAAACAUUUCACUUUUAUACCUUAAGUACUAUUUUAUUUCAAAAUAAUACAUCCGUUACAUUUUUCAUCUAUUGAUCCGUUAAAUGCUGACGUGGUUGCCACAUGUAUGCUACGUGGCUGCCAAAUGUCUGCCACAUGGUAAAUAAUUUUUUUUUUUAAACCUGAAUUUUCUUUAAAAAAAAUAAAAAAUAAACCCACUAUCCCUAACCCCCCCCCAAGCAACCCAUAAUCCAAAAACCUGCAGCAGUAGCAAGAAGAAGAAGAGGAGGGAGGAAGAAGGAAAAACAAAAAAAAAAAAAAUCCCAAAACACAGUUCCUCCCCCCAGCGACCCAAAUCCCUAUCCUUAACCCAAAAUCCAAAAACCUACAGCAGCAGCAAGAAGAAGAGGAGGAGGGAGGAAGAAGGGGGAAAAAAAAAUCCCCUCACCCUCCUUCACCUCCCCCCCUCCCCCUGCGACCUCACCUCGCUCCCCCCCACCCCCCGCGUGACCUCAGCCUCCUUCCCCACCCCCCCCCCGGGGCGACCUCACCUCGCUCCCCCUCCCGCACGACCUCACCUCGCUUCCCCCCCCCCCAAAAAAAAUCUUAUCCCCUCAUCCUCAUCUCUCCUCUCUUCUCCCCGCAAUCCCCAAACCCAUCUCCCCCAUCUUCUUCUUCUUCCCUGCAAACCCGGGAAAAAAAAAAAAAAAACCCUCCAGAUCCCGUCUCGCCAUCGCCGAAUUUAAGGAGUGGGGGUGUGUAGAGAAGGGAAGAGGGUGGGUGCGAAGGUUGGUGCGGAGGGAGGGAGGGAGGGCCACGGGUUGGGGGGUGCACAAGGAGGGUCGCAGGCGGGUGGGGGUUCUUUCUGGGUUUCUGAUUUUGGGGGGUUAUGUGUUUCUGGGUUUUGGUUGACGGGGUGCUUUAUUUCAGUUUUUUUUUAAUUAUUAUUUAUAUUUAGAAGAUUUAGGUUUUUAAAAAAAAUUUAAAAAAUUAAUUUUUUUUGCCACAUGACAGAUAUUUAGCAGCCACAUGGCAUAUAUGUGGCAGCCACGUCAGCAUUUAACAGAUCAAUGGAUGGAAAAUGUAACGGAUGUAUUAUUUUGAAAUAAAAUAGUACUUAAGGUAUGAAAGUGAAAUUUUUUGAAGAUGUUGUAUGGGAUUGAAAUAGACUCCAAACCUGAGGUAUGAAAAUGUAAUUUACCCAUUUUUCAAAUAAGAAGAUGAAAUGAGAGGCUUUUCCGUCAAGUUGCAUUAACAAGAUAAUUUUAUUUAAUUACAUGAAUUGCAUACAAAAAUGGUCCAUUAAACACUAAUUAAGAUCCCCAUGAAAUAAAAAAAGAUUACAAAUGGGGCAAAAUCCACCAUCUUUUGCAUUUGAAACCUAGCUCCCACCACCACAUCUGGAUCGGGGUGCGACAUUUUGCUACUUAUUUUCACUUCUAUGCCAUACUUUAAACAAGAAGAUAAUAACCCGGGAAUUCGAAUUUUGCAG
RNAcentral lists this long non-coding RNA (113193 nucleotides) under Malus domestica (apple). Its description in RNAcentral is "long non-coding RNA (MDOM_LNC014330)". Lineage: Eukaryota; Viridiplantae; Streptophyta; Magnoliopsida; Rosales; Rosaceae. The record is from RNAcentral.